GCGCCGUCGUCCCGCUCCGGCCGGCUGCCGUUCUGCGCCAACGCCACCACCUCCGGCCGCGUCACCAUGUCCGCCGAGUGGAUGCCCGGCCAGCCCCGCCCCGCCCACCUCGACGGCUCCUCUCCUGGGUAAUACUCACGGCCAAUCACCACGACGACGCCGGCGUCGAGGCUGAUGAACUGACGAGUGAUGACUGACGAUGCUUGUGUCUGUUUUCCAGGGACUUCGGCUUCGACCCCCUGGGCCUCGCCACCGUUCCGGAGAACUUCGAGCGGUUCAAGGAGUCCGAGGUCUACCACUGCCGCUGGGCCAUGCUCGCCGUGGUACGCCGCUGUGCUGCCUCUCUGAUUACUUACGAUCAUGUCAUGAACUAUGGCAUGGACCUGACCGAUGAGCUUUGCAAUUGUGUGGCAUGCAGCCCGGGAUCUUGGUGCCUGAGGCGCUGGGCCUUGGCAACUGGGUGAAGGCGCAGGAGUGGGCGGCCGUCCCCGGCGGGCAGGCCACAUACCUGGGCAACCCGGUGCCGUGGGGCACGCUGCCCACCAUCCUGGUGAUCGAAUUCGUGGCCAUCGCCUUCGCCGAGCACCAGCGCACCAUGGAGAAGGACCCCGAGAAGAAGAAGUACCCCGGCGGCGCCUUCGACCCGCUCGGCUUCUCCAAGGACCCCGUCAAGUUCGAGGAGUACAAGCUCAAGGAGAUCAAGAACGGUGAGUCUCCUGGUUUUGUGUACUAUAUGAUCUCGUUGUUGUAGUGACAGCCUCCCACUCCAUUGAUCAUACGCUAACCACUGGGCAUCGUCUAAACGAUUGUGCAUGAUGAUGAGCAGGCCGGCUUGCGAUGUUGGCGUUCGUGGGGUUCUGCGUGCAGCAGUCGGCGUACCCCGGCACCGGGCCGCUGGAGAACCUGGCUACCCACCUCGCCGACCCGUGGCACAACAACAUCGGCGACAUCAUCAUCCCCAGAACGAUCUACCCUUGAGCUGAGAUGAUUGUGAGAGAAGAGGAUGAGACGAGACAGGAGAUGGGGCUGUGCUGGGAGUGUGGAUGAUGUUCUAUGUGUGUGAUUGGUUGGUUACUGGGCACUGCCUGCGUGCGUGCAGGAACUGUACAACGAACAACGACGGCGACUUUCCGGCCGGCCGGGAACCCCUUAUAAUGUAAAGCUUAUUAUUAUUAAGUAGCGGCUACCCUUAUGAAUCCACCCAAGUUUUGUGCCAAAACCAAACUAUAGCUUUGCUAUGUUCCCCAUUGUUUUGCCGAAGGGCAAAUCAGAGGAAGUUCAGCGUGUGUUUGAUUUGGGAUCAAAUGAGAUGUGUUGGAUUCAUCCUACUUUUCUUGGUCAGGUUCAAUCCGUCUUGUGUUUGGUUGGGAGGGAUGUGUCCAUCUUGGUUUUUUUGAAAGGUGAGAUUUAAUACCGUUAACCACGGUUAAUCUCAUCUGUCAUCCAUGGAUCUCAUGUGCCAUCCUAAUUUCCCUUACAUUUGUUUUCUUUUAGCCUGCCUUAUCUUCUUGUGACGCUUCCUCAACGCGCCCUCCUUCACCAUGUCACCUCUCUAUUGUGCCAUCCUCCCCUGCCGCCCUCCUGUAAUACCCCGUCCUCCAAAGCUGCACCGCCCAACCCUUUUGAGGGGCGGGCACGCAUAUACAUAUCAUCCUACUUACACUUUUGUCGUCGCUUUGUGUAAAAGAUUUAACCCGAAGGUGCUAUGGCUGGUGGACAGAGGUUUAUAAGUUAGCUCCACCUUGCUCAACUAGCAAGGUGGUACUAAACAUGCGCACCUAUGCUCAUGGGCCACUACUGGGCCAUCCAAAAUUGGACCGGGUGCUACAUACACCCCCCUCAAAGAACCCGACGUCCUCGUUGGUCCAACUCACCCACACUUAGCGCACGACCGUACGUCCAUUGCCGGCGCCAUAUGUCAUGCCGUGUGUCCCAUCUAAAGCCCACACACGACAUGCGUCAUAUGCCUGCACACUGACCCGUACGCGCAACCGCAAGGGUUAGCUCUGAUACCACUUGUAACACUCCGUUCUCCAAAGCUGUCCCGCCCAAACAUUACGAGAGGGCGGGCACAUGUACACAUAGCACUGUACUUACACUUUCGUUCUUGUUUCGUAUAAAAGGGUUAACCCAAAGGUGCUAUGGCUUGUGGUCAAAGGCUUAUAAGUUGGUUCUGCUCUUGCUCAACUAACAAAGUGGUACUAAAUAUGCAUACCUGCGCUCAUAGGUCACUACUGAGCCAUCCAAAUUUGAGCCGGGUGUCACAUCUCCACUCCUCACACCUCUCCACCCUGUUCCUCCACAGCAUCGGCCGCUGUAGCUCGUGCCCCCAAUACACCUCGGGCUGGUCCCAACUCACUCAGGCAGAGCUUGCCCCACCUAGCGGCGGAGCUCUGCAUCUACACGAUAUUUUCCCUUCGAGGUAUGUCCCAACCCACAUGAAUCUCCGUCCAAACGGUGAUCCAUUUGGAUCUGACCUGUCCCAUCCAGUUCAACCUUCAAACCAAACGCAUGCUUAAUUUUGAAAUAGGGAAAAUUUGUAUGAGACUUGAGCACCUGGUGAUGGUUGCUUUUACAUAGAAACUAAAUACGCACAUCGAAUCUAUUAUGAGAUACAGGAAGACAAAGGCAGUUUUCUCCCAAAUUUCUUUCCCAUCCAUUUGUUCUGAAUCAUCAUGAUCAAGUGCUUCUAACUGAUGAGGUUGUAUACCUAAGGGCCAAUAUAUACGUAGGGUGAUUUUUUUUCAAAAAUAAAGGAAUAGUAAAUAUUCUUGACUUCUUUUCUUCUUUUUAAUCAAGAAACGUAUACUUCCUUUGUCAUCCUAAAUUAUAGGUCGUUUUGGUAUUUAUAGAUUCAUAGCUUUUACUAUGUAUCUAGACAUAGUAUACAUUUAGAUGCAUAACAAAAGCUAUACACCUAGAAACAUUAAAACGACCUACUUCCUCCGUCCCAAAAACAAGUCAUUCUAGAAAUUUUAGGACAUAUUAACAAGAGGUAAAAUGAUCUUGAUUGGCCCUAUUUAUUAGCUAUAUUUGGUGCUAAUUAACUGUUGUAUUCCUACUGCACACAUGCUAAAAUUGUGUAUAAUGAUCGAAAAUUGCAUCGUGGAAUUUGCAAUAAUGCGAUGACGACAGGAAUUGAAUGAAAAGAUCAGAAAAAAUUCGAAUAAAUACAAUGCAAGUAAAAGUUCAUAGAUUCAUGAUUCAUUGGACAAAUUUUAAAUCGCAGAAUGAUUUUUUUGGACGGAGAGAGUACAAUUUAGGAUGGAUGGAGUAGCUACUAAGAAACACUAACAUAGCGUCGAGGUGAGAUAUUAUCCCGAGAGGCGGAGACAGAGAUUGACAAUAAUGAAAGUGGCCAAAAAAUGCCGCAAGGUUCAACACGCACGCCGGAUAGAGAUAAAGGCCGGGCGGACCCGUCAUGGCUCGCCUCGCCCAAGGGAACCAAACUGGCACCAACAGAAUACACGCCUUCAAAAUGGAGGCCUCUCUUCUAUAUAUCGCCGUUGAUAUUCGCCAGCGACCAACCAAACUUUCACAACGAACUGGCCGGAAAGAAGAUGGACAUGGACCUGCCGGUCGGGCCGACGUUGUCGUCGGCCGUCGGUGCUGGCGCCGGCAGCUCAUUGCGGGCGUGGUCGGUGCGCGCCGGCAUCGGCCGCGAGGUGGACGGUCUCGCCGCGGUUCUUGAUGAGACCAAGCUGGUCCUCAGCUUGGCACGCGGGAAGGAGGAGCCGGAGAACAAGGCGUUGGAGGGAUUCUUCAGGGAGCUAGACUACGAGGUGUUCGACGUGGACACCCUCGUCAACGAGCUGGAGGACCGCCGCCGCAUACGGACCGAGGUGGUGGAACCGUGGAAGCAGCUGCUGAGGAGGCCGUCGCUGGGUGGCAGGUUAGUCACAUCGUCAGAAAAUAGAGAUUUUGGAUUCCCCCUUUCUACGAAGAAAAUGGAGAGAUCAAAUCAAACGGGCAUUUGGGUUUAUGAUCUUCACAAGAAACAUGGAUGGAUGAUGCAGAAACCAAAGAAAAUAAGUUUGGACACAUGAUGACACGGUCUCAUCCUUUUGUCGCUAUUUUCUAGUAAAAUAAAAGGUUAUCAAAAUAUUUUCCAGGAUAAAUCUACAAACAAGGUUUUUGAAGUUUUCAAACUAUGGUAGUCCUUGCGGAUCAGUUAAACCGGGUUUGGCACUGCAUGCUUCAGCUCUGGUCCUCCAUGUGCGCCAUUGCAUGCGUCAGUAAACAUGGUGGCGGUUGCGGACGGUAGCUUCCUCCUCUAUUGGUAUUUCCAUAUGGUACUGUAUAUUUUGGGUUUGCAGUCUUCACUCUUCAGUCUCCUUGGUCUGCCUAGUUCAGUUAAUUUGUGAUGCUUCCCGCACGUGUGGUGUUGGAUCAGAUGGUAAUUCAGGCUCUCAGUUAGUUUCUGCCAAAUUUGAUUUCGGACUCAGUUGUAUUAUUGCAAGAAACUUGUGUUAUAUUAAACUUCUUAAUCGGACAUGUUGGAUGUUCCAGAUCCCAAACUUCAAGUUAACUAGAGAAAUGCUGUCGGCAUUAUUGGAAUAAAAUGCAGCUAGCACUUAGGCUUAAACAAGAGCACAUUGUUUUCUCUCUUCCUUUUCUUUCGUUGAGAAAAUUUGUAUAUGCAAGCAUCUAUUUAUUUCUUCUUUUUAAUUUUAUUUCUAGUACUUGGGUAACCAUACUGAGUGAAUGGCAUGCAGGCCUCGGCAGACGAAGCUAGGUUGUUCAGAUGGAACAAACUGUGAUGUAUUUCAGCAGAACAGCUCUAAUACUGACCCAUCAGCCUCAGAUUCAUCAGAACUUCAGCUCGUAACGUACAAAGAAGAAGCAAAAUCUUUGAUGCCUGGGGUGGAACUAGACAACAAGGAUGACAUCCUACGUAGGAUAUCACAUCAUGUCAAUCCGCUCAGUCAAAUGCAACAUUAUGCACGCAAAGCUCUCAGACAUGAGGAGCUUGACUUGCUUGCUCUCUGAAUGAAAUCUGCUGCAGACACGGACUUGAGACAACUCCUUUGGUCCCUGAACCCAGAAUCUAUGGCAGAGACAGGAGGAUUUGUCGGUCUUCGCAGUUGUUGGUAACGGUGGUGUUGGCAAGACCACAUAAGCUCGUGUUCUAUACAAUGACGAGAUAGUCGCCCGCAACAGUUAUAGAAAGCCACCUGUCUAUGACGUGUCCACAUCAGCUAUAGGUAAUAAUUGUAGACUAGUUACUAAACAGAUCAGCUAUAUCAUUUAUUUCAAAAUUUAGUGGGUCCCACGCGCCAGGAUUUCUUUAAUCCUUCCCUCCUCUCUCUCUUCCCUUUCCAUCCUCUCCCUUCCUGUCUUCCCCACCUCCCCUAUCCCGGCAGCACGCCUUCACCUUCGUCCGCUGCUGCUCGCCGGUGGGCCGCGCCCUAAGCCAGCGGGCCGCUUCUCCUUUGCGUUACUGCGUGGCGGCGCUGAGGCCAAGCUCCGUCCCUGGAUGGAGUCCGCCCACGACAGCGGCCAUGCUCCGGUGGCCCCGCACCUGGCCUCCGCCGCAGGCACCCCCGCCAGCAUGCACGCAUGUGGCGCCACUCCCGGCCUCCACUGCGGCCACGCCCGCGGUCAUGUGCGCAAGCGGCACCACUCCCGACCUCCGCCGCCAGCCGCGCCGUCUGCAUGCGCACUAGCGGCCGAGCAGCGCUCCACCAGCUCCAUGCCCGCGCCCGCCGCCCAGCCUCCUCCCUCAUCGUACAGGGUGCCGGUGGCUGAGCCCCGCCUUCCCUCCUCGUAGUGCCGGAGGCCGCAACUUGCCCCCUCCCCACUAGGCCACCACGCUCCUCACCUUUGCUUCUGACAGCGCCCACACACACGCAGGUGGCGCCAUACUGCCCCUUUGACCCCCCAUGUUGGCCACGCCGCGUGCCCCACCUUGCCCGUGCUCGAUGACCUGGGCGACACCUCAUAUGUGGAGUGGAGGCUUGGAGGGUGGAGGCUGGAAGGACUGAAGGAGAGAGGCAGAGGCAGACGGGGAGCGGGGACAGGUAAGGCAUGGAGAUGAGCAGGUGGGCGGGGAGCGCUGUCGGCUCUCGCCAGGUUCAGCAACAGCCGCUUCUUCUAUUUCCUCCAUGCGGGACAAAAAACUGACGUGAAAAUCUUGUAGAGAGCACAUAUCGGCCCGUUGCGGCUGCCAUAAGGGUGUGGAUCUAUGCCUCUAUCAAUUUUGAUGAAAUUAAGCUAACCCCUGAUUUGUUAGAGUGCUUGUAUGGUGACAGGUUUGAGAGAAUUGAGGACAUGAAUAAACUCCAACAGUUUGUUGAGGACGCUGUGAAAUAAAAAAGGCUUGGUCUGGAUGAUAUACGGGAAGAUUGCCAAGCGGCCCCUUAGCGAUCAGUUGUAGCUCUUUCCUCAGAGUAUACAAGAUCUAUUUCAACUAGCAUUGUUAGUAUAAGCCUUUUGUUGAUAAGUGAUUCAGAUUUAAUCUAGCAUAUACAGACACAUAACAGAUAGAGCAGAGGUAACCAAUCUAGAGCAACCUAGAUCAUGCAUAUGUUGUAGUUCUGAGCAUGUAUAACAGAGCAAUACAGAUAUGAUCUUAGUAAAAGUAUCUUUAAAUCUACACCUCCGGUCUGGCUUCCGAAAACCCCUAUCUUACACAAGAAAGAUCCUAUCAUGAUCUCCUCUAUCAGCAUAUGUAAUCUAAGGGCACGAUCACAAGAAUAUGUUAUACUCAUCAGUAGAUCAGGCAUGCAAAUCUGUCACCAUGACCAUAUAAACAUCCUAAGCAAUCUAUCAUAGAUUGAAAAGCAAGCAAGUCCGAAAGAGCAUAAAACCAUAGAAGGAGGCACUUAGAUCGCUAAGAACAAGAACAUAUCUAUUACUUCACCAUGAAUGAUUGUACAUCACCAGAUCUCCACAAGGAUUCUACCUUGAUCUAAUGAUCCUAGCUCCAGAACUCCAACGUGGAUCUUCCUUGCAGGGUUCCCACGUUAGCUAGGGCUUAGCUAUGCUAAUCCCUAUACAACUGCACGACCCUCGUCUCUUCGAAGUGGUAUCCCUCAAGCUCCUUCUGCUUCCUCAUUGGAGAAAUGGGGUAUUUAUAGUCUGGAGGAUCUGUGGCAGAUGGAAGGUGAGGGGGCGAAGGAACACCCCAUGCCGAUUGUCCUGGGCCUUCCUUUUGCCCACUCGCGCAUCCCUUUAUCUCCAAGUCAUCUCAGGUAUUCUGAAGUCUUCUUUUCACUUGCAUGUAGGCCUGGCACGUCGAUAGCUUCAGGAUAAGAUUGAUCCUUGAUAACUCAUAUCUCCGCUUGAUCUUCUUUGAUCCCGAACUCAUUUUGCCAUAUCUUUACAAACUUGGCCCUUAAGUCAUCCUGGAGGAUUGCUUGCUAAAAAAUGAGCAUGAGAGGGGCCCUAAGGACCCUAGGCCGAUCGACAUGGGCCUCUAUAGGCCGAUCGGCCUAAGCCCUAGUUGGGCUUGGUGGCCUUCAUCUGUCUCUGGUUCGUUCAGGGCUUUACCCAAUUACGCUCCAUUAAGUUUAAUUUCCUGCAAAAUGGGCUAUCCUCCAAAAUAUAUUGCAUAUGUGAAAAUGACCCGUUUAUUAGGUAUGAUCAAUAGUUUAGGUAUUAAAUUCAUGUUAUUAUUGAAGAUAAAGAUGGGUAAAAAAAUAUCAAUAAUGAGCGUCAACAAUCCCCCCAUGCUUAAACCUUGCUCAUCUUCAAGUAAGUCUUCAAUAGAAAUCAGCGUUGCCCUUCGGUGUUCAAUCCUGCACUUGAUCAUGCACAAGAAAACAUAAUAUUCUCAUAAUAGUUUUUUAAUUAGUAUUCAAGUUGUAACCAGUCUUUUCUAAUAUGGAGGGUAGAUAUCAUUUAAGCACACCUCCCACAAUAUAUUAAUCACUUGCUCUCAAUUUUAAACAAAUCUCAAAAGAUUUUCGAUAAAAUUUUUUCAAAAAGAAACUGAACCGAGAUCAACAAUUUAAACUUUAUUGCAACUGCUCAUUAUUUUCUCAGCUCAUCAAGUCUCUCGAACCUGUGCUAGAACUGUUCCAACCUGUCAUCCCUCGUAAAAAUAUGUAUAAGGCUUUAUCUGGAUCUUUGGAAGGUUAGUCCUAGCAAAAUAUUAUAAUCAGGAUAUUAUCAAAAUAAGAAAGACUUCUGAUGGAUAUAACCGAGACUUGUUAAAAAGGUUAUGAAAAAUAAUUGCUUAUGGAGAGGGAGAAAAUGAACACACACUUUCAGAUAGUGGACAUGUGCAAGGGCAAAAGGUGAUCGCGAGACACAAAUGAAGUCCUUGAAAUCGGAUUGCAUAUGGUUGAAAAAUGAGUAUGGAUCAAUCUUGAGAGCACUUUGGAAUUUUCAAUGAAGCUUGGAGAAUUAAGGAGUACUUUUAUUUUUUUUCUCCUUUUUAUUUUUUAUUUUUUAUUCCUUUUCCUUCCUUUUUUCUUUCUUUUCUUCUCAAUAUAUUUUUUUUCUUUUUCUCCUAAGAACUUCUUGCAACAUAGUACUUCACUCAGCAGUAGUUAAAAAUAGUGCGAUGACUCUCCCCCAUGCUUGAACGAUGCUCGUCCUCAAGCAUGAAAGAGGAAAAAAGAUAAACUGCUGAUGUAAGUAACAAAAUCUUCAAUCUUCUGCAGAAAAUUAUUUUAUUCUUCUGGAGGAUUGUCCACACCAAAAUUCAGAGGGUCCAAAGGGGAAUGACCAGCUUGUAAGUCUCGUACCACAGAAAUAAAUCCUGAAUCAAUUCACCCAAAAAUAUAUCAUGCAGUCUAUGGUUCAUCAUGAUAUAAAUAUUUGGCUUUGGAUAGGUAGAACAAUUGCAAGAAGUAUUAUUGACAAGGUGAGUGCAAUGAUAAUAAAAAAUAAAUGAGCCUUUGAUCUAUUUAAAAGAGAGAGCGAUAAAUAUAUGUGGGUCUCAAGUUAUCAUAACCUACACAAAAAGAUAAGCAGGUAUUUAUAUCAUUUCAAACUGUGUUAGAGAGAGCAUUAGUUCAAUGGUGCAAUAACCAAGCACAAAAAGCAAACAAAGCGGCAACGAUCAUCAUCUUUCAACAUGACAUUUGAUGGCAGUUAGCAUGCCAAUUUAUGAACCGCAAGCAUACAGAUUAGUUGUAGCUCUUCCCUUGGAGUAAUCGCUCAAGGUUUAUCAAUCUAUGGAACAAGUGGAUUUGCACGCGUAACUAAGCACUAAUCUAUGUAACUGAAGGUUCUUUGUAUAUGAUAUGAUUAUACUAAUAAAAGAACUGAGAAAUCUAGAUUAAGGCAGAUAGAGAGUAUGAAUGUAAACAAGAUAGAUAAAACGCUUGUCCUAGGAAUCUAAGAUCACCUGUAGAUGUAAUCGCCAUGCAUGAAAGAACUAGAUCUAAGUGUUAUCGUGAGUGGAUGUGAAUCAUGCCCCACUUUCCCUCUCGCACGUUGUCACUACACGAGGGUACUCAAAUAUUAAACGAUAAGAACAUGGCAUGAUGAUCAUUCUAGGUAAGCAAAUAAGUAACCCAAAGUAGCGCUGGCCAACCAUUGCAUGAAACAACAUCAUCAAGAUAUGAUAGAUAACAAACAGAUCUUAAACAAGAGGUUCAGCAAUUACAAAUCAAGAUCUCCAUACAACCCUCGAGGACAAAUAGAGACUUUACCCCAUGGUCUAACACAUAUUGACAGAAUUCUGGGUAGAGAUCACCCUGUAGAUCAACUGGACCGAAGACGACGAUGAACGGGGGCAGGAAAGCCGCAGGCCGAUCGGCUUGGGCAGCUCUAAGCCGAUCGGCUUGGGAGGUUUCUCCCUCCUCUGGUGCUCCGCUUCGCGUGGCUUCUUGUAGACCCAAUCUUCUCUCCGUUUUUCCUCCUUGUGGCGGUGGUGGAUGGUGUUUACAUGGUGUUUUCUCCUCUCUCUCUGUCCUACUCUUCUUCCUUGAAGUCCAUGAGGGGUAUUUAUAGUCUCCCAUAGGUGGUGGAUCUGGGUCAAUGUCGGUGAAAAAACCCUAGAGAUCAUUGUAGACUUCACGCUGAAGAAACGGGAGGUCGACCGAGCCCUGGAAUGGGCCAGGCUGAUCGGCCCAGAGGGUCUCAGGCCGAUCGGCCUGGGCCCUUCCUAGCCCUUCUGGUCCUCUCCUUCCUUGUGUUGGCUUCCCUCGACGACCCAUGUCCAAAUAGCCAUUAAGCUCUUUAUACAAACUCCCUUGAUUAUGUCGUAUUUCUUGCCAAAAUACAACAUGGUCCAAAAUACAACAUAUAUGUAAUAAUGGAGUUAUUUCAGGUGCCAAGUUUUGGGUUAGUAUAAGAAUAAGUAUGAAAACACUGGUUAAGUAGCACUAAAAGUGUGUCAAUAACGAGUUUCAACGAUCCCCCCAUGCUUAGCUCUUGCUAGUCGUCGAGCAAGUUAGGCGAUUAUAAACUUCUCCAGUAGGGUUGAACAAAGAUCUUGAACUAAGCCUAAGCAAGCAAGUCAAGUACCUAGCCUUCAAACAAAAGAUCAAAGGAGUAGCAAAGAUAAUCAAAGUAUGAGUGUUCAAAGAUUUAUCUAAGCAAAGAUUCCCCACAGCUAUUGUUCAGAACCAAGUAACUUCAAGAAUCAACUACACUUACUUUCUAGCUUUCUUCGGAGGGUUUUUAUUUCAUCAUAAAACAAUCUCCCUGCAACAAAAUUGAAACAAGAAUUCUUUUCCAGGAGCUUACGUGUUGCACAAAUGAAUGGUGGCUAUCCUACUUAUUUGCAAGUUGUCAUCUCUCAAAAGUCACUCAAUUAUAUGGUGGAGCUUGGGUAAAACUAGCUAGAAUCAUUACUUAUAUUAUCAAAUUAAGAAAACUCUCUAACGGUUGCUUACCGAGCCAUUGAGCAUAAGAAUAUCCACAUAAUGUGAGGUUUUCAAGGAUGAGAAGAUAUAGAAUUGUGGACAUGUGCAAAGGCAAAUAAAAUAGUGACUUUGAGGCACAAGCGAUGUCCUCAUCGUCGGAUUGCACGUGGUUGGAAUGAAAUCCGUUCUGUAAACAAGUUCAUCUUUUCUUUGCACCUCUCUUGAUCUUCAUGCAGUAAAAACUCCUCCUUUAUUUCUUUCUCUCUUUUCCUAUUAUUUCUUUUUCAUUUUAUCAAUACUUUUCUUUCUUUUUUUUCCUUCUUACUUUCUUUCUUUAUUUUUAAUCUCUUCUACGAACCUCCUCUGAACACCACACCAUAAAAAUUAGUUUUAGAUCCUUCCAGAGACCUUCAAUGAAUGUGCUGCCUAAAAACUGAUGCAGAGGAGCCCCAAGCCGAUUCGCCUGGAGGGGACUAGGCUGAUAUGCCUGGCCUCUCCUUUCUUCCCCUCUAGCUCUUCUUUCUGGUGAAGCUUCCUUAUCUUGCAUCUUUCCAAAAUUUCAUUGAGCUUGACUAGGAAUGGAACAGAUCUUCAUAUAAUGGGUUGUGUUCAAGGAAUAGGUAAUAAAAUUGAGAAAUUUAUAGUUCGGGUUUAGGAAUUUAGUAGAAAAUAUGAUUUUUUCCAAUGAAGAACUCUCAUUACUGAAUAUUGAUGAGGCUAGAAAUCAGAGAUGGUAAAAGCAUACAAUCAAUGCUCAGAAUUAAAGCAAACCAAAGAGAUAGCGAUCCUAACUCAAUUCAAAGCGUAAAUUCUUGCUUAUGUUGGUAUGAAUAAAUAUUUUUAGGCAUUGGGUAGGAUAGGCAAAACUCUCAACCUAGUAGAAAACUUGAUCAAUCUUGUUUUUGCAGAGGUUUUAGAUAAGCAAUAAAAUUCUAAAUCAUCUCCAAUUUAAUCCUUACUAAUAAAGCAUAAUCAAAACCAAAGCACUUAAUCAUCAUAAAGCAUGGGUAUUGCAUGAACAAAUCAAUUACUAAACUUCACAACUAAGAUUUAGAAUUCAAGACAAUGCUCAUGAUCCAAAAUUGCAUAGACAAAAUAAGAGACAAGCAAACAAAGGUAGACACUAAAAACACUUGGGUGAUCCUCGAAUUUUAUUCGUGCUUCUUCUCACAAAGACGCUAAAGUAACGAUCUAGGCCUAAGUCUUUCUAGAAGCUUAAGAAGACUACUACUUUAUCUAUUUUUGAUUGAAAUAAAAACACUAAAUUAGACUAUCACGUGACUCAACUUGACCAAACUAGAUCCAAAAACUUAUACGAGCAGUGAUCUCCCGAUGCUUAAAAUUUACGACGUCCUCAUCGUAACCACAUGGAGUACAAAGGGAAAGACUCUUGUAAAUGCACUAGUGAUGCUGCCCGCACUGCUUGCAUACAGGAUGGCUGCUGCUUCCUUCGCCAUGAGCUCUGUUCUUCCUCAUGUUGCCGCACAUCCCGAAGUGCUUCUUCACAUUCCUCUACAAGAACUUGAAGUCAUCCUCCUGCCGGCGAUCAUUAUCAUCUACCUUUUGAUCCAGAACUUGCAAGGCUUCCAUGAUGUCGUCGACGACUUCGAAGAGGUAAUGUAUGUUCUUCCUGCAAGCGGUGCAACACGUAUGAUCAUGCUCCUCCGGUUCUGGCCCGUCAUCUUCUAGAACUUUUCUCUUUGCCCUUGUCUUGACGGCGGUCCUCUUCCACCUUGCUUUUCUUCAUCUUGUCAGCCAAAUCCCAGUACGUGUUGGCAUCUUUUUCGUCAUCAUGGCCUGCAGCACCCCAUGAUCUGGGGCUCCUAUCAUCCUCCCAAUCGCUAUCACCUCCGUAGUCAGCUAGCGAGUACUUAGGUGUCUUCUACACAUAGCUCUUUUUCUUGAUCCCAAGGAGCCUUGCUGAACGCCUUGUGGGAGCGACGAUGACCUCCUUCUUCUUGGUUGCUUCAUCAUCACUUGAGGAUGAUGAACUUGAGAUCCAUGAGCUUUCCAAAUGGCGCCUUACCCCCAACGUUGAUGCAAGCGUUAUGAGCGGUCCUUGGUAGAGUUUUGGGAUCCAACUCGCACCUCUUGGCUUCCAUGUGAAGGGCGAAGGCGGCGGCCAAGGGAGGGGGUGCUGCCGAUCGGCCUGGGGAGGUUAGGCUGAUUGGCCUGGCCUCCUCCUUCACUGGUUGCUACCCCCUCUCGUCUCCCGAGCUCCUGGAUGUCGCCGUUGCACUUUUUUUCUAGUUUGGUGGAUCUGAAUUGCUUGUGUAGAUGCGAAACUCGAGCUUCAGUUGGCCUCAUUAUAUACUCUUGAAGUUUUAGCCAAGGAUCCACACAUUUUGAAAAAUUUCCUUGCCCCUUCCUGCAAAAAUUCACUUAAAUAAUCUGUCAUUACCAAAGAUGGGAAAGGGGGAACCGAAAUGGAGGCAAAAACCCCCCAAGACAAUUGGCCUGGGGGCUACUAGGCCGAUCAGCCCAAGGGGUUUUCAGCCUCUCUGUCUCCCAUCUUUUCAUGGUAGUGCGUAUUGUUGAUGGUUGUUAGCAUGCCAAGUUGUGAACCGCAAGCGUACGGAUCAGUUGUAGCUCUUCCCUCAGAGUAUUCCCCUAAGGUUUAUCAAUCCUUGGAACUUGUAGCACAAGAUCUAUUUCAAUUAGCAUUGUUAAUAUUAACAUGGUGUUUAUGAGAGAUUCAGAUCCAAUCUACUAAGGAUGUACAGACAGAUAACAGAUAAAAUAAAGGUAACCAAUCUAGAGCAACCUAGAUCGCUAAGAACAUGAACACAUCUAUUACUUCCAUGAAUGAUUGUACAUCACAAGAUCACCACCGGGAUCCUAUCUUGAUCUUGAUGACUUCUAGCUCCAGAACUCCAGCGUGAUCUUCCUCGUAGGGUGAUCACGCCAACAGAGGUUCGCCUAGGCUAAUCCUUGACAACUACACGGCCCUCAGCUCUCCAGAGAGGUGUCCCUCAAGCUCCUUCUGCUUCUCUGCUAUUUCACAUCAAGUACGUCAUCUUUGAUAUGGGGCUCGGUGGAUUUUUUGGGGUAUUUAUAGUCUAGAGAGCGCGUGGCAAAAAUUGGAAGGCGAAGGGGCGAAGGAAACACUAGGCCAAUCGGCCUGGGCCUUUCUUUUGGCCCGUCGCGUCCUGCUUUGUCUUCAUGUCUCCUCUGGUGCUUUGAAGUCCUAUUUUCACUUGCAUAUGGGCCUGGCACGUCGGUUGCUUCCAGAUGAGAUUGAUCUUCAAUGACUUUCCAAAUCUUCACUUGAUCUUCUUUGAUUCCUCUUUGAUCCCAAAGUGAUCCUUGCCAUAUCUUCACAAACUUAGCCCUUAAGUCAUCUCGGAGGAUUGCUUGCCAAAGAUGGAUGACGGAAGGCUCCAGAAGACCCUAGUCCGAUCAGCCUAGGCUCCUUUCAGCCGAUGGGCCUAGGCCUUUCCUAGGCCCAUUGGCCUCCGUCUUCAUUUGAUUCGAUGCUCGUUUAUUGCUUUAUCCAAAAAUAUACUUUAAGGUCCAAUUCCCUGUAAAAACAGAACAUCCUCCAAUAUAUGUUGCACAUGUGAAAAUAACCGGUUUAUUAGGUGUAAUCAAUAGUUUAGGUAUUAAAUUCAUGUCAUUAUUUAAGAUAAACAGGGGUAAAAGUGUGUCAAUAGUGAGCAUCAACAAUCCCCCCAUGCUUAAACCUUGCUCGUCCUCGAGUAAGUCUCCAAUAGAAAUCAACGUUGCCUUUCGAUGUUCAAUCCUGCACUAUAUUCCACAGAAGAAAACAUAAUGCUCUCAUAAGAUUUUUCAAUUAAUAUUUAAGUUGCAACCAAGAUUCUCUAAUAUGGAGGGUAGAUAUCAUUUAAGGACAUCCCACAAUAAAUUUAUUCUUUUGCUCUCAAUUUUAAACAAACCUCAAAAGAUUUUCAAUAAAAUUUUUUAAAAAGAAAAUGAACUGAGAUCAACAAUUUAAACUUCAUUGCAAUUGCUCAUGUUCUCUCAGCUCAUCAAGUCUCUCAAACCUAUCCUAGAACUUCUCCAACCUGUCAUCACUCAAAAAUAUGUGUAAGGCUUUAUCUGGAUCUUUGGGAAGGUUAGUCCUAGCAAAAAUAUUAUAAUCAAGAUAUUAUCAAAAGAAGAAAGACUUCUGGUGGAUCUUACCGAGACUUGUCAAAAAGGUCAUGGAAAAUAAUUAUUUAUGGAGAGGGAGAGAGUGAACACACACAUUUAGAUAAGGGAUAUGUGCAAGGGCAAAGAGUGAUCGCGAGGUACAAAUGAAGUCCUUAUAAUCGGAUUGCACAUGGUUGGAAUAAUGAGUAUGGAAUAAUCCUUAAUCUUGAAAGCACUUGGGAUCUUUAUGAAGCUCAAAGAACUGAGGAGUAUUUUAUUUCUUUUUCUAAUUUUUUCUUUCUUUUUCCUUUUUCCACAAUAUAUUUUUUCCUUUUGCUCCUCAGAACUCUUUGCAACAUAUUACUUACUCAGCAGUAGUCAGAGAUAAUGCGAUGACUAUCCCCCUCAUGCUUAGACGAUGCUUGUCCUCGAGCAUGAAAGGGAAGAAAGAUAAACUGCUGAUGUAAAUACCAAAAUCUUCAAUCUUCUGGAAAAAAUGAUUGUACUCCACUGGAUGGGUUUUCAUGCCAAAUUUCAGAGGCAACAGAGGGGGGAACACCCCAGGCCGAUCGGCCUGAGGGUGGCCAGGCUGAUCGGCGUAGCCUCUUCUAGCUUCUGUUUCGUCCGCUUUUUAUUCCAUGCACUAGUGGUUGCCUCCAAGUCUUGAUUUUCAUGAAAAGGCACUGAAUAAUCUUUCGAAUCUUCGUCGAAAUAUUUUCCAUACUCAAAUUGGGUUGUGGUCAAGGAGGUAGUCUCAAAAAUGAUAUAUUUGGGUUUUGGUUUGGAUGCCCAGGGAAGUUUGCGAAAUUUUCAGUGUAGAAAUUCACAAUGCAUGGACAGAAAGGCUUGCAAUAAGAGGUUACACAAAAAGGAAUGGCCAGCUUCUAAGUCUCAUACCACAACACAAAACUAGAUCCUUAAUGAAUUCACCCAAAAAUAAAUUUUGCAAUCUAUGGCUCAUAAAUAUUUGGCUUUGGAUGGGUAGAGCAAUUGCAAAAAGUAUUAUUGACAAGGUCAACAUGAGUUGUAACUAAAAAUAAAAGAGCCUUUGAUCCAUUUAAAAUACAGAUCCAUACCCAAAUAUAUGGGUCCAAAUUAUCAUAACCUCCACAAAAAGUAAGCCAAUAUUUAUAUUAAUUUCAGUUCGUGUUAGAGAGAGCAUUAGUUCAAUGGUGCAAUAACCAAGAACAAAAAUUAAACAAAGUGGCAACUAUCAUUAUCUUUCAACAUGAUAAGAACUUAAACCAUCACAAUUAAUUACGUAUCAUUAUAUUUAGGUGAUGCAUAUUUUAUUUAAGCAUGGCAUGGUGAAAUAAACACAUAAAUUGAAAAUAAAGAGAAAAUAAAAUAGAAAAGUAAAACAGAAAAUACUAUGCAUACCCAACACACAUGUUGAAAUAAAUAAAAAGAAAAGAAAAGAAAACUCAAACCACACGUGUGUGUUUUUAUUCAUCUCCUUCGGUCUCUAGUCCAGGUCAUCUUGCGGUGGGUCAUAUUGUGGCUCUCCUUUCGGCGCGUCUUCUUGCUGUUGGUACUCGUGAUACCCCUACUCGUAGUGCUCCUGCGCUCCACCUUGGUACUGAUUUGGAGGCACAAUCCUUAGCUUGCCGAACUGAUAGGUGAUGGUUAUGUUGUUGUCCCCAAUACUGUCAGCAGCUUGCCUCACAGUACCUGCAUACCUGCAUCUUCUAAAUUUCUUUGUAUACACAUGCCUAUGAUGCGCGCACUUCUCUAUGGCUGUGGCAGGUGGCUGUACUAAGUAGACAAUGGAGCAUGUGGUGGGGUCCCUAAAAAGGAGGUGCAUAUAACCAUGAAAAGCAUAUGGUGCCAGUGGAGGUGGAUGCGCCGGUUGCUGAAAUUCCGAUUGUACUGGAUACACCGGCUGUUGGAGUUCUGGUGCAUAUGGACCUUGAGCCCAUGCUUGUGCCGGCACCUCCAGCCACUGUUCUUGCUACCAUCCUUCAUGGACUCCCUCGUAACUUGGUGCAUUCUAAAACUCCGUCUGCUAGUAGCUUGAGCUAGGUGGUGGCACUUGUAUUUCUGGAGCUGCUUGUGAUGAUUAACCUUCUUCUAUUCUUUGUACUCUCUUGUCUUUCUUUGUAGGAAAUAAAAUUCCUUCUUCCCUCCAGUUAGUCUUGCCCACAUGGUAGAUUUCCAGUCUUCUGUCUUGCAACUUAAAAUUAGUGACUCCAACUAUAUAUCCUUUCUCUUCGUCACCACCAAUUAAGUGUGCAUUUUUUAUUGUCUUGGCGUCAAUGCUUCCUUCUUUAAUGAAUCACUCAGAGACCCUUUCAAUAUCUGACUUCAAAAAGGAUGCAAUCGUGUGUGGCGGAACCACCCAAAUUAACCCGGCUAAAGUGUUCUCAACGUCACCUCAUAUGCGAACCACACUUUAAUCAAGUCAAUUCGACAGUUUGUCGUGUUAUACCUGAUAAACCACUUGUUUCGGAUCGAAUGAAAAGCAUCUCACACGAAGGCGAGUCUAGAGAUUACAAUAUUCCAGUACUUAAAGCAUAGAUCCGAAUUAAAUUAUUACCCAUCCAUUGUUCAAAAGUGCAUAAGUAAAAUGUUCAGAGUUUCAAAGCAGUAGAAAAAUGAUAACAACUACACGUCGAGACAAAAUAUCAUGGGGAAGCCAACCAUGAUAUCAAUAACCGCGAUCCUUGUCAUUCAAGGAUGGGUCCCACUCGAUCGUCCAACCCAGAGAGAGCUGGGUCGGCCAAGUCAAGCUAGCAGCACAAUCAUCAACAUCUAUCAUAGUACCUGAAAAGAUAAGCCACAAGCAAGGCUGAGUAUACUAAUACUCAGCAAGACUUAACCAUCGGGUGGUAACUACUCUACCAACUUCUAGACAUGCAAGGCUUUUUGGCUGAGCGGUUUGUUUGCCAAAAGCAUCUACGGUGGGUCCUUACUUUCAUAUUUUAGCAUCAGAUUCUAGUUGAUUAUCCAUUCUAGGUAAGCACCUAUUCUAAGCAAACAUGUGAUCAAGCAAUUUAAUUCAAGCAUCAGUAUUAUUCAUCACCAUUUGUUCCUCUUCUUACUCAGUGCAGAAGCGCAGUCAAGUAGUCUCAAACUGUGAGAGGCAUAUGAUUCAAAUCGAGUUUCUUAACCUUGCAAGGUGAACCUAACCCCACAAUAUAUGCUACUGCCAUGCCAGGUUCACAUAUAUCAGCCGUCCCCGUUAAUUCACGACAUUUGUCCAGAGCCCACUUCCCUUGGCAUACAAUACCCCAAUGGUCCCGGAACGAUGCCGUACCGAGGCUGCACUUGUACCCACAUGAGGUCUUAUGGGAACUCGGUUCCAGAGAGAGUGGGGUAAUGGUCCACGCUGGUUCAAUCAGGUACUAGGCUUCCCCAUCCUAUACUAGGUAUGAUAUUAGUACUUUCAAACACUUGACCACUGUUCUAACAUAUCUCGACCUUAGCUGUUUUCCACUAGACAGACGGGGCAAUCCGAGAUCCACCAAUACAGAACAUAUAGACCAGCCCCGUCCAUCAUCCUUAUGGUUGCAACAUAAGUAAAUAGGCAACUCCUAUAGCUCGCGAGUGACAGGAAAUCACUUGACUUUCAUUGUGUCCCUAUUUAGCAUAGCAACUACAUGACUUAACAUACAAGUAUUCAGCACAUAGGUACCUAGGAUCAUGCGACUAAGGUUCAAGCAACUCCUAUAAACUUAAUGCAUAACAUAACUAGCAUAAGUAGUGCAUAAUUUUAGAAACCAGGGUUAUGCUCCAGGGCUUGCCUUCUCGUCCUAAGUUUAGAUUAGCCUUGGGCUCUUCCGAACUUGGUUCGGGUCUUGAUUUGCCUCAAUUACGUCGGGCCCGGGUGGGUCCUUCUUGACAUUUUGGGCCGAGCUCGUACAUUCCAUUCGCGAGGUUAGCUUCUACACAAGAUGAAUAUGCAAUAAUUCAACAAUUCCACCUUUCACGGUCUAAAUGGCAUUUCAUAUAUUAUUACAAAGCAUAGCUAACUCAAGACCAAACUUAUUUAGACAAGCACCUAUACUAUCUUUCUUCACAGUUUGGUGCAUUUUCAUGAUUUAGACACUUAGUUCUUGUUUGAUGGUGACUGUGUACACAUAUAACAAGUUUAUUAACUUUAGAUUGGAAAGUUCUCCUAUUUCUGAAUGUUUUGUUGCACCUCUUCCAAUAUUACCAUUUUACCCUUACUACUACUUAAUGUUCUUUCAUUCAUUUAAUCGGGUUUAACUUCCAAAUUUUGUUUCAGCAUGCAAAUAGUGGGGUAUGACACCAAAAAUUUAACAAGAAUUCAAGCAUGUCAUUACGAUGUUACUGUAAAAAUUUGGAGCUCACUGGACUUCGACAAAAAUCAUUAAAAUGACACCAAGAUCCUAUGGUUGAAAGUACUUAACUAUUUUUAUCUCAAAAUCUACAGAGAAUUUGUUGCUGAAAUUUAAACAGUGUGUUAUACAAGUGCAACAGAGGUUACAGUGAAUUUUCCACGAUUUGUGGUGAAGAACAUCUAUUUUCCAUAUUUUUCUAGUAUUUAACUUUGCAUAAAAAGGAAAACAUGUAUCAUCAAGUUUCAUCCAGUGAACCUUACUUUUCCUAGCAAGUAUGUUUCAUGGGUGAUCUAACAAAGGUGGUUUCAUAUUUUUCUCUAACAAAUUCUAUUACCUAUGCAAAAAGUAAAUUCUUUCAAUAGAUUUCAAUGAUAAAUGUAAAACAGUGUGUAAAACAUCUAAAUUAGGGUCACAAAUAUUUUUCCUAGCACAAGAUCAGUGUGACAAAUCUAACAGAGGUGGUUUUGUUAUUUUACCAUUUUUGGGUGAUUUACCAAGCAUUUAAAGGCUUAAACACCAAAUAAAAUCUAGUGCUAAACACAAAUCAGAAACAUGCAUAUGAGUAUUUUUAAAUGAAUCUACACGUCACCAGGAACCUAGCAAAAUAAUAAUCAUGUUUUUCCCCUUUUUCUACAUUUACUUAUAUAUUUUCAGUUUUUCAGCCUUUUUAGAUCUAGGAAAUAAAGAAAACCGGGAUCAACUUGCAGACUAGCCCCCUGAUCUAAGGUUUAAUCGCGCAAAGAUCCUUUGAUUUCUCCGAUACCCCCCUACACUUGUUCUUCUUCUUCCUUCACAUCCCUCACGCAUUAGACACAACACAGAAGCAUGGUACAACAUGGAUUGGCAUGGCCAGCCACGGCAGGGGAAAGGGGGAGGAUGGCGUGCUUAGGGAGCACGGAGAGGGGGCAUGGAUGUGCCCUGGGGCAGCGACGCUUACCAGCAGGGGCGCAACGCAAGGAGGAGAGCGGCGCCAUAGGAAGUUCAUGGGUAGGAAGGGCGCGGAUGGGGGCUCGCCGUGGAGGGGGCUGUCUGGCGAGGGAGGACCGCCGGGAAGCGACAAAAUGGAUGCGCGGCGUCGAGGAGGCACUGUGGCUGUGAGGAAUCAACCAAAGACUCAACAACGGUGACAAAUUUCUCUGGUGAAGGAUGGGGAAUAGUUGGAGCUUGGUUCUAGCAAUGGAGGUUGGGAGGAAGGGGUGAGUGAUUCUAGGGGGGGGGGAGGGCGUUGGGGCUGCUUAUAUAGCCGAGGCGAGGCGAGGAUAAGAGCGGUGAAGUGACAAAGCACGGGGCACAACCAUUGGAGGGGAGGGGAGCUCCGGUGCUUGGGCACUUGUAACAAUCUGGGUGCUUAAACGGUGUUUUAAUUGUAAGAGGAAGUCCUUUGUGCUUAAAGAAAAUAUUUGGGAACUUUUAGGCAAAGUCCAAGCUUUGGGGCUCUCUAUUUAGAGGUUUCCAAUGUCAUCUUGAGCUGAGCCCUAUACCAAAGUUUUAGAGCUUUGGGACCUUAACAACUUUGCUUUAAGAAGCAAGUUUGAAAUCUGCCCCAAAAGCCUUCAAAUCAAGGUCAAAGUUCCCUAGCUUGGUCAACUCAGCCCCUUUAGCCAUUCCGGCUAAGUCUGGAAUUCAGCCCGACCUGGCGCCUUAGGGUGGGUUUAUCUUUGGAAAGUUGAACAGAACAUCAAGAAACCCCUUUAUAGAAGUUGGAGAACUAAGUUCCUACAACAACCUUGCUAAUUGGAUCUUGGUCCAAUUCACCUCCGAAGCUUCCUAAAUCUGCAGCUCAAAUCAGCUCAGAACCCUGAAAAACCAGCCAAAUCACUGUUUUUCCCUAAGUCCCGGAAACCGGCAUUCCUCCAAACUUUGGAGCUUUGAAUCUCCAAAUCCACCACAUUUUUGAACUUCGUCAAAUUACAAGAGUUGGACCUUGGUCUGUGUACUACAACUCUUGUAAAGGGAGUCCACGUGGUGCAGUUUGAAAAUCGGGAGAUCAAGAGGCUGGAAGAUGGGCGUGGCAAAGGAUGUCGCGGAUCCGUCGGCCAGACAGCGCCAGAGCACGCGUGCACCGCACUCCAGAGCGCCAGCGCCGCGUGGCGUGACCUCGCUGGUGAGCGCCGCCUCGCCCAGUCGCCGGCCGCGACAAGAUGGGUCAACGUGCCUUGCUCCCCAGUCAUGUGCGACGACGACCCGCAGUCCUCCGCUCUGUCACGUCUCGUCUCGUCCGAGGCCUCGCUGGCCGCGCCAGGUGCACUGCCCACAGCUCCGCUGUCGCCCCGGCCACUCUGCGACCGAAGACCGUCCGCUGCAGCGCCGGUACUGCCUCACCUCACGUGCGCAUCCAUCUCACCCGGAUCCCCGACCGUGCGCCCCAACGCCUUUUGGCCCUCCCAUCACACCCCAAUCGCGCUGCCCGCGAGUGCGCCCUACGACGCUACCGUCUCCGCCAACCACCAUGCAGGCAGUGAUAGCUCCUUCCCCCGCCUCGCCAGUAGUGUGCCCCGGCAGAGCCGCUAGUCCCGCGCAUGCUCGUGUCACACCGCUCGCCCUGUCACCUCGCCUGCAGCGCCCUCGCCUGCAGUGCCCUUCCCUCCCUCCUAUCCGCCAAUGGUGCCGCUGCCAGUAAUGGCCGUGACCACACACGCGCGUAGACCUAGCAGAUCCACGUGCCCAUCAAACCUGCUUUGCCCCCAGCCCCAAAUCCUCACUGCCCAACCAGGGCAAGAUUGCGUCCGAGCUCGCCAAUGGAGGCGCCAACCAAUCGCUGCCGCAGCAGAGCACUCCUUUUCUCCCUCAAUCUUAUCCUCUCGCCGCUCGAGCUCGUUUUCUUCCUCCGAACACUUCCGCGCAUCUAUAAAAGGGGUACCGAAGCCUCUUACCGGAGUUCCCUUUGGUACCACCGCCAUUGCCGCACUACUUGCUCUUUUAUUCUCCACCACACUCGCUGCCACACACUCCUCUGCUUCGCGUUCAAGCGCCGCCGCCUGAGCUCAUCGUGGAGCUCCCGCUUCCGCCCAACACCGCACCUUGCCGACCUAACCAGCCGCUUCACCAUCCUUUAACUCCGCUCUAGAGCUUGCUUGUUGUCCACAAGAAGCACCACCGCCGCCGAAACGCCGUUGAUCCUCGUUCCGCCUCAACUUGUUUCUUCCCAACCCCGGGACCUCGUCAGUAGGAUUGGAGGUGAGCUGCCAACCCCCUUCCAGCUCGCCCGACCCUGUCCGCCUCGCCCGAGUGCUGUCCGCCUCACCCAACUCGCCCAAGUGCUGUCCGCCUCGCCCGAGUGUUGUCCGCCCGCUCGAGGGCUCGGUUGUGUCUUUUUCUUUUGACCGAGGGUAUUUGUGUAAAAUUCCGAGGACUUCUCUAUGUUAAAUCUGAGGAUCCCGGUACAACUAUUCCUUAAGUCUAAGGUGUUGGUGUUUGAGGGAAUCGUCAAAGUACAUUACCGGUCAUUCGACUGGUGUUGGUACUUGAUUUUCAGUCCAUUCAGCCAUGAAGUCGACCAAAGCUUGAGAUUUGAUAGCUGUUCUUGGUUUAAAGUCCAAGGUUAAAGCUCCGAGCUCUACUGCCCAUUUGGAAAUUCUACCCGUGGCAUCUCUAUUGUGGUGAAUUUCGCCGAGCGGGAAGUCAGUGAUGACUGUGAUGCUGUGUUCUUGAAACUAAUGUCGCAGCUUUCGUGAAGUGGGCAAAAUCGCAUAAAGGAGUUUUUUGUAUUGGCGAGUAUCGAGUUUUGGAUUCUGAGAGUACUUCACUGAGGAAGUACACGGGUCUUUGGAUUUUGUAAACAUGGCCUGGUUCCGACCGUUCGACUACUACUGCCGUGCUGAUGACGUGAGUAGUAGCUGCUAUGUAUAGGAGGAAGUCCUCGUUUGGAGAUGGAGUAGUGAGGAUUGGAGGUUUCGACAAGAAGUCUUUGAGUUGCGUUAGUGCUUUGUCUGCCUCUUCUGUCCAUUUGAACUUGUCCUGUCGUUUGAGAAGCUUGAAGAAGGGUAGUCCUCCUUCUCCAAGUCUCGAGAUAAAUCGAUUGAGGGCUGCCAUGCAGCCUGUGAGUUUCUGCACAUCUUUGAUGCUAGCUGGAGCGUGCAUGUUUGUGAUGGCAGAUAUUUUCUCCGGGUUGGCCUCAAUGCCACGAUGGCUAAUGAUGAACCCGAGUAGUUUACCAGAAGGUACUCCAAAAACUCAUUUGGUAGGAUUGAGUUUCCAUCGGAAAGCUCGUAAGCUUGAGAAGGUUUCCUCCAAAUCGGCGAUUAGGUCUUCCUGAUUUCUUGUUUUGACGACUACGUCGUCCACGUAAGCUUCAACAUUAUGAUGUAAUUGCUUUUCGAAACACAUCUGUAUAGCUCGUUGGUAAGUUGCCCCUGCGUUUUUUAGUCCAAAUGACAUUGUUGUGUAGUAGAAAGCCCCAAAUGGAGUGAUGAAGGCUGUUUUAGCUUGAUCUUCUUCUUUGAGGCUUAUCUGAUGAUAGCCUGAGUAACAGUCGAGAAAGCAUAGCAAAUCGCACCCGGCAGUAGAGUCAACUAUUUGGUCGAUCCUGGGUAAUCCAAAAGGGUCUUUUGGAUAGUGUUUGUUGAGAUCCGUGUAAUUGAUGCACAUUAUCCAUCCAUUAUUUUUCUUGCGAACGAGUACAGGAUUGGCUAGCCAGUCAGGGUGAAAAACUUCUUUGAUGAACCUUGUUGUGAGUAGAUUGGCUAGUUCUUUUUUGAUUGCUUCUCGUCUGUCUUGGGCGAACCUGCGGAGUUGCUGUCAUUUUGGAGUAGCUUUGGGAUCAACAUUUAGAGAAUGCUCAAUCAGUUUCUUGGGCAUACCGGGCAUGUCAGCUGGCUUCCAAGCAAAGAUAUCAUGGUUAGCCCGAAGAAAACUGAUGAGCGUGGUUUCCUAUUUAGGCUCUAGCCCUGUUUCGAUCAGGGUUGUUUUAGAAGAGUCGCCGGUCUAAAGAUCGACUGGUUUGAAGUCUUUCUCACUUGCCGGUUUCACUUUUGUGGACCCUAACUUGUUUUCUAGGAUCUCGAGUUCUGUUGGGUGAAGUUUCUUUGAAGCUGUAAAAACUUGCUGCAUAGGGCUGGGUGCUUGAGAGAUUGCGGCAAUCUCCACGGCUUUGGUGUCGCACUCGUAAGAUCGCCGUAGAUCUCCUCAUAGUGUUAGUUCUCCCUUGGGCCCUGGCAUUUUGAGUACCAAGUAAACGUAGUGAGGUAUGGCAAUAAACUUGGCCAGAGCUGGUCUUUUGAGUAUGGCAUGGUAAGAUGUCUCGAAGUCGGCGACUUCAAAUCUGAUGUACUCGGUUCGGUAGUGUUCCUUAGUUCCAAAAGUAAUUGGCAGGACAACUUGUCCUAGUGGUAUGGCUGCGUUUCCUAGUUCAAUUCCGUAGAAGGGUGAAUCUGUUGGAGUGAGCAUUUCCGUGACGUCGAGGCACAUCUUCCUUAGUGUUUUGGCAAAAAUGACAUUGAGUCCGCUUCCGCCAUCAAUGAGUACCUUUGUCAGUUUUGAUCCUGCCACAAUGGGAUCGAGUACUAGAGGGAAUCGGCCUGGCUUCGAGAAUUUUGUCCACUGGUCCUUUCUGCUGAAGGUUAUGGGUACUUCUAACCAUUUUAGCGGUGUUGGAUCUGUUGGUUCGAUGGCCAUGAUUUCCCUAAGUACGAUUUGCUAGCCCGCUUGGACGCGGUGCCUGGGAUUCUGCCAAAAAUGACGUUGACUGUCUUUGAGGCGGUUUGGAAGUCGCCUUCUGCUUCUUCAUCAUUGUGGACUUUGUUUUUGCCUUUAUUUUUUUCCUUGCUGUAUUCUUCGGGAGGUGGUGGUGCGGGCAAGUCGUGCAUUACUCGACGCAUGUUGUAGCAGUCUAUUGCUGAGUUUUUGCUAGUCGGGUGUCAUGGGCACUGUUUUUUGAGUAGUUCGGUGAAAGUUGGCCCUUCAUCGUUUUUGCGGGAUCCCUUCUUCCCGGAGUUAGUCAUGGAAGCAAUGGUGUUGUCAAGUUUCCGUUUGCGAUUUUGAUUACUCGAGAAGUUGUUUCGAGUAUCGCUGUGUCAAUUUCUAUCCUGGUCAUUGUUGUUGUUGUCACGUCGGUGGUUGCGAUGAGAGCCGAACCGUUCUCGCUCUUUGUCUUCUUCAUCUGCCCACUGUUGCACCAUGAUUUUGAGGUCUUUGACAUUGGCUGCUCGACGUUUGCCAAAGUCUUGGUAUGUUCGUCAAUCAUAGAGGCCAUUCUGGAAGCACUCGAUGAUGUCUGUUUCUGAGAUGUUGACUAUAGUGGCUUUCUUUUCGAAGAAUCGUUGCAAGUAGUCGUGUAGUGUUUCUCCUUCUUUCUAUUUUACUUGUGUUGGCGCUAGAAAUCGGCCGAUGGCCUUCAGCGUCGGACACACGACCCGGGAGAAUUUGCUUAGCUCCUGUUCGGGUGAUCGCCCUGGUGCGGUUUGCGCAGCGUGCCAGUCAAUCUGACAUGUUGAUUGACAAGGAAAGAAACAUGUUAAAUUCCAUGGGUUUUGAUCGGCUAAAGUUUCGAUCUGUCUCGAAAAGCAUAUCAGCGAAUCGGCCGACUUGCUAUGAAGAUGACCAGCUUUAGAACAGCCGAUAAUCAUGUAGCGAUGAUGAAGAAACUACUAGAGUAAGCCAAAUAACGCUACAAGUGCAACACUUGAAAUAGAUCUGAUCGGCUAUAUGAUGAUAAAUAAGAAUAGUGAUAAUAAAGCUGACAGUUCAAAUCUCAAGCUAGAUAACUGGUGAUUAAACUAGAACAAUAGAUAAAACCUAUAAUUCUAGUAAAUAUCGAUAACUGUAGAAUAAAUCUAAACGAAACAAUAGCGAUGCGUCCAAAGUUAAAGCUUAGAUAUUACUCGGUAGAUGGAACUUACAAAAUCAGCCGGAGAUCGUGUCGAUGCAGCCCUGCCAACCCGUACGAACUCAUGAAAGAAAAAGAUGUAUUGGCGAAGUCGCCGACUUGAAAGUAAAGUACGAUAAAAAAGUAGAUUAUUUGUAUUGAUUGAUGUGUUAUUUUACAAAUCUCUAAAGAUAAAAAAGUAGAUUAUUUAUAGCCUGUUACAACUGAUUUCCUUACCGACUAGGAUCUAUCUUUAAUUUUAAACGAAAAUGAAUAUUUACAAACACAACUCGUAUCGAAGUUGGUUAUUAUACUCCCACGAGCCAAACUUUCUCUAAUCCACUUUAAGCCCAUAUUGGCCCAAUCGCUCCAGCCUUCCAAUCAGCCGAUCUCCACCAACUCCGUCUACCAAAACACUGUAGCGCCAAUCGGCCGAUUUCCAACUGUAGCACCAAUCGGCCGAUUCCCAAUCGUAACCUUUUAAUCCGCCGCAUCGGCCAAUCCUUUCCUCCCUUGACGCCGAUCCCAUAAGUAUCAAAAUUUGGCGUCAACACAUGCCCCCCCAGUUUCGGAGUAAAACAUGACUUUUACUUCGAAAUUCUUUUUUAACCUCUCCUCCGAAACAAACGAGGCAAAAAUCUCCUUCUGUUUCACGGUCUUCUACCUGAUGAUUGCAAUCUUUUUCGAACCGGGCGCCUGAGACAACCGCUCCCCCGAAAUUCGUGUAGACGGCGCGGUAAAAAUCCCACCUUUACCCCUUCUCUCGGACCAUCUUUAAAUACUGGCAUGCCCUGCCGCUUCUUCUUCACGAGCUCAGUAACCUCUUUCCUAGCGAGUCACCUUCCAUCUUCUCCCAGCGCCCUUUUGGCUUCCAAUCGCAUUCUCCGGCGAUCCGUUUUUCGUCUGCAUUCUGCUUCAUCCCCUCAAUCGUGACUCCAUCGGCAAAUCCACCAGCAACAGAGGCUCCGCCGGCAGCUCCAUCAGUAGCGGCAGUUCCACCAGCAGCCGCAUCGGUAACGAUGAGCUUCAUUCCAGAGGUAAACAUCCGAAACUUCUCUUUUUACUUUUUACCGCCCAUGCAUUUUUUGAUCUAUUCUUACUUCUUCCCUUUUUACCUUUUUUUGGCGGUCAGACACCAAAUCACCAUCCGUCUUUCCGAAGCUCUUGGCCUCAUCUGCUUAGGUCCUAUGGGGAACCCAGACCCAACCGAUCUGAUCAAUUUAGAAACCCAUAGAAUCUCGUUUAAGCAAUCAUCUAUGAAUUUGGACCAGUGGUCGGGCACUUUUAGAUCUUGGCCGAAUGAAACUCUCGGCUAGAAAGAGUGGUACCAAAGAAUGGCCAACUCCAAGAGAGUUCUAUGGUAUGAAUUAUAAAUCGGCCAGUGCAUCAACCUAUUUUUGUCCCAGAUGGAGAAAAAUGAACUCUUGGUAAUAUCAGCUUCUUACUUCUGGUCUGACGCGGUCAAUGCAUUUCUCUUUGAGCACGGACCCAUGACCCCAACUCUGGCUAAUGUUUUAAUGUUGACCGGCCUCGAUAUCUCCUCCCCCAAUACACCCUUUAAUUAUCUGGUCAAGCCGACCCAUCGGCUGGAAACGAAAGGAAUCGGCGGGUGGAAGGGGUAUAUCAAUGAAAACAUGAGGACCGGGACAAUCUUAGAGAGAGAAUACGCGGCCUUCUUGAUGAUGUGGCUAGAGAAGCAUCUUUUCUGUGGCAGAGCAGUCGACCCCUCUUCCAACACACAAGCUUUGGCUGAAGCCCUAUCGAGAGGAUCAAGUAUUCCUCUAGGGAAACACCUAUUGGGAUCGGCCUACCAUAUGAUGCACCAGAUCGGCGUCAAACUGUCAAAGAGAGAGCCAAUUGGAAACCCUGGUGGACCCUGGUGGUUCAUCACCCUGGCUCAAUUUGUACAUGAGCAAAAUCUCCCAGUAGCAAAUAGAGACAAAGACAUUCCCCAACAUCGAGUCAGAGGAAAACCCCAUCAUACGACGCCGAUGCACCUCUUUCAGCGAAGCAGCAUCAGCUUUCCCUGGUUGCCAGUUCACCACCACCCAGGCAGCUGAGUAUUUCAGAUGCUUUUACAACGGCUUUAGUGAAGAAACUACCAGUUGGUACCCGUACCAGAGAACAGAGCCGCCUUUUGAGCUUCCCUUCUGUUAUGAUUCGACGUCCAACACCUUUGACAACGACCUCACGGAUGCCUUGAUCAAGCUAGGGAUCUUACCAGCGAACUUCUUCUCUAGGAAGGAUUCCCCAACUUAUGAGUUUUACAACCCAUCAGUUGCAGCACGGCAGUUCGGCCUCGGUCAGCUGCCGAUUCAAGUUUACUUUGCUGGCCGCGCAAAAUUCCGGGACAAGCUCACCAAGGGUCUAAAUUACAAUCGGCUGUGCAUCUAGUGCCAGACUCCAACACCAUCGAUCUAAACAAUUGGAUAGUGCCUCCUUUUGCUGUCCAACAAUUCAAAAUAUGGUGGGUAGAAUGGAAGCAGCACCUCUUUUGUGCAUCCCCUGCAACAUAUUGCAAUGAUCUAGACCCCGACAACAUCAAUCCAAAUGCAGCGGUACAUGCUCUCUUCUCAGUCGAUUUCAAUAUUAUUUCCUUUUAUGUUACAAAUUUUCCACUAAUUCUUGUUUUCCUUCUGUAGUCCAAAAGUCGACUUCCUCCAAUGUGCAGCCGGAGUGGUAGGACUAUAGAGAAUCGCUACCCAUACACACCAUUCCCACUCAUCGGCUACCAUGCCCCAUCCAUUGAAGACAUCACCACCGGUCGAUCGAAACAGCCAUCGAAGAAAACCUCCUCAAAGAAGACAAGUCGCCGAGUACGCGCCCGCAUAGAACUGAUCGAUCAAUCGGCAGCGGCAUCGGUUGAAUCUUUAGCUGCGCCAAUUCUGCCGACUAUUGAGGAAGUCGAUCCCCAGGCUGCUACAGAAGUUGGAGCGGCUGCUGCAUCAUUGCUGGUAGAAGGUGUUCAGGUAACUUCAUAUACCUCACAUCCUUCUAAGUAUUCUUCCGAUAUUAACUUCUUCUUUCUGUCAGGCUGCACAAAUCACUCCAGUGCAAUCUCCGCAGCAAUCGGCUACAUUCCAGGCAGGAACUGGAACACCAGCAAUCCCUCCCACCGAGGUAGAGAAUCUUUUAACUCAAUUUUUUAAUACUUAACCGAAAGCUAACCGAUUUGGACGCCGGCUAUCCUGGGCUCAUCGAUUGUACCCUUCCAACAACCAUCGGCCGGGCGACUCACGGAGGUACGGUAGCUAUUAUAUAUCAUCGGAUUUAAUCAUUUGCAUUAUACUUACAAAAAUCCGCUUCCCGUACCUUUCCAGGAGGCUGGCCCGAGCAGGGCACCAAUAAUCGUUGAAUCUUCUUCCUCUAACGAAUCAGUCAUGCUAGUUCCCGAGAUGAGGGUAGCACUUCCGCCGGCGCAAACAGAGAAAAUCCGCUUCAAAGAGGCAAGAAACCUGUCACCCAAAUUGGCCGAUUUCCCAUUAUCGUCGACUAAUCUGCAUUUCUCAUUCUUUUAUUCCUUCAUAGGAGCAGGACACCCCCAACAACAGUGUUUUCUCUUUUGCGGUUGCACUCUCUGACGACGAAGAGGUUGCCUCGCGCCAAAUCACACUGCGCUCAAUCACUGAUGACGUUCGUGCCAAGCUUGAGAGCAUACGAACCCUCCUCCAAGAUGACAUCGGCCGAUUAGUGGAAGCUGCCUCGCCGAUUCGGCAAGUUCUCAGUGAAAUCAGAGGCUGAGUUCCAGAGGAGGCAGAAGAGGCUUUGGCACCCGCCGCAUACAUCGAAUCAAUGCGGAUUCUAGUGUUCAGGGCCUUGCGCCACAUGCCCGAUCAUGCCAAACUAGCAAAAGCCCGCGAGGAGGAAGACUCCUACAAGCAUCGAGCUCAAGAGGUGCAUCAACGAAUCAACUUCCUUGAAAGCUCUUGCCCAGAUAUCAUUGGUGCCAUAGACCGCCUCAAACGUCGAAGGGCAGAGCUUGCCAAGGAAAUGGAGCAGGUGACUAAAGCCAUAGCCGUUGAAGAGAAAAGAUUCCAAGACCUCCCCUUUGUCAUCGCUGAGUUGAAGCAAGAGAGACAGAGCCUGGCCCACGAAGCAACCAAGCUCCAUCACCAUAUGCCAGAAGUCCCUGGAUCGGCCGACGAUGACCAGCGAACUUUAGACUCGGCCAAUCAGGUUAGGCAGCGAGCGAUUGCGGCUAUUAAUGCCCUUCUCGGGUAAAUUGUAAAAGCAUUGAAUGCUCUGUAAAAACAUUAAUGUCCUUCUUCCGUUGACGUGCGGAUUCAAACCUGAACCAUCCUUUUGCUGUAGCCUUUCAUUUAUUAACCCUUUUACUCCGACGGGACACGUCUUACCAACCCUUCGCCCUUUUCCUUCUAUAAAUAUGAGGCCCCGUAUCGUUUCCGAAGACAUUCACAUCACCCAUCCUCUUUUCCUCUAGUAGUUUGAUUUCUAUAUCCUCAGACUAGGUGCGGAGAUGUCUUCUUCCUCUUCUUGCUUCUCUGUCAAUCAGGUACGAAACCUUCCUUUGUUCCCCCACCUACCAUUUCAAUCGGUCUGACGAUGAGCGGUUGUUUGUUGAUUUUCAGCCAAGACGCCUUAGUCCUGAACUAGAACGAGCGAUCGAGGUCAUGCAUUCCGAUGAACCGCUAUCCCAGGCGGAUAGAGAUCUGAUUAGGGCUCAUCACAAAGAACUCAAACAUCAUAUCCCUGCUGACGUUCAGAAGAUCCUGGACCAUAUGGAUGCCAACUGCUCCAGGCGGCCACCAACUGAAAGGAGUCACCCACUCCCUCGCCCAGUCACCCUCGAGGAUGCCGCAACAGGGACCUCCCAACCUUCCCUUGACAGGAGCCACCCACUUCCUCAUCAAGUCGAGGUUGAAGCCACCAUGGAGGAUCUGGAGGAAAAGAGCAUCCGCCUCUUGAUAGAAUAAGGCCGGAUCGAGAGGGAGAUUAAGAAAAAGCGUGGUCAAUAAGUGUGUUGGUACUUUUUAUUCUAAGGGUGACUUGUACCGUGUCAGCCAUGUACUUUGUUGUUUGUACCGAAUAAUACUUUUUGUUCUAAGGGCGGCUUGUAUCGUGUCGGCCAUGUACCUUUUCAUUUGUACCAAAUAAUAAAUCGACCGGAUUAGUCGAAUGUUUCGUCCUUAAGGUGAUGUUAUCUCUGCAUCAGCUAUACCAACAAGAACCAAUAGGAGUUGGCCACAUCAUCUUGAUGCACCCUAUCGUCAGUUACGCAUCCACCCAUAUACUAGGAUAGUAUCUUUUCAGAUAUCUUCCGUUCAAGGCUCUCGUGAAUUCCUCUCCUUUGAUAGUUUCCAGUAAAUACGCAUUUCCUGGAGUGCAUCGACCGAUUCUAUACGGCCCUUCCCAAGUGGGCGACCAUUUACCGAACUUGGGAUCCUUAGACCCUAUCGGCAGCACCAACUUUCAUACCAAAUCUGCUUGAGAGAAUUGUUUGACCUUGACCUUCUUAUCGUACCACCUGGCCACCCUUUUCUUGUUUUCUUCAAUGCUGAUCAGGGCUCUUAAUCGUUAACCUGCCAAAUCGUCGAGCUCUCUCUUCAUGAGGAGGGAAUAGUCAUCGGCCGUCAACUGAUCUCGAAGCGAUGUGCAUCUUCACCCCAUCCUUAAUUCCCAAGGCAAUACUGCCUCGUGACCAUAUACCAAUUGAUACGGAGAUAUUUUAGUGGCCCUGUGGCAGGCCAGCCUGUAAGCCCAUAAAGACUCAGUCAAACAUACAUGCCACUUCUUAGGCUGUUCUUCUAUCUUCCUCUUAAUCAACUUGAUUAUCCCCUUAUUGGAGGAUUCGGCUUGACCGUUAGAUUGAGCAUAAUACAGAGAAGAAUUCAACAACUUAAUUCCCAUAUCGGCGGUGAACUCCUCGAACUCUCCUGAAGUGAACAUCGUCCCUUGAUCAGCUGUGAUGGUUUGAGGGAUACCAAACCGAUAAACAAUGUGGUCCCUUACAAAAUCGACCAUAGCGGGCAAUGUCACGGCCUUCAUUGGGACUGCCUCCACCCACUUGGUAAAAUAGUCAGUGGCUACUAAUAUGAACUUGUGUCCCUUGCUUGAUGGAGGAUAAAUCUGUCCGAUGAGGUCUAUUCCCCAACCUCUGAAAGGCCAUGGCUUGAUUAUUGAGUUCAUAGCCGAGGCUGGUGCACGCUGUACAUUGCCAAACUUCUGACAAUCUUGACACCCUUUAUAAUAUUUAAAGCAGUCUUCGAGUAUCGUCGGCCAAUGAUACCCGUUAUUUCUAAUCAUCCACUUCAUUUUGUGAGUCGAUUGGUGAGCUCCGCACAUGCCUUCAUGGAUUUCUCCUAUCAGGACUUUUGCUUCUUCCAUUCCUAGGCAUUUGAGCAGAACUCCAUCAAUCGUUUAGUAAAACAAAUCAUCUUCGAGUAGCACAUAUUUCGUGGCUUGAAAACGCACUCGCCGAUCCACUUUUUUGGAUGGAUCCUUCAAGUUAUCGGCGAUCUCCUUUCGCCAAUCGUCGGUCACGAGUUCCAGAGUCAUGGCGCCUUGAAUCGGCCUAUACCCCGACACGUGUUGGGCAAGCCUAUUGGCCUCUUCAUUGUAGUUUCAGGGAAUAUGUUCAAUAACCGCGGACUUGAAUUCUUUUAAAAGUUGGAGGCAAUCUUCGUAGUAAGUUCUCAAGACGUCAUCUUUGCAUUCAAAUCUCCCCAUUAAUUGAUCUACGAUGAGCAUGGAAUCCCCUAAAAUUUCCACCACGUCGGCUUUGAUCUCUCUCAACAAUUGAAUGCCCUUUAGGACAGCUUGGUAUUCUGCCUGAUUAUUAGUAGCGGAUGCUUCUAUCGGCAGAGAGAAAUCAUAACUUGCCCCCCAAGGCGAUAUGAGGACGAUGCCGAUUCCUGACUCGACCCCACAUGAAGAACCAUCGAAGUAUAGAGUCCAUGGGACCGGUUCAACGACAGCGACUUCCGAUCCGCAAUGUUGGGCCACGAAAUCGGCCAUGACUUGACCCUUGACAGCUUUGGCCAAUUCGUACCUUAGGUCAAACUCUGACAGAGCUAGGAUCCAUUUCCCAAUCCAUCCUUUCAAAAUUGGCAGUGAUAGCAUUUACUUUACUACGUCAUCCUUGCACACGACUAUGCACUCUGCCGAUAACAGGUAGUGCCUGAGUUUGGUACAUGAGAAAUACAGACACAGACACAGCCGCUCUACCGGGGAGUAUCUUGUUUCGGCGUCCAGAAGCCUUCUGCUGACAUAAUAUAUUACUCAUUCUUUCCCUUCGAACUCCUGUACCAGCGCCGAUCCGAUAGCCCGUUCGUCGGCCGAUAAGUAUAGUCUGAAAGGCUUGUCAACCUGUGGCGGGACUAAUACAGGUGGCGAAACUAGAUAUUGCUUGACGUCUCCUAACGCUUUUCGCUGUUCUUCUCCCCACGUGAAUUCCUGGUCAGGUUUUAACUUCAACAGAGGAGUAAAAGCUUGAAUACGCCCGGACAAAUUGGAAAUAAAUCUUCUGAUGAAGUUGACUUUGCCGAUUAGGGACUGCAACUCGGUUUUAUUCUGCGGGGCUACCACCUUGUUGAUGGUGGCUAUGAUCUUCUGGUUGACUUCUAUUCCAUGCUCGUGGACCAUGAAUCCUAGGAAUUGUCCAGCCGACAUGCCGAAUGCACACUUGUUCGGGUUCAUUUUCAAACCAUGCUUCCUCGUUUACUCCAACACUUUUCGCAAAUCAGCGAGAUGGUCCUGAUGUCCUUUUGACUUGACCACGACAUCAUCAAUGUAGAUUUCCACCAGCGCACCAAUAAGCUUGUGAAAAAUGUAAUUCAUAGCCUUUUGAUAUGUAGCACUGGCGUUCAUUAAUCCAAAGGUCAUUACUACCCACUCGAAUAAACCGAGGUGGCCUAGACACCUGAAAGCCAUUUUUGAAAUAUCUUCUUCAGCCAUUAAUAUCUGAUUGUACCCAGCAUUACCGUCCAUGAAACUGAUGACUUUAUGUCCUGCAGCGGCAUCUAUCAAAACAUCAGCUGUCGGCAUUGGAUACCCAUCCAUCGGCGUAGCCUGAUUAAGGUUCCUGAAGUCAAUGCACACGCGCAGCUUCCCAUUUUUCUUGUAUAUAGGUAUGAUAUUAGAAAUCCACUCGGCGUAACGGCAUUGCCAAAUAAAUCCUGCUUCAAUCAAUCUUGUAAUCUCGGCCUUUAUAUCGGGAAGAAUUUUAGGAUUGCAUCGUCAUGCAGGCUGCUGAUACGGCUGAUAUCCUGGUUUUAUGGGUAACCGGUGUUCGACAAUGGACCGGUCUAGACCAGGCAUCUCAUGGUAUUCCCAAGCAAAAUAAUCUUUAAAUUCUUUUAAUAAACUUGUCAAUUUACACUUGUAUUCGGGAUCCAAACUAGCACUAAUGUAUGUUGGCCUUGGUUUGCUGCCAUCACCUAAAUUCACCAUCUCCAAUGAAUCGGCUGACGUAAACCUGUGCCCAAGCUUCCCGUCUUCUCAGACAAACUGAUCCAUCUAAUCUGAAUCUCUAGAGCCAACAGCUCAGAUCGGCUGUAGGCCAAAAUCGGACACUUUCAGGAAAUCGGUGUCCCAUGUUCUACCGGAUAUGCACUUGACGUGUUCGCAGCUCCACUGUUGCACGUCAGCCGCAACAACACUGUAGGCGGAAUUGGCAGUGACUAUCUCGAUGUUGUCACCAACCCAUUGUACGAGGCAUCGCGUGUAUCCAAUCGUGACCGAGCAACAUAUUGUAGGACCCUUUGCCAUUAUUAAUAAAGAAAGUAGUAGGAAGGGUCUUACUGCCGAUGGUGAGGUCGACGCAGAGAGCCCCGCGGGCGGGAGACACGUUGCCUUCGAAGUCUUUGAGCAUCAUGUCCGUCCCUGUCAGAUCUUCAUUGCUUUUGCCCAGUUUCCGGAACAUGGCAUACGGCAUGAUGUUGACUGCAGUGCCUCCAUCUACUAGUAGCCUGGUGACAGGUCGCCCAUUGACGUGUCCUUUGAGGAACAGAGCCUUGAGAUGUUGUUUUUUUUUCAUCUUUUGGCUUCUCAAAAGAGGCUGUCAUUGGCUCCAAAGCCAAUUGCGCCAUCUGCUCCUCCAUCUUUGUUGUGUCAUCCCGAUCGGCGGGAGCCAUGAACUCCAUCGGCAAGAUGAACACCAUGCUGACGUCAACUACUGAUUCCUGAUUGUUGCCUUCCUCAUUGUUGUUUCUUUUAGGGUGCUAGACUCGAGACCUGUUAUCUUUCUUAUCCACUAUCAGUCUCUGCUCUUCUUCUUGUUGUUCCUACUGGCACAGAUGUUGGAUCCUUCAUUUUUGGGAUUUGGUCAACCCAUCAGGGCACCAUCUGGGGUUCACCGGUUUGGUCGGCGGUUUGGCGCGCUCCCAGUCUGGUUCUCGCCCUAGGAGAUUUUCAUCUGACACCUUAGCGUCGGCCAUCUCUUCUAGCCGAUCGUGUGCGCUGGCUUCGCCCCUAGUCGCUUGUGCUGGUCAAUCCUGCCCCCCGGCCGAUCAUUGUUCAAGUCUGCCCCUUGGCCGAUCAUACCGGUUAACUCUAUCAUACCAAUCAACUUUGCCCCCCAGCCGAUCACGCACCGAAAGGUGCCGAUCCUCUUGCUCGCGCCAGUUUCUACUGAUCAGCUCUGAUCCUCUAUCUCUGGAGCAUGACCUCUUGAACGGAUGAUUUUCAUGAUAUGGACCGCUGCACUCAGGGCAAUUAUUGGCUCAUGGUAACCUGAGGUUAUUUUCCCAACAGUGGAUGAAGAACGGGCAUCACCAAUGAUCUUUGUGUCGGUGCAUCAUGUCUUCACGGUGUCUCGAACUUUCCUACUGCCGCUGAUAUUUGUUGAGCAAGAAUUGGGAGGUGAUAGGUCUACGCGGCCUCUCCGAUCCUUCGCCCUCGUCUUCGACUCGUCUCUUCCCUUUGACAUCUUCAACCGUAGCCUAAUUUCUAGGGUCCACGGUGCCGCUUUUCUUGGUCGAUUACGACGUCAGCACCUUGGUUUGAAGCGCGUUUCUUCCCGUGUCAACCAUGUUAGUGGGGAAAGGAUGCUGAUCGAUUUUCAUCGGCUUUACUUGCUUCGCCGGGACAUCGAAUUUGAGUUUGCCUUGCUCAAUGGCCGACUGUAUCUGCUGACAGAAGAUUUUGCAUUCGUUUGUGUCGUGGGAUGUGGCAUUGUGUCACUUGCAAUAUUUCAUAUUUUUGAGCUGCUCGGCCAAUGGAAUGGUGUGGUGAGGUGAGAGCUUGAUCUGCCCCUCUUGGAGAAGUAAGUCAAAAAUUUUGUCGGCCUUUGACGUGUCAAAACCGAACGCUUCUGGCUCUUUCUUCCCGAAAGGAUAUGAUAUUGGCUUCUUCCAUUUGACCCAUUCUGCUAGGACAAUUUUCGCUUCCUCCUCAAAUUCAGAUCCCUCCAAGUAUGCCACCUUUUUCUGAAAAUUUCUUCGUUGAUCAAAAGGGCGUACUUCUUGACCGACCAAUCGGUGAACGAUCUGACUCAAGAUUUCGAACUCCUGGGAAGCGUACUUCUCUUUGAUGUGUGGCAGGAGACCUUGGAAGGCGAUAUUGGCCAGCUGCGCGUUGGUCAGGACUAGGGUGUAGCAUUUGUUUCUGACCUCUCUGAACCUCUGCACAUAAUUGGUCACUGGCUCGUCACUCCUCUGCCUGAGGCUGGUCAAAUCUGAGAGCUUCAUCUUGUGGACUCCCGCAUAGAAGUAUUUAUGGAAUUGCUUCUCCAGAUCGGCACAAGUAACGAUGGAAUUGGGCGGUAGCGUAGUGAACCACUGGAAAGCUGACCUGGACAGUGACGACGAGAACAGAUGCACCCGUAGAGCAUCUUUUGUGGCGGCCUCUCCACACUGGAUGAUGAAUCUGUUGACGUGCUCCACAGUUGAAGUGUCAUCAAAUCCCAAAAAAUUGGUGAAGUUAGGAACCUUAUACCGAUGGGGAAACGGCAAUAAGUCAUAGGCAGGUGGGUAUGAUGUUUUAUACGUAUAGGUCUGUACCUUCAGCUUCAACCCGAAUGGAUCUGGAAUCACCACUGCUAUCCUUGUUGUCCAAUCCACUUGCUGCUGAUGAACGACUAGUUGAGGGAUCGACACAUGUUGAUGGAUCGGCGGUGGGAUGGCCGGCUGAUGGAUCAAAGCGUGUGGCGGAUUUUGCGGCAAUGUGGUCGGCUGAGCGGUUAACAGUUGGUGGCGUAGCGAAUCUGCCAUCCCAUCAUACAGCGUCAUCGGCGCCGCACUUCUGAGUGCUUCUGCAGCAUCUGCCCCCCUGCCGAUUUCUGACGUGGCCGGCUAAUACUGUGGGACCGUCGGCCGGAUAGCCGAUUGGAAUGAUGCUUGGAUCGGAGAGCCACCAUAACCGGUCGAUUGGUCCAGAACAACUGUCCCUGCUGGUGCCCCCCAAGGCACUGAGUUUGAGGGCAGAGAUUGCACGGAGGAAAGCUGAGUAGGCUGAGAUGAUGCUUGCGUUUGAAAGCAUGGCGCGCCGUUGUACCCUGGUGGCAUUGAGGUGUUGUAUCCUCCAUGUUGUGUCGAUAUUGGCUGAGGAGCCGAGUGAGAUGUGCCUGGUAAGCUUCUGACUAGAGUUACAAUGGGCGGAGCAUAUGCUAGCCCCUGAUAUCCUUGAGCUACUCCACUAACCAGGGAACUGAUGAUGGCAUUGUAUAUUGUGUUGGUCAUCACUGAGGAUUGGUCGAUGAAAGCUUGGUAAAUGGACUGUUAAAUCAUGUCGGACAUCUUGCCUGAGUCCUCAGCGACGGUGAUCUGGCGGGGAGUUGGAAGAGGAUCUUUCUUGACGGUCUCCCCGCUUCUGGUAUGACUGAAAGAUUGCAAGCAUGUCUUCCUGUAUUCUUCCAUGUGCCUUGCCAAUUCUUCUUUCUGGUCGUCCUUGAGAUCCGCCUCCGUGAUCUUGAUGACGUUGUCUUCAGAGAUUUCGGCGGCCUUUGACAUGUUAGGCUUUGAAGUGGUCCCACCGAGCGUGCCAAAAGUGUAUUGGUGCUAGAAAUUGGCCAAUGGCCUUCAGCGUCGGACACACAACUCGGGAGAAUCUGCUUAGCUCCUGUUCAGGUGAUCGCCCUGGUGCGGUUCAUGCAGCGUGCCAGUCAAUCUGACCUGUUCAUUGAUAACGAAAGAAACGUGUUAAAUUCCAGGGGUUUCGAUCGGCUAAAGUUCCGAUCUGUCUCGAAAAGCGUAUCAGCGAAUCGGCCGACUUGCUAUGAAGAUGACCAGCUUUAGAACAGCCGAUAAUCACGUAGGGAUUAUGAAGAAACUACCAAACUAAGCCAAAUAACGCUACAAGUGCAACACUUGAAAUAGAUGUGAUCGGCUAUAUGAUGAUAAAUAAGAAUAGUGAUAAUAAAGCUGAUAGUUCAAAUCUCAAGCUGGAUAACUAGUGAUUAAACUAGAACAAUAGAUAAAACCUAUAAUUCUAGUAAAUAUUGAUAACCGGUGAAUAAAUCUAAACGAAACGACAGCGAUGCGCCCAAAGUUAAAGCUUAGAUAUUACUCGAUAGAUAGAACUUACAGAAUCGGCUGGAGAUCGUGUCGAUGCAGCCCUGCCAACCCGUACAAACUAGUGAAAGAAAAAGAUGUAUUGGCAAAGUCGCCAACUUGAAAGUAAAGUACGAUGAAAAAGUAGAUUGUUUGUAUUGAUUGAUGUGUUGUUUUACAAAUCUCUAAAGAUGGCUAUUUAUAGCCUGUUACAACUGAUUUCCUAACUGACUAGGAUCUAUCUUUAAUUUUAAACGAAAACGAAUAUUUACAAAUACAACUCGUAUCGGAGUUGGUUAUUAUACUGCCAAGGGCCAAACUUUCUCUAUCUUCUUUCUCUGACCCACUUUAAGCCCAUAUUGGCCCAAUCGCUCCAGCCUUCCAAUCGGCCAAUCUCCACCAACUCCGUCUGCCAAAACACUGUAGCGCCAAUCGACCGAUUCCCAACUGUAGCACCAAUCGGCCGAUUCCCAACUGUAGCACCAAUCGGCCGAUUCCCAAUCGUAAUCUUUUAAUCCGCCGCAUCGGCCAAUCCUUUCCUUCCUUAACGCCGAUCCCAUACGUGUCAAAAUCUGGCGUCAACAACUUGACUUAGGUCGAUCUUAUUACCCGAUCUAGUCAUGGAACCAGCAUAGUUGCUGGUGAAAGCUUUCGUCAAGUCUGCCCAAGAGUCGAUUGAUCUAGGCUUGAGUGACUCAAGCCAUGUCAGAGGUGCAGGUUCCAUGCAUAUGGGAAAAUGGAUGACUUUGGUGUCGUUAUUACCCCUAGCUGCCUGGACUACCAAUGAGUAGCAUCAUAGCCAUUGAAUUGGGUCUUGCUUGCUAUCAUACUUAGUUAUUCCUGUCGGUUUGAACUUUUCAGGUAAACUUGUCUUCAUUACACGAUUUGUGAAGGCAGGAAAGUGGUUGUAAUUGUUGACUUCUUGCUCACGUUGACUGUUGAUUAUUUCUCGCAGAUCACUGAAAUUCGAUACUUUAUGAUUUUUUUGGAUAUGGCGAGGACUUUUUGCGGAGUUGGUGCAGCUGGCCUCUCCAACAUAUUUUUGUCCUGCUGGAAUGUUGUGUUUACUCGGACCUUGGCUAUGUUGCCUUGGUUGGUUGACUACUUCGUUGCUGUUCCUUUGUGCUUCGUGGAAGUCGUUGUUGGUUGCAACACCUCUACUGCCCUCUUGAUGAGCUAUAAUGCGGGGAACAGACGGGAUUGGUGAUUCCUUAUCGAGUAGCUUGUAAGCUUAUUCUACGAGUUGUGUGAUUAGUCCGUUGCCUCGCUGUGCGAGUUGAGCUGUGACUUCAUUGUCUCUAUCUUGAGGUAUGAACGUUGAUAUAAGGUUGAUCGAGGCAAUUGCCACGAGUGGAGUGUUGUGUUCUUGAGCCUGUACCGCGUCAAAUGCUCUUUCAAGGUUUGUGAUGGGAAUGUUUGUAGCCAGCAUUUGUCGGCGUUUAGCCCGAGUAGUAUUGUGCAUCCUUCUUUGGUUCCUUUGAUCGGAAGUUUCAUCUUGUGGGGUGUUAGCUGAUGACUCAUCUUCUGAGACGUUGUCGAGUUGUGCUAGUCAUCGGGGGGUUCUCUGUUGGCUAGUACCCGCGUUGUUAUUUUGAGUAAUAACAAAGACUUCUCUUUCUAGGUAGUAGUUUCCAGAGCUUGAUGUUGUGAUUUCUGUGGAACUUUCCUCGCAGCUUGAAAUGAGUGGGACGCCUUCCUGGUAUGGGAGAUUGUUUAUGUGAGCGAUGAGGCGUGACUCGUAGUCGCGAGCGAGGAGGGAUGGUCUCAUUCCUAGCUAGUGAACGAAUCUGCCUUGCGAUGUUGAAGUUAUUACCAGUCCUUGGGCUGGUCCUAACAGCACGAUCUCUGGGACAUAGUUGGAGUCAGAGUCGUCAUCUUCGUCUUUCCCGUGUUCGAGUUGAGUUCGAGUGAGAAGACUUUGGUGGACUUCGGAUGCAUUGCAGAGUCCGUAUGGGAACCGUUUUGGAGUUGAAGUCGAUUUGGGAAGUGUCUUGAACCGAAUACUCCAAACUAGGGUUGAGUCCGACGCGUAGUCCAACUUAGGGUUGUUGAUUUUGAAAUUUUGGCUUUUCCUGGCCGAAUCCUCUGAUUUCUUCUCCUGGAUGUUGAUGAUUUGGCGCUGAAAUGAUCCAGCGCCAUAGGCGAUGUAGAGUCAGGAUCCAAAAGCAAAGGUUGCGCCUGCCUCGAAGGUGAAAAUAGGCUUGAUAACAACAGGUGCCAUCGAGCUCGCGCAGAGAAACUCAACGAGGCCCCCUACCUGGCGCGCCAGCUGUCAGUGUUUUAGACCGGCAACCCACCUAGGGGGUACCCCAGGUGGUCUUUUGUGCGGUAAGGGCUGUCGAGAAUCAAGGAGCUGAUGGUGAUGCAAGGAACACGAUUUAGAUAGGUUCGGGCCGCUAGAUCGUGUAAUACCCUACAUCCUAUGAGUUUGGUUGUAUUGAUCUUAGAUGAACUGGAGUUGUUGUUUUUGAGGGGGUCCCUGCCUGCCCUUAUAUACUCGAGAGGGCAGGGUUACAAGAUUGAAUCCUAGUCGGGUACAAUUACAGAGUUCUACUUGGUGUGGACCGAGUAGUUUCCAUAUGUACACUUAACUAGUCCGAGUGGGAUACGCCUAUUGCUGUGUAGCCCCCUUGUAUUGAUUGUGUCCGAGUACAUCCCUUAGUGGGCCGUCCAAGGCCUACUCGUGGGCCUGGGGUGCAUGCCCAACAUAAGGGUCAAAUCGUAAGUUUUCCCCGAUCUAACUCUUUUAACUCAUUUUAAAUCGACAGAAACUUGAAAAUUACAUCUUAAAUCGAGGAAAAAUUGGAAAAAUGUGAAAUCACUUGGGUUGGAAUCCUUGUUUUGAGUAGAAUCCAAUAAAGUGGGUUUCGCACCUUUUCCUGUAGUUUUGCUACAGUUUUUGGGUUAAAUCUUUGCAAUACUAUUGAAAUCACCGUCUAAGUGUCUUACCCUUGCAUUGCAUCUCGUGUACAGUUGAACCUCGCAGACGGAACCUACGAACUUCACCCGACGCUGGAAGAUGAAGUCGUAGCUGAGUAGCCGCCUACAGGAGUUGAGCCCGUGCACGCCGAGGACCAGUUCACUACCGUCCCGCUUGAAGGCAAGCCUCGGAGCAUAACCCAGUUUUUCUAAACUUGUGCAUGCCUUAUGUUGUUAUAUGUGUGCAUUUACAUUUCAGGAGUUGAUUGAAACUGUAGAUGCAUGACUUAGUUUCCCUUUGAUCUGAACACUAGUAUGAUAGGCCGAGUAGCUGCUUUGCUUAAAUAGGACUCGGUAAAAGUCGAGUGAUUUCCUGUCACUUGUGAGUUAUCGGAGUUGCUUGCUUCUUUUUGCUACAACCAUAAGGACGAUGGACGGGGCAGGGCUCUAUGAACUAUUUUGGUGGUCGGUGGGUUGCCCCGCCUAUCUACAUGAAACUGGAUUAAGGUCGGAAAGUGAUGGUGUUCAUGAUCAAGUGUUUGAAAGUACUAAUCUCACACCUAGUAUGGGAUGGGGAAGCCUAGUACCUGAUUGAACCGGCAAGUGGCUUAUACCCCUGCUGUCCUUGGAACGUAGUUUCCAUGGUGCAUCAUGUGGAUGCAAGUGCGGUCAGAGUACGGUAGAGACCGGGACUGUGGAGGAUUGCAUGCCAAAGGUGGUUUGGACCCAGCACGCGCCUGUGAAUUGAUGGGGACGGCUGACAAAUGAAGCAACCCUUCAUGGUGCGCGAAUGUCGUGAGAUUAGGUUCACCAUGCAUGGUUAAGAAAUUCGAAUCGAUUCGCCUGCCUCUCACAGUUUGGGACUACUUGAUCGCUAUGCUACACCGAGUAAGACUGGAAGAUGAUGGUGAUCUAAAUUUGUUACUUGUUUAAUUGCUUGGAAAACUAUGCUUGGCUUAGUAUAGCUGCUAACCUAGAAUGGUAAACAGCAAUAGAACUUGUGGCUAAAAUGUUCAAAGUAAGGACCUAUGCUAGUUGCUUUUGGCAAAAACAAACCCCUCAGCAAAAAAGCCUUGCAUGUCUAGAAGUUGGUGGAUUAGAACCACCCGUCGGUUAAGUCUUGUUGAGCGUAGUCGCUCAGCCUUGUUGUGGCACCUUCGUUUCAGGUGUUGUUGACGCCUCUGAGUUUGCUACAAGUGGCACUUGGCCUCCCCAGCUUCCUCUUGGGUGGACGGUCGAGUGGGAUCCCUCCUUGGACGGCAAGGAUGGGACUCAUUGAUGUCAUGAUCGGCCUCGUCGUGACAUCCGAUUUCGGCGCUACAUUCCAUUUGUUUAUUUUCCGCUGCUUAAGAACUCUGCAAACUUUGUUUGAAUUUUGAACCUGGUGUUGUAAUAAAUUAAUGUACUUGUUUAACUUGGAUGAUCUAUUAUAUUCUCUGGAACCACUCACCUUCGUGUGAGCUAUAUAUUCUCGAUCCUGUGUAGUGGUUUAUCGGAUGAAAUCCGACGGACUACCCAGUUAACUUGAUUAAAGCACAUGAUCGCGUGCCAGGAAACUUAAUUGUGUUUUAGCUAAGUUAAUUAGGGCGAUUCUGCCACAAUGCCACCAGGCAGCCAUGACGUGGAGUCCUUGUUCCGGCCAAUGGAGGGCAACGGGAGGCGUGGAGAGGGAGGGAGGGGCACAUGGGAGAUGCCCGGUUGGCCUAUGGGUGGAGGAGGAGCCCUGCAGGCUCUAAGGGACGACCAACCGGCAAUCUUUGGGUGUCGUGCCAGCCACAGGCAUGCAGGUGGUAUUCUGGUGCUGGAGGAAGGAGGAAGAGGGUGCUGACAUGUGGGCCUGUGAAGAAAAAUACAACGUGCCAAAUUUGUCCCCUUAACUGACCUAGCUACAAGUGUCCAAAAAUUCCGCAAAAAUACUUUUUGGAAGGAUAAAAUCGUCAAUAAUCUAAUGCAAAAAGAAUCAACUCCAAAGCUAUUACAGUUUGCACACAAUCGAAAAAACAAAAUUACUAAAAUUGAACUUUAAUUGAAUUUUUAACCCAUGCAAACUUCUCUGAAAAAUUUGGUAAAAAUAUUUAAAAUCACUAACUGGUGUGUAUAGUGUUUGAAUAAAAUAGUUUGGGGCAUAGUUGUUUGGCAAAAAUUGGGGUUUCUUCACAAAUUUGAAUUUUUUUCAAUAAACAACAAUUGUGUGAAAUUAGUAAUGCCUGACUUCUACUGAAUUUUGAAAAUCUUCUCAAAAUCCAAGAAAGUGUUAAUAACAAAAGUUGUUUGUUUUUAAAUGUUCUACAACUUUUAUAUUGGCCAAAAGUUUUGUUAUAUGAAAUUUGACUUUCUACUCUUACCCUAUUUUAGUGCUUUUGAGGCAUUUUUCAACACUUGGUGAAUUUAAAAGGUUUUCAAUAGUUGGGAUUUGAACUUUGGGUGUGUUUUCUACCUUCCCAAACUAAUUUGUUAGGUUUUUUUUUCAUAUUUUGCUUCUUGGUUGGCCCUAUUUUGCUUUCUUUUGCCCCUUUGUCGUAUUUUUAUGAAGUUGAAAGGCAUUUGAAAGUGCAAGCGGCAAAAAUUUUGAGUUUAAGUGUGAUUUAGGUGCUUAAUACCUUAAUUACCCUCUUGCAAGCUUGAUUGAAACUAGGGAUGUUACAUCAUGGUUAGGUAGCAACCCAACCCAACAGUUCCGGUCCCUAUCGUGGCUUCAGAAGCCAUCUAUUUAUCAUUACCAAGGACGGGUCAGUUACUUUUUUCCCACUAUUGCACAAUAAAGCCAAUUCAUCUCAAAGUUCGUAAUUUUGGUUUCCUUCAAUCUUCCCAAGAUGCGGUGGCUCAUCCAAAAAUGAAAUACUUGUAGUAUGGGAUUGCAAAUAUUUUUCCGUUGCCUAUUUUCUUCUGAAGGACUGAAACGGGCGACCAGAGGGGGGGGGGUGAAUGGGAGCCAAUUCAAAAAUCUCUGCAAGAAACUUGGACUAUGUCCCAAAGUAUCCUUCAACCCUCUCUUCUAGCUAUUAUCAAGAUCACGUAGUUACAUCGGAUCUACUAACCUUAGGAACGAUGCUAGGAAGGUUCAGAAGCAAGAAAACACAAAAGAUUGAGGCAAAGCCAAGCUCAAAACACUUCUAGAUAUUGAAACUUCCGACCUCUUAUUGGAACUUCCGAAUGUGGGUUGGGAACUGUCUAGAAAGCUCCGACAAGGGGUCCUGAACGGUUUUGUCGGAACUUCCGACCCUGUAUCAGAACUUCCGGUACCUAUCGAAUGUAUACAGAAAAUGCCAAGAAAGGGCUCUCGGGUUUUCAAAAAUAAAUCAUCGGAACUUGCAGUACAGUGUUGAAUUUCCGUCCUGUCAGAACUUCCUACAGCUCAGAAAAACAGAGCGAAAAGUUUAGGUCAACACUUCAAAAUUUAAUCAAAUAACCUCCAAAAUUCAUGAAAUUUUAACCACAGUUCUGGAAUAGCCUAGUGAGUCUUUUCCCAAAAGAUCUCCUCAAAAAGAUCAAGACUUCAAUAUGGAUUUCACGGAAUACGGUAAAGAACACAAAAUAGAGAGUUUCAGGGAAGCUUCAAAUUCAAGUCGAAUCCGUGGGGAAUUUGAGGGGGGAUCACAUCAAAGAUGCUCACAAGGGUCCUAGCAACAAUUUCCCCCAACAAACCUAAUGGGAUUUGAGCUAAAACGCGAUGAAAAUAGCUUCAAAAAUACCAAAAAAAGAAAAAGGGAGAGUCAAAAGAUUUAGCCACAGAUUUGAGACACAAAUUCAACUAAAUCAUGAAGAUAACAUCUUUACAUGAUGAGGAAUAGAAUCCUCCUUCAUCCACCCAUUAAAAUGAAGAAAUCAAGAGAAAAGAGCAAUCACCCUCUCAUCUCCCUCUCCGCUCUCUCUCUAAGCACUUGGCUAGCUUCUAAGAAAAUGAAUUAGGGUUUUCUCAAGAGGUGCUGAAACAACCAGAGCCAUCCACCCAUAUAUAUAGUCUAUGGCAGAUGACAAAAUUACCUCUACAGCUACAACUAAGAUAACCACCCACGCAGGGGCAUUUUGGUCCAAAUUUUUAUUGGUGCAUCAGACGGACAUGCCACCUUCACGACUUUGCUUCACCUCGACACAAACUUCGCGAUGAUGCCACGUGCCCUCCUUCUUGAAGCUCCGACUGCACCGGGGUCGCCCCCAGUUUUGAGGCCCAAACUGGGAAACAUGCCUGCGCGGUGGUUUUGAGGCCCAAACCACCCUAACCGUCCAUCUCCGCUUGGCCGCCACGCGACCUCCUCGAUGUCGAUGCGUGUUUAGCCUUCGCUGAGCCUCCUACUUGACUCGACCGACGCCGUCUCCAUCCCGUCAUGUUCUCUCGCCGUUCCGUGCACCAUGUGGACCGCCCAUGACUCCACUCGGAAAACUCGGGUCCAUCGGUCCAAGCCUACUCGCGUUCAUCCUUCACCGCCCUUGGUCCAUUUGCAAGAACCCUUCGCUUGACCUUCACCGCACGCCGUCGGCCACCAUGUUUCAUCCUACACCUACACAUCACAAGCCAAGAACAACAUCAAACUACACAACAUUGUCAAUCACUCAUUAUCCAAGAGUGACUACCAUUGGUCCUUAAUUUACCCCUUGAUGAGUGCAUUGGCAACACUCAACACAAAUUCAAAGUUGAAAGAAAUAAAAGAAAGAGAAGGAAAAACAAAAGCUCAUUCAAGUUAUCAAAAAGCCAAGACAAACAUAAGAUCACUCGAAAUGAGAAGUCUCAAUCCCCUAAGAUAAGGGCAACGGCUCUACACAAUUGAGACAAUACACAUGAUCCCUCAAGAAGAGGUAGAAAGGGCUCAACACCAAUCAUGUGAAGAUCAAAUGCUCAAACUAAACGCCAGCUUCUCAAGAAGAGGUAAAAGCUCAACGCAUCUCAGUCCCCUAAGAUAAGGGCAUUGGCUCUACACAACUGAGACCAAAACACAUGAUCCCUCAAGAAGAGGCAAAAAUGGCUCAACCAAUCAUGUGAAGAUCAAAUGCUCAAACUAAACGUCGGCGCCUCAAGAAGAGGUAAAAAGCUCAACGCGAUCGGGAAAAGACCACAAGAGCAUAAAAAGCUCACAAAACUCCCCCUGAAAGCAUGCAUACAUGCAAUCUCUCCCCCUUGACAGAUAAAUGAGUUUGUAUGAAUCUCUCCCCCUUGUUGACAAUGCAAACAUCAAGUAUAGCAUGAGAGCACAAAAUGCAUGCCAUGAGAUGCAGGAACUACUAAGCUUCUAGAAUAUACCACAAAACACUCACAAAGGCUACAAGAGAGAUAAUACAAGGUAGAUCAUAAAGAGCAAUUGCAUCGCCAUCAAGAGGAUAUUAUGAUAUAACUAGGAGAUGAAGCAUGUGUCAAGUUUUACCAAUUUGUAAAAGCAUCAUGAGCAAGAACCUAGUCAUGAAUCACCCAAGCAAGAAUAAACUAGGCCAUCAGAGCUGAUACAAGGAAGAUAAAUUCUCAACAAAAGAUCAUUGCAAACACCCACAGAUGCACCACAAGUCAUGUCAAGGCUUGUUGAAACCAUGUGCCUACUUCUUUUGGUAGACAUCAUGUAAAAACUAAGCAAGCAAGUAUAUGAACAUGAAGCAUAAACGCUUGGUGAAUUAUUGAAUUUUUCUUUUCAUCAUUUUUCAUUAUUCACAUAAAACAAGGUACAUUAAGUGCCUUUGUGGCACAAAGAAGCCAUGCUUCCCCAAGGAAUGCAUCAUGGGCUAAACAUUUGCAAUGAUACAUCUUUGACCCAAUUGAAAAGAAUAUGAAUUCCAAGCAAAAGCUGAAAAUGGUACUAGCAUUCAAGCAAGAACAAAAGCAUAACCAAGCAACUACUCAUGGGUGAUAAGAAAGUCAAGUUCAUAGAGUAGAAUUAGCAUUGGAUUCAGAAACAGUCAUCUCAUCAUCUUUAUAAGACAAUAUCAUCAAGAGCAUAACUGCACAUUGCAUCAAAAUCACCAACCAAAGUACUAGCUCACAAGUAGCAUAAGAGGGUGCACAAGGUAUAUAGGAGAAGCUCAUCUAGUACAAUAUGAUACAAAUGCAACAUGAUACAGAUGCAAUAGGACUAAGCUAAAAUGAUACAGAUGAACAACAUGCCAUACCCAAAAGUGAACUAAGGUAAAGCAUGACAUGAUGUGCAUAUGUAUCAUCCACCAUAAUAUAUUACAAAAGAUAGCUUGAUAAGAUGUACAUGAGAAACACAAGGUGCUAUCAAGAAGAAGUGGCUAGCCUACCAUGGCAUAUACAGUAGAAUGAAACAAGUAUAAUACAAGAGAAGCUCCAAAACUCAACUCAGAAAGAAAAGCACACACCCAACUCCUCCCACAAAUGAGCAAAGGUGGCUUGAUCCAGGGGUUUGGUGAAGAUGCCAACGCGUUGGUUUUGGGUAGCAACGUGGCCAAGGUGAAUAUCUCCUUUCUCAACAUGAUCUCUAAGAAAAUGAUAUCUCACAUCUACGUGUUUGGUUUUGGAGUGGAGAACAGUAUUCUUGGCUACACUGUUGGCACUCGUACUGUCACAUAGGAGGGGUACAUGGGAAAAACUCAAACCAAAGUCUCUCAAAGUGGAGAUCAUCCACAACAGCUGGGAAUAGCAGCUAGCAGUGGCAACAUACACAGCUUCGGUGGUAGACUGAGCAACACUGGACUAUUUGCGGGAAGACCAAGAAACCAAAGAUGAACCAAGAAACUAACAAGUACCAGAAGUGGACUUGCAAUCCAACCGACACCCAACGAAAUCCGCAUCGGAGUAACCACAAAGUAGGAGUGUCAAGGAGGCAGAGUACCACAAACCAAACUCAGGAGUAAAACGAAGGUACCUCAUGAUUCUCUUGACUGCUUGACGGUGAGAUGUUCUUGGUGAAGCUUGAAAACAAAAGCAUAGACACAUGGCGAAGUGUAUGUCCAGCCUCGACGCCAUCAGGUACAAGAGGGAGCCGAUCAUGCUCUGGUACUCCUUCUGGUCCACCGGUUCUUCGUCUUCAUAAGCAUCCAAAGCUGUCAUCGUCGCCUGGGAGUUGACAAUGGCUUGGCCUUAGCCAUGUCGAACUUCCUCAGCACAUCCUUCUAUGGCAGAAGCACCCAAAUUAACCUAGCUAAAGUGUUCCCAUCUUCACCUCACAUGCGAACCGAUACAUUGAUCAAGCCAAUUUGGUAGUCUAUCGGGUUAUACCCAAUAAACCACUUGUCUCGGAUCAAAAAGAAAAACAUCUCACCUGAAGGCGAGUCCAGAGAUUACAACAUUCCAGGAGUUUAAUACAUAGGUCCCACUUUAUUUAUUACACCGCAGUAAUUCAAAAGUGCAUAAAGUAAAUUGUUCAAAGUUUAAGCAGCAGAAAAAGGAUGGCAACUAAACGUCAAAGCAGAAACAUCAUGGCGAAGCCAACCAUGACGUCAGUUACCACGGUCCUCGCUGACCGAGGAUGGGUCCCACUCGACCGUCCAACUAGGAGGGAAUUGGGUCGGUCAAGUCCUACUUUCAGCAAAAGCACUAACAUCCAAGUUACCUGAAAGUAAAGCCACAAGCAAGGCUGAGUAUACUAAUACUCAACAAGACUUACCCGUCGGGUGGCAACUACUCGACCGAGUUCUAGACAUGCAAGGUCUUUUGGCGGAGGAGUUUGUUUUUGCCAAAAGCAUCUAAGUAGAUCCUUACUUUCAAGUUUUAGCAGCAGGUUCUAGUAGAUUAUUUAUUCUAGGGAAGCAACCUGUUCUAAGCAAGCAAGUUGAGCAAACAUUUAUUCCAAGCAUCAUCAUUAACAUAAUCAUUCUCUGUUCCACUUGUUACUCAGUGCAGCACAGUAGUCAAGCAGUCUUAAACUGUGAGAGGCAGAUGAUUCGAAUCGAGUUUCUUAAUUUUUGCAAGGUGAACCUAAUCCCACGACAUUGCGUACCACGACGGGUCCACACAUGUCAGCUGUCCCCAUCAAUUCCUAGGCACGUGGCUAGGGCCCACUUCCCUUGAAUACAAGUCCCCAUGGUCCCGAAACGUCGCCGUACCGUGACUGCACUUGUACCCACAUGAUGCAUCAAGGGAACUCUGUUCCAGAGAGAGCAGGGAGUAUGCCCACAUCCCGGUUCAAUCAGGUACUAGACUUCCCUAUCCCAUACUAGGUAUGAGAUUAGUACUUUCAAACACUUGACUGCAAACUCCAACACAUUUUGACCUUAGCAUUUUCAUCACUAGACAGACGAGACAAAACCACCGCGUCGGAACCAAUUUCGGUCCCGUCCAUCAUCCUUAUGGUUAUAGCAUGAGCAAGCAAUCAACUCUUAUAAACUCGCGAGUGAUAGGAAAUCACUUGACUUUUACCGAGUCCUAUUUAGCAUUGCAGCUACUCGGCCUACCAUACUAGUGUUCAAUCAAAGGUACCUAAGAUCAUGCAACUAGGUUUUCAAUCAAAUCCUAUGAACAUAAAUGCACAAGCAUAGGUAUCAGAGACAUUGCAUGAAUUUAGAAAAACUGGGUUAUGCUCCAGGGCUUGCCUUCCUGUUCUAAGUUAGUGGGGAGCUUGUUGGAUGCUUCGCUGAUCUCCUUCUCAGCCUCGACGUGAUGUAGCUCGGCAGGUACUUCCUCAGUUGUCGGGAGCAGUUCGUACGUUCUGUCUGCGAGAUUCGCUUCUACACGAGAUGCAUAUGCAAAAGUUCAAGUUUCCAUGCUUUCACAUGUAGGAUGCAAAACAUGAAUUAUUGCUGAAGUAUAAAUUUCAUUUUGACCACAUUCACGUAAAUAAGGUUCUAAACUUUCAUUAUCUUCAUGAAGUAAGGUGUGUUGUGAUAUAAAACCCGGGGUUGAAAUUGAUGGUGAUUGUGUACACAUAAAAGGUUUUACAACUUAGACUUCACAAAAGAAAGGUGGGGUCACUCUAGGGUUGCUCAAGGUUCAUUUGGAAAGUUAUCCUAUUUCUUAAUGUUUUUCUGUACCUUAGUGCAUUUAACAUUUUGCCCUUCUCAUUAACUAAUUGCUUUUAUUCCUUUUUCUUGUUUAACUUCCAUAAAUGUUUCUAGUAGAUUUUGAUAAGAUAUGGUUCUAAACAUUUUAUAGAGGCUUCCUAAUCACAUUAGUAAGCUACUGUAAAAUUUUGGGAUGCAUUGGACUUCUACAAAAAUUUUUAAAAUUAAAAAAGUACCCAAUUGCAGAUUAUAGGGAUCUAUUUUUAACGGAAGUUCGAGUUGCUGUUUGGCUUUUAUAUUUUUACAGGAGGUUACACUAGUGUGACAAAGGCGUGUACGAGUUUUACAAGAUUUAUGGUGAAGGAAAUCUAUUUUCCAUAUUUUCCCUUCAUUUAGUCUUGUACAAAAGUAUAAGAAUGUUUUAUUUAGUUUUGUGCAAUGAUCCUUAUUUUUUUCUUGUGAGUGUGUUUCAUUUGUGACCCAACAAAAGUGGUUUCAUAUUUUUCUCUGCCUUAAACCAUUUAUUAUGCAAAAAGUAAGAUUUUACCUCAAAUUUCAAGGUUUAAACAAAAACAGUGUGUUAAACAUCUAAAGUUGGGUCACCACUAUUUUAUGCAGCACAAGCUCAGCAUAACAAAGCUAACAGAGGUGGAUUUACAUUUUUAUCAUUCUUGUGUGAUUUAUAAGGCAUUUAAUGCUUUGACACAAAAUAAAAUCUAGAGGAAAAACUGCAACAGUGACAUGCUCAAAAUUAUUUUUUAGUGAAACUAAACAACACAAGGAGUCUAACAAAGUUUGUUUUGCAUUUUUAGCAUUUUUCUACUCUUUCUUAUGCAUUUUCAAAGUUUCAGCAAAAUUAAACCAUUUAAAAUAGAAAAAGGAUAAAACAUUUUACUCGUGGGUACCUGGAGGUUUUGAACUAUUACGGAUGGGUCCCUACACUUAGCACUAAAGACCCUAGAAACUAAACUAGUUUUGCAAUGUGGUCCUUUCCCUCGCCGGCGGCAACUCCGGCCGAUUGCCGGCGAGCGGCAGCGCAAAAGUGGAGGAAAAGGGUCGAGCGUGUCGUGUGGCUCGCCAGGCGGACUUGAGCUUAGGGGGUUGGCGGCGGAGGACGAACAGCGGUGACGGUUCGUGGUGGGGGCGAAACAGCGGUGGCGGACCUUCUGCUCUGGUGAGGUGGGUGGCGGAGGGAGCUUGGCGACAGCUCGGUGAGCUACGCGUGGGUGUGUGCAGUGCUCAGGCGAGCUUAGCGGGCGGCGGGGAGGCUCGGGAGGUGCUUCUUUGGGGCGAGGUGAGUGGCAGCGCUUGAAAGCAAAGCUCGGGAGAUCUUCUUGUCGGGGGCGACUACUGGCUAGGGUGGGGCUUGAAUUGUCUUGUCUCGACGGCGAGAGGUCGAGUGGUGCUGGCUGGUGUGCUGGGGUGAUGUGGCGGCGUGCAACGGUGUGUGCACAUGAGGGCAGUGCAGCUAUUGGGCGGCCAAGAUGCGGUGCGUAGGGGCAGGAUGGCGUAGGCGAACCAUUGGUCAGCUCGGGGCAUCGUCUUCUCAAGUCGUCGGUGAUGGUUGGCUAGCGGUGCUGCGCGAAUGCCAAGGGUGCACGUGGCGCGGCGCGACAUGGCCAGGCGGUGACCGCGCACGGGAAAAGCCGUGGCGUGCAAAGCUGUGUGGUUUGAAGCAAUUUUGCGCACAAAUUCGAAUUCAAACUUUGGAAAGUUCAAAUAUGAAGGGUCUAAGGUCGAAACUUUUCUGGAUUUGGAGAUAGACUAGGCUAAACUUUGACAUAACGCCGGUUUUACAAACGUAGUGAUUUCAAACCAGUUUUUAUGGAUUUUGCCAAAAUUCAAACUGAAUUUUCUCCAAAAGUUCAAACUAAAGCUGAGAAAUUCUAAAUGUACAAGUUGUUGUCCAUACUUUAGAGUCAAACUCUUAGAAAGGGUUCAAGUUCAAAACUAUCUUGGAUUUGAAGAUAACCACGGACAAAAGUAGGGAGAAACAGUUGUUUUUCAGAACUUAGAGAAAUUUGAAUUGAGUUUGAAAUUGAGCUGAUCUUUGACUCAAUUUUUGAAAGGGUUCCACUGCAAACUAGCAAAAUCUCAAAUAAUCAAAGUUGUGUGUUUUGAAAAGUUCUACAAUUUUUGUAUUGGCAAAACUUUGAGUUAUUUAACAAAAUCUGAAUUUAUGAAUUGCCCACAAUUUAAGCCAUUUUAAGGGUAUUUUGGUCCAUUCAAGUGCUUGAUUAGAUUUCAACCUGGUCCUUUGAGGUUUUUGGCAUUUUUACAACAAAAAAAACCUAGUGUGAGUAUUUAUACCACUUAAUCUUUGGGUUUGACUUGAUUUGAUCAAUUUAACCCCUAAUGUGACAUUUCUUUGAGUGUUUAAGUGUGCUCGUGCUCAAACAAUAAUAAGUUUGAAACUUAGAUGCUAAUUGAUCCUUAAAUACUCCAAUUAGACUCUUUAAGGACUAAACCAAAACUAGGGAUGUUACACCUUCGUGUAUUUGCCUUGGUGCACAAAGGUCCCAUCCUUGCUUUGCUUGAUUUGUAGCCCGAGGAAGAAGGUAAACUCACCCAUCAUCGACAUCUCAAAUUCCCUGCUCAUAUCGUCUGCAAAGUAUGCAACUAAAGCAUGAGAAGAACCACCAAAGAUAAUAUCAUCCACAUAUAUCUGAAUAAUCAACAAGUCAUUGCCUUGCCUGAGAAGAAAGAGUGUUUUAUCCACUGACCCAUUUCAAACCCAUUUCCAAGCAAAGAGCUUUUUGGAGUUUGAAAAUACAAUCAGGAUGUUUAGGCUUCUCAAAGCCAUGGGGUUGUUUCACAUACACUUUCUCUUCAAUAAAACCAUUUAGGAAGGCACUUUUCACAUCCAUUUGGAAGAGCUUAAAACCUUUAGCCAUAGAGAAGACUACAAGGAUUGUAAUUGCCUCCAAACAGGCAACAGGAGCAAAGGUUUCCUCAUAAUCAAUAACCUCUUUUUCGCUAAAAUCUUGGGCAACCAACCUCACUUUGUUUCUCACAACCAACCCAUCCUCACCUUAUUUGUUUUUGAAAACCCAAUUGGUUCCUAUAGGAUGGCAAUUUGGAGGUGGUUCAACUAAAACCCAAACUCUACUUUGCUCAAAUUUGUCCAACUCCUCAUGCAUGGCAUUAACCCAGUUUGAAUCAGAUAAAGCAUGUCCAAUAUUUCGGGGUUCGAAAGAGGCAACAAAAGUAGAAUGUGCAAAGUGUGAAAUCUGCCUAGAGCUGCGCCUAGUGGUGCGUUCAUGUAAGUUACCUAUCAUCUGUUGUGGAGGAUGGUGACGCUGAAUGUGCCAUGGUGCCUCUCUCUCUAAAGUCACCUCCCCCUCAACAGCAGCUGAAUUACUCUGAUCUUCUUCUUCAUCAUCAUGUAGUGGUACUUGUUGAUGGCUUGUAGUAAUGGGAGUAGAGGUAGGGCCAUCAACUAUCAUAGUCGAAGUAGAAGGUACAGGUGCAACAGCUGGAGCACGGUCAAUCUCAUCAUCCUCUUCAUCACCGCUAUCAACACGCUCUUCCUCUUCCUCAAAGAUGCUUUUCCCCAUUUCAUGUUCACCUGCAACCUCAAAGACAAGAUUUGUGCAAGGCAUAGUUUCUUCAAAGGUAAUCUCACAAGUUUCCACAAUCCAGUUAAUUUCAAGGUUAAGCACACGAUAAGCAUGACUAUGAGAAGCAUAUCCUAGAAAAAUACCAUCCAUAGAAUGAGACUCAAUUUUGUCCAAAUUACCUUGCUUGAGAAUGAAACAUUGCAGCCAAACACUCUCAGGUGACUUACUUUGGGGGUACAUCAAUGCAUCAGCUCAUAAGAGGUUUUCUUCAAGAAAGCUCGCAAGAAGAUUCGAUUGGAAACAUAGCAAGUAGUAUUUACGGCUUUGGCCCAAUAUUUUAUAGGAGUCCUAUGCUCAUCAAGCAUUAUCCUAGCCAUUUCACAAAGAGCCCGAUUUUUCCGUUCAACAACACCAUUCUGAGGAGGGACAUAAGGCGAUGAAAACUGAUGUUCAAGACCAAGAUCAUUACAAAAAGCUUUAAAAUGAGUGUUCUUGGUAAUGUGCCAUUGUCACUGCGAAUACCUCUGAUGGCAUCUGGAUCUAAUCUCGAACAAAAGGAAAUGCCUCCUCCUUAGAUUCCAUGAAAAAGACCCAUGAAUACCUCGAGAAAUCAUCAACAACCACAAGAACAUACCACUUCCCACCAACUGAGCAAAUGCGAGCUGGACCAACUGUAUCCAUGUGCAACAGCUCCCCUGGAUGCUUAGUCAUCACCUGGUUCACAGGUGGGUGAGAAGUGGCAACAAUUUUGCCAUGACGACAGGGAGCACAAACAAGAUCUUUCUCAAACUUGAGCUUAGGCAAUCCUUAAAUAAGGUCAAGAGCACUCAAGCGGGAAAGUAAAUCAAAACUCAAAUGACCAAAUCUCCUAUGCCACUUCCAAAGGUCAGAAGAAGAACCAACAACUUAACACCAAGAGAGACCAAAUGACUUAGAGAAGUCAACUCAAAAAACCUGAGCCUCGGGGAUGAUCAUACACAGAAGAUCACCUCGAGAGUCUAAAAUCCAUGAGGCUCCCUGCUUAAAACAAACCUCAAAACCAUCAUCAAGCAGUUGCGAAACCGAAAGUAAAUUGACACCGAGGGAAUCAACAAGAGGAACUCACUUGAGCAUGAAGUUCUCACUCACCUUUAUUGCUCCUUCAGACAAUACCUUUCCUUUGCUAUUAUCCCCGAAAGUGAUGUACUCUCUAGUCAUCACCAGGGUGAGGCUGGAGAACCAUCUGUGAUCUCCGGUCAUGUGACGAGAACAACCAGAGUCAAUGAGCCACGUGUUCUCCAGGCCUCCGACCUGCUCAACAAAAAGGAGACCAAGGAUGAGCAAAUGUCUCAACACUGGGGUUAGUAAAACAAGUAGAAUACUAGUGUCGAACCAUUUGCUCAAGAGUAGGGUUAGAAAAAUCAACCAUCUGUUGUCUCACUGGAGGACUAUGACCACCAUGAGGGGGAAAACAUGGUCCAUUGUACCUCUGAGACUCAAAACCACGGCCAUGUUGUCCCUAGUCAUAUUGAUCAUGACAAGGAGCAUGCCUGGCAAACCUGCGGGAAGGAGCUAAAUGCACACUAUCCACACAACAAGGUGGAGGAGCUGUUCUAGGUGCAUGUACACCAUGAGAGGGGUGGUACAUGUCCUUGUUGCCCCAUGCACGCUCACGCCUCAAAGCUUUCUUCUUUCAAAAACAAAACUCCUCAAGAUGACCCUCCCUUUUACAAUACUCACAUUGGAACCGAAUAUGUUGUUUUGGCUGUGGGUUAGCUUUGGGUUGAGGGUUAACUUUCAGCUAUGGGUUAGCUUUGGGUUGAGUGUUCAUUCUUGGUUGUGGUUUGUCUUGGGGUUUUGGUGGAGGUUGCUUCAAAGCCAUAUUAGGAACUGUGUCAAGCUUGUUUCCGAGGUGAUUGGGUUUUUCCACCCAGGUGGCUUUCUUUGGAACUUUUGGUGGUAUCUCAAUGAACACUCCAUCUUUAACACACUCUAUAGGGUUUCCAUCACAAUCUGGGUUAGGUUGCUCUCCACUCAGCUUGGGUGGCUCACAAGGGGUGGAAGUUGCUUGUUUUUCUCUCUCACCACUGCACUGACCAACCUUCUCAUACAACCCAUCAAAUCUGCACUGCUUGAUCACAUUCUAAUCCCAAAACCAUCAGCCCUCUUAAACUCCUGAAUCAUCAUACCCAACUGAGGUUCCCUACUCGACACCCAACUGAGAACAGUGUGCAAGUAGUAAUUUUCAUCCUUAGUAUUUUGCAAAGCAUGUUUAAGUUCAGGAUACUUUGUGCAUUUAGGAACUUUGGAUUUAGCAAUUAAAUUAGAUUUCUCAAGAGCUUUAAUCUUAGCACAUGCAUCAUCAAGUUGAAUUUGUAAAGCAGAGCAAGAUUUGCAAGCACCCAGUAAAACAGGUCUAGUUUUAACUUCAUCUAAAGCAGCCCUAGUCAAAUCAAGUUCAUCUACAAGCAAAGCAUGCUUAGAUUGCAAAGAAGCUAUACUAGCCAUGUGAACAACAUAUUCAUCACACUCAACAACAUCACAAAUAGUAGGAGCAGAUUUAAUCAUAUCUAUCUCAAUCAAAUCACUCUCCAACUUAGCCUUAAGCUCAAUUCAUUCACGAGCAGCCUUUUUUAAGCAACUUAUCUUGAUUUAGCAAGCAAUCAUUGAGUUCAUCUACUCCUAAGGCAAGUUGUUCAGGAGUGGGGAAGACCACAAUACAAGCAGUUGGGACACAUUUCUAGCUCCACUUCGACAAACUCAAGUAUCGGGGAAUAAGGUCACUACCAAAAAACUAAGCAUUCAUCCGCGGUAUUAGUAAUAGAUGGAUUUUGGUCUAGUACUAACACCACACUUUAGUACCGGUCAUCAAGUAUAGUGCCACUGGUGCCCCUAUAGUACCGGUUUGGAGCCUCAGCCGGUACUAAAUGGCAACACGUGGACCUCAUGAUGAACGGCUAGAUUAACCAGGAAGCCAUUUAGUACUGGCUGGUAGGUGGAGCCGGUACUAAAUGAUGUUCAUGCAUGUUAGUACCGGUUGGUAGCUUCAACCUGUACCAAUUGAAACCAUUUAGUACCGGCUCAACCCACCAGCCGAUACUAAAGAAAAUCCUAUAAAAUGAGCUACUUCCUUCCUCCCUAAGCUCGAGCUCAACCAUUUGACCAAGACCUCGGGCUUCUUCUUCACUCGACCUAGGGGAGGUAAAGGUUAGCAACUCCAUCCUCUAAUGGUUAGUAAUGAAUGCGAAUAAAUCCACAAGCGCACGGAUAUCAUUGUAGCUUUCACCUUAGAGUAUUCCAAGGGUAUUGAUCCAAGGUAACAUGUGUGUAUGCCUACGACUCUAGUAUCCAAGGACAACCAACCAAAGGUAGGCGAAGGAUAGAGAGGAUUCCUAUGGAUAGCACUAGAUAAGUUAAAGGUUGGUCUCUCGGGUCAGAAUACUCACUUCGGGCACUGGCUUACCUUGAAUGAGUUAGUCACCUUCGGCCAAUAGCUCUACGCUAUAUCCAAACAUGGAGGAUUAUGAUGGACCAAUAGGGUUGUCACCACCUACAGCCUACCUCUGCGGCCCAUGGGAUAUAAGACAAACGAAGGAUAACCCUUAGCCUAGACACCACAUUUACAAUACUGAUUAGUACUGCAGCCCAACUACGUCUGUCGACCUGAAGCAGACAUAUAGCACUUUGUAUAAAUACGGAGCGAUGAACCUGCGAGUAAGAGAACUGAUCUCACUUAUAAAUAAGUACUAAACCAAAGAAGAAAUCACAAAUACUCACUUACCUAACUCAGAUGGGAGUAGAAUGCUGAGGAACUCAACACUCCUCUGAGCUACUCCCUCUCUCUCUCUUCCGCCCAAUCCUAAGCACUAGCCUAAGUAGGGCUUCUCCAUGGAGUGGAGCUUUUCUCUUGAUAGGAGUGAGGGACUUCUCCAAGUGGGGAUGAAAGAUGGUGUGUCUUGAAAUGAGACCCCUCCCCUUCUAUUUAUAGGAUCUUGGGGUCAGUUCUGGGUAGGAAUAUUUGGGGAAUCUUCCACAACCAUCUUUGGGAAAUCGUCAACUGCUGCCAUGCCUCGACUGGAGGGGAAAGAAGGUAAGGGUGAUUCGACCAAACCAGGGGCUCGGCCGCCCUCCUACAACCGCCUUUUGCACCGCCUUUGCUUUGGGUCACUGCCUUGUGGAUCCUCAUGUGGGUACAGGGUGCUUGGUGUUGAAUGUAGUCGGUUUCCUUCUUGUCGUGGGCCUAUGGAUCCACAUGCUUGCUCCUGAUUAGUUGAGAGUGUGUUUCCUUGCUCUUGAGGUGUAUUUUCUCGAUUAAUGAACCUGGAUACAAAUAUUUAACAACACUUAUGGAAUUUAUUAGUAAUAACUCCUACUACUACUGUUGAUGCUCAUUCUUUAUGUGUUUAUGCAGGAGUUGACAGCCUGAAUUUGGUACUUAAGAGCCGUCAACAACAUCCCCACAAUUAGCCUUUGCUUGUCCUGGUGUGAAGAAGAAAGGACUAAGGUGAAACAUAACUUUCAAAGGUAUGAAGCGAGCAUAAGAGAUAUUCCAAACAAUACCUUGCACUUGUGCACUUUGGAGUGUCAAUCAUGCCAUCUUGGUAGUUGAGGAAUGGAACCGUCUUGAAUCAAGUUGCCUCAACUCCUUAUAUCAAGCAACUUGGGAUUUUUCAAUAAGGUUUUAUAACAAACCUUGCUUAGCUGCUCAUUUGAUUCUCUCAGAUCAGUCAAUGUGUAUAUGUCCUCACCAACGCAUUAAACUUGCCUUUCUUUAUCCUACUUCGAAUGAUGGCUUUAUGUGGAGCUCAAGGUAGGGCAUUAAACUUGCCUUUCUUAUCAUAAAUCUUGUUCUUCAUGAUUAUUUUGAGCCUUCUAACAAAAGAGCCAUUUCUUCAUCAGAGUCAUCAUCAUUGCCAUUUUCAUCAUUGUUGUUCUCUUUUGAUGAUUGAGCCUUGAGUGCAAUACUUUUCUUCCCAUCAUCAUUUGCUAGGCCAUGAGCUUCCCUUUGUGAUUGCUUGAAAAUGUCAUGAGUGAGCACAUCACCUAGCACUUGUGUAGGUGUCAUUGUCUUCAAGUUUGAUCUCAUAAGCAAUGUAACAAUUGUUUCAUAUUUCUCCAGGAGGCACCUAAGAACUUGUGAGAAAAAUCUUCAUCCAGAACAUUGAAACCAAGACCCUUGAGCUCAUUCACAAUAUCAUUAAACUUGUUGAACAUACCAGACAAAUCUUCAUCCUUCUUCAUAGCAAACUCACUAAACUUUCCAUAAGCUUUUUCCAAAUUACAUUUGCGGUUGUGAGAUUCUUCACCCGGUUGAACUCACUAAUGUCAAGAGCACCAUAGAGAACAAUCAUAGCUUGAUCAUUGAGUAACUCAUUUUCAUCGUCGGUUUUGAUUUUAUUCUUCUCAUCUAGAAUAGCAUAUCCAUCAUUCACAUUUCUCCAAAUCUUUUUGCCCAUAGCCUUAAGAUGAACCAUGAUUCUAGUUUUCUAAUAAUCAUAAUUAUUCCCAUCAAAGUGUGGUGGCUUCCCCACAUGAACAUUGUUGUCCUAUUGGUAUAAUUAACGAAUGCAAAUAAAUCCACAAGCGCAUAGAUACCGUUGUAGCUUUCACCUCAAAGUAUUCCAAGGGUAUCGAGUCCAAGGGAAUGUGUUGUGCACUAACUUCUAUUCAAGCGAUCCAAGGACUCACCCAGAUAUGUGGCUAGGGUAGAGAUGAUUCCUAAAGAUAGCACUAUAGGUGAGUUAAAGGUCGAUCUCUCGGGUCAAAUACUCGCUUUGGGCACUAGCUUACCCUUAAUUAGUCAGGUGCGUCCAGCCUAGAGCCUACUAUAUAUCCGAACAUGGAGGAUUACAAAGGACCAAUAGGGCUGUCACCACCUACGGCCUACUUCUGUGGCCUGUGGGAUAUACGGUAAAUGAAGGACAACCCUUAGCCCAGACAUCACAUCUACGCUAUUGAUUACUACUGCAGCCUAACUACGUUUGGGCCCCCCAUAGCAGACUACAACACUUGUAUGAUUACAGAGCGACGUACCCACGAGUAAGAGAACUGAUCUCACUCAAAUAUAGAUACUACUAGUAUAUACUAUAGACAUUCAUGAGAGCACUCAAGGCUAUACUAUGAUAGCAUGGGUAUAUGACUAGCAUAUGAGCAUAUAAACGAAGCAUACAAACAUAGCAAUGGAAUAAGGCUAUUCAUGAAACCAAGGAUAACACUAUAAGAAGGAAUCACGAACACUUACUUAACUUCGAAGAAUGUAGCAGCAUCCGUAGAGGUACCAGCUGGGAGGAGAAUGCCAACACUCCGGCACUCCUCCCAAACAACCCUCACUCUCUUCCUACUCUAAGCAUAAGCUAGGCAAGGCUUUGCCUUUGGAAUGAGGCUCUAGGCUUCCUUGGAUGGUGUUGUGUGUCCUCAAAUGAGGCCCUCUCCUCUACUAUUUAUAGAGUGGAGGUGCCUUGGGAGAGUGGAGAUCCUCCAAGCAUCUAAAGGGAAUCUUGAAGGAAUAUUCUCCUCCAACUCUUCUCCUUGUGCCACUUAGCAGGAUCCGAGACCUUGAGGUGGUAACUCCCAGGAUAACGACCACAACUACCUUUAGGAAGUCACCAGGGGCCGCCACGUGGAAGCUGAGCACAAGGGGAGCCAGCACUAGUUCGGCCGAACCCCGGGCACUGCCUCUCAUGCCGCCUUUCAUCUGGAACACUUCCUAAUGGGCCCUCAAGUUGGUUCUAGGUGCCUGGGCCAAGUUAAGGUGAUUUACCGCCUAAUGUGGGCCCAUGGAUCUGUGUGCUCUUUCCUGAUUGGCUGGAGUUAUGUUUGUUUGCCACUUGGGUGUGCUUUCUCCUCCUUUGUAAGGAUAAGUUACCUGCAUACAAAUAUUCACCAACACUUGUGGAAAUGGUUAGUAAUAAACCCCCACCACUAGGUUUGGUGGUUGAUCUUGAUAGCUUUUAUGUAGGAGUUGAUGGUCAAAAGUGGUACUUAAGAGCCGUCAACAGUCACUACCUAUUUAUCCUACUCCGGGAUGGUAAAAUCCUUCAAAUACAGAGACCACGACUCUUGAAGGGAUACAAGGUAGGCUAUGCUAGUGCAAAAUAAAAUUUUCUACCUCAUAAAUGAGGAAAACUGUCGUAUAUGGAUGACGGGAUUACCACUAGAUGCGCAGAUGUGCAAGUUGAUGAAGCGCGUCAGGGUAGUGUAGUCAAUCACAUGUUGCCGCAAUGUAGUCAAAUACGUCCACAUCUAGUAGCUCCUUAGCAACUUGUCCACAUGCAGCGGCGUCCUCUUCGCGCGACAGCUCGUCAAGCUCCUCGUCAGCUUGUCAAGCUCUCAUGCGGUGGCUCGUCCAAGUGCUGCAGAUACAACACCAACAAGUUAUCCACACGUGCGGCGAGGAAACAUUGCAAGAUGAACUACUAGGUCCGCGAGUGCAACAAGGCGACGGCGUGGGGGGGCACAGCUGAGGUUCGGCCAAAAAGGAGUGAAACCCUAAGAUGUCCCCACCCCUCAAUAUAUAGGGGUCCUUGAUGGGCCUCUAGGUCUAAGGCCCAUUAGUACUCCCAAACCUGGUUUAAUUCGGAUCAUAUCCUCAUUGGGCUUCCAGCCCCUUAAGUAUGCGACCCUAUAGGUUCAUCUAUGCAUAGACAUGGCACGAGUACUCCUACUCGGCCAAUAGUUAGUAGCAGCCUCUAGCAAGACGUGCUAACUCCUAUGCGCACACAAAGAUCAUAUCAAACGAACCAUCACAACAUCAUGUACAUGCUAUUCCCUUUGCCAUAUGAUAUUUGGUCUAGCUUCAAGCCGACCUCUCUUUCUCGAUCCUGUGAUUUGAAAUCCCUCUCUAGGUUAACUCUUAACCUCACAUAGCAUGGCCAUGCAUUUCCGGAUCCGAUCACUCGAGGGGCCCAGACAUAUCUCUCUCAAGUAUAGAGGGUCAAAUUCCAUCUUGAUUGACCAUGCCUCACAGCAUGCUUCUUGACAAACCCAAAAGCUACCUUUAUAACUACCUAGUUACGGUGUAGCAUUUGAUGGCCCCUAAGUAAGUUGUUCCACAUCUUGAGUACAUGCGACAAUCUCAGGUCUAAGGACAAAGCGUACACGUUAUGUAAAGAGAGAACUAUGCAACUCGCGUUGGGUCAGUCCUAGCGCAUGUCUCUACAUGUGCCCACAUUAUUAGUUUGACAUCUCCAUGUCCAUGACUUGUGAAACAUAGUCAUCAACUAAUACAUGUGCUAGUCUAAUAUUCAUGUGUGUUCUCACAUGAACUCCGACUAGGGACAACUUUUAUAAUAACCAUACAAGUAAAGAGUUUCACACACAAUUCACAUAAUUGCAAAUUAAUUCAAGUAGCCUUUAACGUAUAUUCAAGGAACACAAUACAAAUCAUGGAUACAAUGGGAUAUCAUCAUCUCUAUGAUUGCCUCUAGGGCAUACCUCCAACAGUCUCCCACUUGCACUAGGGUCAAUCUAGAAGAUAUCUAAUACCCAUAGCUCUUAUGUGUGCAUCAUGCUUAGACUGCGGGAGAGGCUUUGUUAAAGGAUUAGAAAUAUUUAAAUCUAUGUGUAUUUUGCAUAUCUUGAUCUCGCCUCGGUUAACGAAGUCUCGAAUGAGAUGAAAUUGUUGCAUUACGUGUGUGUUCUUCUGGUGAUUCCUUGGCUCCUUUGCUUGCGCAAUAGCCCCAUUGUUAUCACAGUAGAGAUUCAAUGGGCUGGAUGCAUUCGGGAACACACCAAGUUCAAUAAGGAAAUUCCUUUUCCAAACACCUUCCUUCACGGCUUUUGAACCUGCGAUGUACUCGGCUUUUGUCAUAGAAUCAGCCACCAUCUCCUGCUUGGAACUCUUCCAGCUAACAGCACCACUGUUUAUCGUAAACACAAAUCUUGAUUGUGACUUUGAAUCAUCUUUGUCUGUAUGGAAACUAGCAUCGGUGUAACCUAUUACAAUGAGCUCCUCCUCACAUCCAUAGACGAGGAACAUAUCUUUAGUCCUUCUUAAGUACUUAAGAAUGUUUUUCUCCUCCUCACCUCCAUAGACGAGGAACAUACCUUUAGUCCUUCUUAAGUACUUAAGAAUGUUUUUCAUCGCCGUCCAGGGACUCUCACCCGAAUCACUGAUGUCUGCUUUUCAUACUUAGCGCAUAUGAAACAUCUGGGCGAGUACUUAUCAUUGCAUACAUGAUAGAUUUGAUAGCCAAAACAUAUGACACUCUACCUAUGCGAUCCCGCUCAUCAGUUGUCAAGGGACACUGAGUCUUGCUAAGGUGUAUGCCAUGUGACAUAGGCAAGAACCCUUUCUUUGCCUCUUCCAUGCUGAACCGUUUCAACACUUUGUCAAUGUAAGUAUCUUGGCUUAAUCCUAUAAGCCUUCUGGAUCUAUCUCUAUAGAUUUUGAUGCCCAAAAUAUAUGCUGCUUCCCCUAAAUUCUUUAUCGAAAAACUAUUUUUUAGUGAAGUCUUUACGGACUCAAGCAUUGGAAUGUUGUUUCCAAUCAGUAAUGUGUCAUCCACAUAUAAGAUUAGAAAUACUACAAAGUUCCCACUAACCUUCUUGUAAACACAAGCCUCCUCUCCGUUCUUAAUGAAGUCAAACCCUUCGACCACUUCAUCAAAAUGAAUGUUCCAACUCCUGGAUGCUUGCUUCAAUCCAUAAAUGGAUUUCUGAAGUUUGCAUACCUUUCCAGUAUUAUUCUGAUCAACAAAACCCUCGGGCUGCAUCAUAUACACGUCCUCAGUUAGAUUUCCAUUUAGGAAAGCUAUCUUGACAUCCAUUUGCCAUAUCUCAUAAUCGAAAUAUGCAGCUAUAGCUAGAAUAAUCCGAAUAGAUUUAAGCCUCACUACAGGCGAGAAGGUCUUGUCGUAGUCAACUCCUUGAACUUGUCUAAAACCUUUUGCGACAAGUUGAGAUUUAUAGAUGUGGACAUUUCCAUCCAUAUCUCUCUUCUUCUUAUAGAUCCACUUGCACUCUAUGGCUCUAACACCAUCAGGCGGGUCAACCAAGUUCCAAACUUGAUUGUCUCCCAUGGACUCGAUUUAAGAUUGCAUGGCACUCUACAAUUUUUUGGAGUCUGGGUCCAUCAUUGCUUCUGCAUAUGUCGCAGGCUCAUCAUUGUCCAACAAUAACAUUUCCCGCAUUUCGUGGAGCCUUGCCGACCUUUGUGGUCAUGGCGGUGCUUCUCUAUCCAUGGGUAUCUCAACUUGUUCUGCUACGUUAGCAUCACUCGUUGAUUCUUGCCUGAUUGGCUCAUCCCAAACUUCUUCAAAACACACUGUCUUUCCACUCUUCUCCCCUUUGAGAAACUCUUUCUCUAGGAAAACACCAUUCCAAGUGACAAACACUUUGCCCUCUGAUCGGUUGCAGAAAUGAUAUCCUAGAGUUUCCUUUGGAUAUCCCAUGAAAAUGCAUUUAUCCGACUUGGGUGUUAUCUUGUCCGACUAAAGUCGCUUGACAAAUACUUCACAUCCCCAAAUCUUUAGAAAAGACAAACUGGGAGUCUUUCCAGUCCACAUCUCAUAUGGUGUCUUAACUACGGAUUUAGACGGUACCUGAUUAAGUGUGAAAGCUGUUGUUUCUAGAACGUAUCCCCAAAAUGAUAACAGUAGGUCCGACUAGCUCAUCAUUGAUUGAACCAUGUCCAACAAGGUUUGAUUACAUCACUCGGAUACACCGUUUCUCUGAGGUGUUCUAGGUGGAGAAAGCUGUGGAACAAUUCUGCAACUCUUUUAGAUGAUUGCUAAACUUGUGGCUCAAAUACUCGCCUCUGUGAUCAGAUCGUAAGGCCUUAAUUUUCUUACCACGCUGAUUUUCAACUUCAUUUUGAUAUUUCUUAAACUUUUCAAAGAUUUCAGACUUGUGCCUCAUCAAGUAGACAUAGCCAUAUCUACUAAAAUCAUCAAUAAAAGUUAUGAAGUAUUGGAAUCCUCCUCUAGCUGUCGUGCUCAUUGGUCCACAUACAUCGGUAUGUACGAGUUCCAACAAGUCUAAUGCUCUCUCAGGAAAGCCUGUGAAAGGCACCUUGGUCGUCUUGCCUAGCAAGCAAGCCUCACAUGUCUUGUAUGAUUCAAAAUCAAACGAAGUUAAAAGUGCAUUAGAAUGGAGCUUCUUCAUGCGCUUUUCACUUAUAUGACCCAAACGACAAUGCCACAUGUAGGUAGCACUCAAAUCAUUAGGCCAAGGCCUUUUAGCACUUAUGUUAUAAACAGGUGAAUCAUCAAGAUUUAAAACAAACAAUUCAUUCACAAUGGGUGCAAAGGCCAUAAACAUAUUAUUCUUAGACAUCACACAACCAUUGUUUUCACUCGAAAAUGAAUAACCCUCCUUCAUCAAGCAUGAAGAAGACAUAAUAAAUCAUGACAGGAGGUAGAGUUGCAUCGUCCUGACAGUCAAUGCAGCAACUCUUGCAUUAUUGCCCACGCGGAAAUCAACUUCUCCUCUUUCCACACGUCUACUUCUUAUCAGUCCCUGCAUCGAAUUGCAAAUAUGAGCAACCGAUCCGAUAUCAAAUACCUAAGAAUUAAUAAUUGUAUCAAUGAGAAAUAUGUUGUCCAUAACAUUAAUAACAAGUGUACCUAAGGUGUAAAUACUCUUACUUCUGCUAUUCUUCAACGAAGCUAGGUACUGCUUGCAAUUUUUCUUCCAGUGACCAAGUUCGUGAUAAUAAAAGCACUCUUUGACUGGAGCAGGUCCAGCUUUAACCUUGGGUGCUGGGUUUGGCUUGGAGGCAGUCUUGCCCUUCUUCUUAAAGCUAGGCUUGUUCUGUAUUGUCAUCACAUGGCUGCUACCAGCACUUUUCUUAAUGUCAGCCUCUGCUAUUUUAAGCAUGCCACAAUUCAUUCAGACCCUUCUCCAUCCCAUGCAUAUGGUAGUUCGAGAUGAAGUUACCAUAGCUAGACAGAAGAGACGAAAGAAUGAAAUCAGUGGCCUACUCUUGGCCCAGUGGGAAGCCCAGCUUCUCCAACCGUUGAGUGUAACCAACCAUUUUGAUUACGUGUGGUCCUACUGUUGCACCUUCUGCUAGCUUGCUCUCAACAAAGGCCUUAGACACAUUGAACCUUUUAGUCCUGGCCUGUGUCUGGAACAUAUCUCUAAGCGCCACGAUCAUAUUGUAUGCCUCAUGAUUUGUUUCAAACUGCAUCUGCAGUUCGGUUUCCAUGCAAGCAAGCAUAAGGCAGCUUACUUCAAGAUUAGCAUCACAAGCUUUCUUGUAAGCAUUCUUAGCAGCAGCAGGUGCAUCAUUAGCAGGUUCUUCUGGUAAUGGGAUGUCCAGAACAUCUUCCUUUUUCUUAGCCCUGAGAAUAAUUCUCAGGUUACAGAUCCAAUCCAUAUAGUUUGUCCCAUUCAGGUUGUCCUUCUCAAGGACUGAACGCAAAGCAAAUGGUGUGGUGUUGCUAGGUGCCAUUUAUCUACAAUAAAUAAUAAUGAAAAAUACUAAGAUGAAAGUAUUUUAUGACAAUAAUUCACAUUAAACUUUUAACAUAAUCUACUCCCACUAAAAUCAAUAUCUCUCUAUUGAUACUUAGUGAUUUAGGAUCCACAACUAACAAGUCUACUAGUGAUCUUUAGCAUCACCGCUAGUAUUCAAGGUAGAUUGGUAAGCAACUCCUUGCUAAUCAUAUCACAUGUGACUCCUGUUGUUGGGUGACAUCUCCAUGUCUCGGUGCCCAACCUUCAUGCCCCAAAGUCCCUAACUGUUAAGAUGACCUUGUUUAAGCAAACCGAACCUUAUGCGUGUAAGUAUCCGAUACAAACCCGUCUAGUCAAGGAAAACUAGUGAUACUCUAAUUUCAUAGGCCCACCACCAAUUGUACAAGACAUGGGCUGGUACAACUUUUAGUUGGGAGGGCAUACUAACUUAAAAUUUGCAAGGGAUCGUUCUACUUCUAACAUCACAUCAAGAAGGAGUAAAACAAAAGGAAUAGCAUUCACAUAGUUUUGACACAGUAUGGCCCGAUUUCUAGUGGUGAUCUCCAUCUCCAUAGAACCUGUUCACCAUGAUGAUCUCCAUCUUCAUGUUCCAUGUGCGCCAUCCUCCUAGUGAUGAGUCCUCCAAGAACUAGUACAAGCUAUUACAUCUAACCAGCUAGUAAAGAAGGUUACAUAGUUGCUUGGAUCAUCAUAGAUUGACACGCAGGUCAUUAAUUACAUUAAUGUGACAGUACAUAUGGCUCCAGCCGUAUUGCCGUACGCAUGACACGCAGGUCAUGAAUCAGUUACACAUAUGCAUCACAUACACAGGGGCCAUACCAAUCACAAAAUCCUGCAAAACAGAGUUAGGUGUUCUAAUGUCCAAACUUAAAAGGCUCAAAACUCCAUCUUCCAAGCCGAAUUUGGGAAAUAUAAUUUCACUAAAAUCAUGUGUAACUUUUUCUAUAGAUCAAUUUUCAUAUAAAAUUCGCCUUGAUCCGAGAUCAUACCGAAAAGUUACGGCUGUUUUACUGAAACACAUGAUAUCGGUAAAUAAUCUAAUCCAGUAGUAGAUCAAAUCGACUACUGCACAUCAUAUGCGUCUGGCGUAUCAACCUAGGUUUCGAUUUGACCAAUUACAUUGAUCUUCACUUACUGCAACUGGCAUUACAUGUAUUACUUAACUCUGAUGGCGGAAAUCCUACCUGUAGGAGUAUGUCGUUAGAUGACCAUUGCAGCAAGAACACGAAACCAGAUGAUAGAUCAAUUUGAAAAACCGCAUAUCUCCAUAUGCACACAUCCCGAAUCCAAAAGUAAACAACAUUGGCUCUGAUACCACUAAAGGGAUACCAGGUAGGCUACGCUACCGCAAAACAAAAUUUUCUACCACGGAAAGCAGGAAAACUGUCGUAUAUGGAUUACUGAAUUACCACUAGACGUGCAGAUGCGAAAGUUGAUGAAGUGCGUCGGGGCAGUGUAGUCGAUCACACGUCGUCGUACUGUAGUUGAACACGUCCACGUCCAGCAGCUCCUCAGCAACUCAUCCACGUGCAGCGGCAUCCUGUAGUGUAGUCGAUCACAUGUUGUCGUAUUGUAGUUGAACACGUCCACGUCCAGCAGCUCCUCAGCAACUUAUCCACGUGCAGCGGCAUCCUCUUCGCGCGGUGGCUCAUCAAGCUCCUCGUCGGCUUGUCAAGCUCUCAUGCAGUGGCUCAUCCAAGUGCUACCGAUACAACACCUCCAAGGUAUCCACACGUGCGGGGAGGAAUUGUUGCAAGCCCAACUACUAGGUCCACGAGUGCAACAAGGCGAGGGCGUGGGGGGGGCACAGCUGAGGUUCGGCCAAAAGGGGGUGAAACCCUAAGCCACCACUACCCCUCAAUAUAUAGGGAUACCUGAUGGGCCUCUAGGUCCAAGGCCCAUUAGUACUCCCAAACCUGGUUUAAUUCGGAUCAUAUCCUCAUUGGGCUUCCAGCCCCUUAAGUGUGCGACCCUAUAGGUUCAUCUACGCAUAGCCAUGGCGCCAGUACUCCUACUCGGCCAAUAGUUAGUAGCGACCUCUAGCAAAACGUGCCAACUCCUAUGCGUACAAGAAGAUCAUAUCAGACGAACCAUCACAACAUCACGUACAUGCUAUUCCCUUUGCCUCACGAUAUUUGGUCUAGCUUCAAGCCGACCUCUCUUUCUUGAUCCUAUGAUUCGAAAUCCCUCUCUAGGUUAACUCUUAACCUCACAUAGCAUGGCCAUGCAUUUCCGGAUCCGAUCACUCGAGGGGCCCAGAGAUAUCUCUCUCAAGUAGAGAGAGGCAAAUUCCAUCUUAACUGAUCAUGUCUCACAGCAUGCUUCUUGACAAUCCUGAAAGCUACCUUUAUAACUACCUAGUGACGGUGUAGCGUUUGAUAGCCCCUAAGUAAGUCGAUCCACAUCUUGAGUACAUGCGACAAUCUCAGGUCUAAGGACAAAGCGUACAUGUUGUGUAAAGAGAGAACUAUGUAACUCGCAUUGGGUCAGUCCUGGCACAUGUCUCUACACGUGCCCAUCACUACAAGGUUUUGUCACUAAUGCCACAAUUUUUUUUGCAAUAGACAAUUUUCAUUGCAAUACAUAGGGGUUAUUACGACAAUAGUCCUUAUUGGUUGUAAUAGGGUGCCAUAUUGCCACCAUUUUUGUAGCGUUGCGAUUACAAUUUUAGUGGUUGUAAUAAAUACGCUAUAUCACAACGAAUAUAUGUUGGUUGUAAUUGCGGCGACGUUAUUGCCACGCUAUUUUAUAGUGGAGGCAAUAGUUGUCCAUAUUGCAACGAUUAUAACACGUUGUGAUAAGUACUAUCGUGCGUUGCAAAAGAGUCUUAGAGAUAGCAACGAACACGGUGUUGUUGCAAAAGAAAUCUUGGUUAUUACAACGGAAAAUGGUGUUGUUGCAAAAGAAAUCUUGGUUAUAGCAACGAAAAUAGAAAAUGUUGCAAAUGAGUCUUAGAUAGUGCAACACUAAUAUGAAUUGUUGCAACUAGUAUUAGAUAUAUCAAUGAAAAUGGUAUUGUUGCAAAAGAAAUCUUGGUUAUAACAACAAACACUCGAAUCGUUGCUAGACAGAAGGUGCUAUUGCAAUAAUAUAUAGUCGUUGCAAUGUAGGGGAAUGCAUGGUUGCAAUAGAUGAGUUUGUGGGUGCCGCUAGCUUGGUUAUGUUGGUGGGCCUUUAUUUUUUCCCACACAUAUGGCAAGCCUUUCUUUCACGAGCUGAGAGGCCUAAUUCUGAUAUAUCUCCUAGCGUCGCCUCCCCUCUUCCUUUGCAUGACUCCUCCCCUUCUUCACGGGAUGCUGCUUUCGUCGCGCGAUCGCCACCUGCCGUCGUCUUUUCUAGCGCACGAAUUGCCAAGUGCCAAGGAAGAGUCCCCUUCUUAGUCCUUCAUGAUCUUGUCGCCUCCCCUCCUUCUUCGCAUGACUCUUCCCCUUCUUCGCGUGAUGCUGCCUUCAUCGCGCGAUCGCCGCCUACCGUCGUCUUCCCUAGCGCGCGAGUUGCCGAGCGCUAAGGAAGAGUCCCCUUGUUAGUCCUCCAUGAUCUCUCAAUGCGGGAUGACACAGGUGUUGUCCGAUUCCAUCCUCUUAAUACAAGAUAUAAAAUCGAUCCAGACCUAUCGCAAUUAAUGUGCAUGCUGAUAAACUUGAGUUCUUCAAUUAGUAUAUAUAGUCAUUCAGUUUUUUAAGUACUUUUUGAUAGUAAUAAUACUGAUGGAGGAACCUAUAUUUUAUGCAGGUUAUUCAGGAGUUGUAUAGUAGUACAAACAUGUGCUUAAAUUAUUAGUUGGGUUUUUUUUGCAAUAUGGCACAUGAUCAUGAGGAUCGUAGUUUGAUGGAAUUGUCACAUACAGAUGCUGCGUGGCAAAAUGGAGUUGCUAAAUUCAUUGAAGAUACCUUUGAUGGCACCUUUCCAGGACAGACUACGCCCUAUCCAUGUAGAGGAUGUCGUCACAUGGCAUAUCAAAAUAAAGAAGUUAUUGAGUUGCACUUGAAUACCAGAGGGUUUGAUCUGUAUUAUAAAAAACAUCAUCAUACUGGUAGAUCUGUUAAACGUAUUGUUGUGGAUGAUGAUGAUCGGGAUGUCUGUGAAGGUGAAGAAGGUGAUCAUGAUGAUGGUGUCUCAUCCACUAAACUGCUUUCAUCGCUAAUUAGUGGUGCCAUACAUGGUGAAAUUAGAGGUGGUAACAUUGAGGAGCCAAAUAAUGAGUCAGCAAGAAAUUUUUUUAACCUUAAUGGAAGAAGCUAGGAAAGAACUAUACCCAAGUUGCAAGGAGGCUAUCCAAAUAUCUUUUAUUGUGAGGCUAUAUCAGAUUAAGUGCAUGUUCGGUAUUAGCAACAAUGCUCUAGAGCAAGUACUGUUAUUAUUCUGCCAUGUGAUCCCCCAGGACAAUUGUGUCCCAAAUACCCUAGACAAAGUUCGAAAGGUAGUUCAAGACCUUGGCUUGGACUACCAAAAUAUUCAUGCUUGUGUUAAUGACUGUGUGUUAUUCCGUGGAGAAGAGUACGAGAAGCUGAACGCAUGUCCAAAAUGUGGGGAGAGUAGGUGGAAAGAUACAUAUUUAGAGUGUAGUGGUGAUGGCACUAGUGGAGUAAAGAAGAAGCUCUUACCUCGUAAGAUACUGAGGUAUUUUCCACUUAUUCCUCGACUACAGAGAUUAUAUAUGAACGAGACCACAUCGGCACAUAUGCGUUGGCACAAGGAAGAACUGGUUGAAGAUGGGAAAGUGUGGCACCCAGCUAACUCAAAGGCAUGGAGGCACGUAGAUGCCAAGUAUAGUGCAUUUGCAAGUGAUCCACGUAAUGUUAGGGUGGGACUUGCAUCGGAUGGCUUCAAUCCAUUUGGGAUGUUGAAUGUGACUUACACUACAUGGCCAGUGAUCCUAAUUCUUUAUAACCUGCCUCCUUGGUUGUGCUUCAAACAAUCCUAUUGGAUGAUGUCGAUACUAAUUCCUGCGCCUAAAUCUCUAGGAAUUAACAUUGAUGUAUAUUUGAAGCCUUUGAUCGAUGAGCUUAAAGAGCUAUGGGACAAUGGAGUUGAUACUUGGGAUGCGAAUAAAAAGGAAAAUUUUACUCUACUAUUUUGGACAAUUAAUGAUUUUCCUGCAUAUGCGAUGUUGUCUAGUUGGAGCACAAAAGGCAGGUUUGCUUGUCCUUGUUGUCACAAGGAUACUGAUUACUUGUGGUUAAAAUAUGGUGCAAAGCAUUGCUAAAUGGGCCAUCAUCGUUUCUUGCCUAUGAACCACAGGUGGCGGAGGAACAAGGUCAGCUUCAAUAACAAGGUAGACAUGAGGGAGACUUCAGUGCCCCUCAGUGGUGCACAAGUAGUGGAGCAGUACAAUAGUUUCGAGCAAGUCACUUUUGGAGCGACUACUUUGGGGAAGAGGAAGCAGCGUGAUGAAGAUAAUAGAUGGCACAAUUGGAGGAAGAAGAGUGUUUUCUUUGACCUUCCUUACUGGGAUUAUCUGCUUAUAUGCCAUAAUCUCGAUGUGAUGCAUAUUGAGAAUAAUAUAUGUGAGAGCUUGCUAGGGACUAUGCUUGAUUUGGCUGGUAAAAGUAAGGACACUGAGAAGGCUAGACUCGAUAUGAAAGAAUUGGGUAUAAGGCAGGAUCAAUCCUUGGUGGUGCGCCAAAUAUUGCAAGAAGAAGUAGUGAUCCCAUUGAUCGAGCUUAGCAGGUCUUUUAGUUUGGUAUGUUCAACGGAGCUUGAGGAAACUAAGAUGAAAGAACUUACCAAAUUGAUUGGAGAGAACCUUUGUUGGCUUGAGAUGAUAUUCCCUCCAGCAUUUUUUGAUAUUAUGAUGCACUUACCAGUUCAUAUUGCUUGGGAGGCUGAACUCGGGGGCCCUGUUUCCUAUAGAUGGAUGUAUCCAGUUGAGAGGUACCUACGUACCCUCAAAGGCUAUGUGAGGAACAAAGCAUGCCCAGAGGGUUCAAUAGCAGAGGGGUAAAUCUCGGAGGAGUGCCUUACAUUCUGUUCUUGGUUCUUUGAAGGUGUUAGUACAAAGCUGAAUCAGCCAGAGCAACAAGAAAGGAGCACAGUUAGUGAACCACCUGCUGGUCUAAGUGUAUUUGCGAGCAUGGACUUCAUUAGAAAGAAAAGUAGUCAUAGGCACAAUAUGGGGAUACCUUCUCCUGAUGACUUGCACAGGAUGAUGCACUACAUAAUAUCCAAUUGUGAUGAGGCCACUCCAUGGAUAAAGUAAGCUACAUGUAAUCCUAUGUUUUUUUAAUAUUGUGUUCACUAUCUAAUGGACAUAAAUUUAUUGUUUCAUCAGUGAGCACAUGGAUGAAUUGAGGAACACCAAUUCGCAUAAUGUUGAUAGAAGGCACAAGGCUGAAUUUGUUCAUUGGUUCGAGUGUAAAGUGAGUCAUACAUAUUUCUGUUCAAUUUUAUACAUCACACUUGAAUAUAUUUGUCCGUAACAUAUUUUCCAAACAUUUCUGAGUGUAGAUCAGGAACCUACAUUCAGAGGGAAAAGCAAAUGAAAUGAUUUAUUCUCUAUCUCAUGGUCCAGAAUAAAUAGUUAGUGUGAGGAACAGGUGUUCCAUCAAUGGGUUUUUCUUCCGGACAUCAGAUGUAGAGAAAAAUCUAUCAACACAGAAUAGUGGUGUUGUCAUCAAGGGCAAUGAUGGCAUGGAAUGGUAUGGAGUGAUUAAAAAAAUCAUCAUCCUUAAUUUUCCUAACCAGCAUGAAGUCACAUUGUUCGAGUGUGACUGGUAUGAUGUUCCUGCACCAACUAAGUGCAAAUCCAGAGGGUACAAUAAAGAUAAAUUUGAAAUUAUCAAUAUUGAUACCACUCAGUUUCGCUACUCAUAUGAUCCAUACAUCCUAGCAACACAAGCGGAGCAAGUGUGCUAUGUGAAAGGCGGGAAGAAAGGUACUAAAUGGUGCAGUGUCCUCAAAAUGAAACCUAGGACCCUAUUUGCCAUGCCGGAAGUAGAGGAUAGUGGUGGUGAUACCAAUGUGGACUCAGUUAUCACAGGAGUGGAACAAAUUAAUGUUGAGGACCAGCAGGAGGCUUUGACAAACUGGAUUAGGCCAGAUGUGCAAGGGUUAACUAGUGAUGCAUCUGUACUUCAAAAGGUGGUGCCCAUGCCUGAACCGGAUUGUGCAGACAUAUCAGAAGAUGAUGAUGAUUCUGAUGACACCUACAUUGGUGAUGGAGUUGUUGCUCCAGUCAAUAUACCUGGAGAAAAUGAAGAUAUUUUUUUUGUGUAAUUUGGAGUUGUAAAGUUUACUUCGUGAACUAAUGUGCAUUUGAUUUCUGGAAAACAUUAAGAUAUUAUAUAUACCAUGAACCAUGAACUUUAUCAAAUGCUAAACCAGACGAGAUAGAGCUCCCAUACAUAAAAGUUACUUAAUUCAUACGAAUUGCAUCUAGUUUGAUAUAGUAGGUGCAUGCCUCUCAUGUUACCAAAAUAAAGCACAGGCAUCCAUUACUUCUACAUCAACUAACAUGUUAGCAAAAUAAACAUGGUUCAUGCCUCUCAUGUUACCAAAAUAAAGAAGAGGCAUCCACGACAUAAUCAACUAACAUAACUCUUAUAACUAAGAGUACCAAUACUUCUACAUCAACAAAGACUACUCCCUCAUCAACAUUAGUUGUCCUUGCCUUCCACAAUGUAGAAAUGGCCCUUUCGUAGCUUGCGCUUGAUAGCAACGCAAACCUCUUCUAUCUUCUCUCGCACCUGACAUUUUUGAAGGGGGUUACUUAGCAUGUGAAAAAGAUAAGCUAACUAGAUAAACCAAAAUAGCACAUAAUAGAAACCAAUUGAUGAUUAACUUAAAGGGUAGGAACAUCACCUGCCUACCAGACAGCUUAGGUCCAUUGGAGAGCUCAUCAUCGCUCCCGUGAGUGAGUAUCAUUGUACAUGACAUCUUCGGGAAAACGAUCUCGUAGGUAUCUCCGGCGACCUUCAUUAUAAGGAAAAUAGGGUCACAAAUCUAAAUAAAGUGUUGCUCAGUUUUAAUAGGAUCAUGACAUGGCAACUCAUAGUGUUAGAACUUAUUCAAAAUAAAGAACACAUACUAGUUUGAGACUUGCUGGCAUGUCUGGCAAGUCAUAUUGGACGUAUGGCUCAUCCUUUGAGGGAGAAGGCUCGAUGUAGAUGUGGUGGGCUCGGAUGGGGUCGUGCGGACUGCUUACUCGUGCCUAUCAUGAGAUCGCAAAGUUUAACAUGUCAUUGAAUCAAGAAAUUAAAUAUGUGGUAUACUAAAUCUAAUUUUCCAGCAUCAGCUCCUUAGGGAUCGAGCGCCUCAGCCGACACUUGGUGGAGGUGCCAAGUCCCUUUUUCUCCCCGACGGCCAUGGUUGAAGCCGUCCCCGGGAUCAUCUUCUUGAAUCACCCAGUGGCUUUGUCGCGUAGCUGCCAACUAGAGUUGUACAUCUUCUUGUGCUCAGCCAUGAUGGGAAGGGAAGCGGAGGAGAGCGAGCGAGGCGCGCGUGCGGGAUUGUGAUGGGACAUGUUGGGGGACAUAGGAGGGCGUUGAAAGGGGGCGGAGAUGAAGGGACCAUUCAGUUAUGGAAGCGUACUCUGGAAGCGGGAGUCCACGCCUUCAGUUAUGUAGGCUAGAUAUCACUGACGUGUGGGCCUGGUAGCAAUUGGGCCUACUCGAUAAUGACAUGAGUCACCCUGCAAACAAGCCGCAUCCAGGAAUGGGAGGGGACAAUGAGUAGAUUUUGUUUCUAAAAGCGUAGAGUACUUUUCAUAGCAAGAGCCAGUGAUAUGCGGUUCCCACGUGUAUAUGACAUAGUGGGUCCAGCUCCCCACACGUGCUGAUGAGGAAGCGUAUUCCUCGGGCGCACGUUCGGGAACCGAGUUGGAGGAGGUAAAGGAAAGAAUUGGGGGAGAUAGGGAGGAUAAUGCGGAAGUAGGGAGGUUAAGAUUUGAUUUGUUCUCAAUGGGUGGGUUAUUAGGCGGUAAAUGGCUGCAUGCUGGCGCCAACCCAAUUUUCGGCAAAAAUAAAAAAAAGGAAAAAGGGUGGAGGGCAGGGAUCGAAGCUGGAUCGUCGAUUUAUAUUAAUGUCGCAGACACCAUUGAGUUACUGGUUGUUUUGUUUCACUUCUAGGUUUUCAACCUUGUUAUACAUAGUUUUCAGACCGGCGUGUGACUGACAUGCAGGACCCACUUGUCGACGCCGGGUUCAUAUGCUGCUCUAGUUCGGUUCAUGGUGUUCGUCUGUUUUUAUUUUGAUUCAUUGUGAAAAUGUUAAACGCGUUUAGAUUUCGCAUUUGUUGUCCAAAUCCGUUGAUUCUUUUUCCAAUUUCUCAAACAACUUUUCCCUUUCACGUGGCUUUAUUUACAUUGUGUUACCCGACCCCUUGUAUUAACAUUUUGUCAUUUGCUUCAGUAUUUACUUACUCUACAAUGAAUCGAACUUUUUCGAAUGUGUCCAACAUACCAGAAGCUUAUGAAUAGGCAAGUUGGAAUCUUUUAUGGUCCAAUGUGUACCAUAUUUGUGUAUCCUAUAUAUGGCAUAUCAUAUAGGUGUAUCAGUUUCAAUGUCACACCUUCUUUGCCUUGAGGUGAUUUCAUGUGGGAGCUAAAAGACAAUGUUUCGGUGCAAAUUUGUAAUCGAUCUCCUCAAGGACAUGAUUUAUCGCACAAACCAUUGAGGUACUUGUUCUUUUUUCAGCGUGACAUCUUUACCAAGGUACACUUAUCUAGGAGUAGGAGUAUGUCCUAGCAUCGUGUUUGAUCUAUGUUGUUUACCCGGUCCAUAGCCUGGUCGCACCACAUCCCACGAAGAGCCGCCUUUUACCCAGGGAAACUUGAAAAGAAUAUUGAGGGGCAAGGGGAUUGAUACUGAGAUGAAAGACCAAGUUGUGAAGUGCCUUGCUCUAUUUGUGCAUUGAUCGAAUCAAGCAGGAUGGAGGCAAGUUGAGUAGGCAGUCCGGGAGUCCGGAGCGAAAGACUUGGAGGCAUCGAAGGCUUGGUGGAGGCUGGACACACGUCGACAUCGGUGAGUCACGCCUUAUAGGGCGUGCAAGAGAGUUUGACCGGUUUGACCUCAAAACCGGGGGUGAGUCUGGUGCGGUCGGACGGCGUCAAGUCGGAGGACGAGUGGCACCAUCACGAAGCUUGCGUCGAGGUGAAGCUAAAUCGUAAAGGCGCCGGGUCCAUCUGAUGAACGAAGAAAAAGCUGGACAGUUUUGCUCCUAGGGGGUUUGGAGUUGUAUACUUCAUGUAAGGGCAACUUGGGAAAUAGCCAAGUACCUAUAUAAUUGAGGAGAGGGCUGUUGGGGCAGCCAUCUCUUUGGGAUAGAUAGGUAGGGGUUUUCUCAUUUGCUUGUGAGAGCCUUUGAGGGAGAGAGGGAGAGAGAGAGGAGGGAUCUUUGUUUGACCUUUUCGCCAUCCUAGCUUUGAUUGUGCUAAGGAGCGGCUUGUACCAGACAUGUUGAAGUAAUCCAAUGAUCUAUUUCAUGCCAUCUUGUCCCAUCCCAGUUGGAUUUGCGAUUCGCGUUUGUAUUCUUCGUGUUCUUUGUUUCUUCCCUCUCUCCCCUUUCACAUUUUUGUUCGAUUCAUGAUUUCUGGGGUGUCUGGAGUCAAACCAAUUGUUUGGAGAUGAACUAGGAUGUGAGUUUAACCUUUCCACCAAAGGGAUUUGAUUGAAACCUCACGAGUUCAUAGAUCGGGGCGAUUCAAGUUCUAGGGUUGAAAAACUGAUGUUUCACACAAGAUAUUUAAUUCGCUUUGAUUGGCUGAUCUUUUUGAGGAGAUGUUUUGGGAACAUGUUUGUUAUGUUGUUGGCAAACUAUGGUUAAAAUUUUGUGAUUUUUGGAGGUUGUUUGAUCGAGUUUUGGAUUUUUCUUCUCUCCUCACGAAGGCUGAUUUUUGUACUGUCGGAAGUUCCGACGUGUCGGAAGUUUCCACACCGUGUCGGAAGUUUUGAAGGAAAAAAUUUCUAAAACGAUAGGGAACUCAUGUCAAGAGAUCCCCGGUACUUCCAAUAGGUAUCGGAACUUACGAUAGGGGGUUGGAACUUCCGACAGGAGCAGUUUGAGUCCUGUUUUGACUCAGAUCUUUGGAGUUUGCUUUCUAGAUCUUUGGAGUUUGCUUCCAGUUGUUUCUUGAGAGUCCCACUAUGUUAUCGAUCAUCACCAUAGACACCCAGCCACCCAGUUGGCUCGUGGAUCUCUCAUCUUCCGCUCGCUUCGGCUUUGGGGUUUGAAUUGGGGACAGAAGCCUAAGAUUUCAAAAGAAAUAUUUGAGGCUCUCAUUCGCCCCCCCUCUGGUCGCCUUUUCAGUCCUUCAACUCGUAUCAGAGCAUGGUUUAAGGAUCACACAACCUUAAUCGACUUUGUGAUCCAUGGGGUGACAAGCGAAAGGGCGUUUUGGCUUGUGGAUUUGGUUUUCGAGAUUUGAGCUUGCUUUGGGCUAAUCCUAACCGGUGCUUUGAGCUAUGGCACCAAGCUCUUCUUGUGUUUCAUUGUUCUCAGGUAGGAGGAGUUCGAAGAUUGCAUUGGAACCCGAAGUGGAGGUGGUGAUGGAUCUCCUCAAGAACUACCAGGACGCUGACCUCACAAAGGGCGAGUUCUAUUGCAGGCUAAGAGACAUAAGCCAAGGUACGCUUGCAAAAUGCAUCAUGGUUCUAUGCAAUCGUGUUGAUGAUUGUGAAGAUGAGAAUGAGAGAAACAUAGAGCUUUGUGAUGCUUUGCGUAGGAAGAAUGAGAAGAUGAAAUGUUCUAUUGCUAGGUUCAAAUGUGGAAUUGCUCAUUGGAAGUCAUGUGCUUUAAAUUCUUGCAAUUCUUGUGAUAUCUUUCUUAGAAAGAAUGAUGAAUUGAACUCUUCUCUUAAUUUCUUGAAAUCUGAAAAUGUCUUCUUGAAACUCAAUGCCUCUAUGCCUUGCAAUUCUUGUGUAGCUUUAAAUCAUGAUCUUGAUAAGGCUAGAGACGAAAAUUCAUUGUUGAGGUGCAAUGCUUCUUUGCCAUGUGUUUCUUGUGAGUCUUUUUUUGCUGAAAUUAAUGAACUAAAAUUGGCUCACACCACAUGUGUAGAUGAACUUGAGCAUGCUAGGGCUGAAAUUUGUGAAAUGAAGUCUAUGGCUUGUAGCAUGUGCUCUUUGGUGCUUGAUGAUGAUGUCUGCCUUACUUCUUGUGAUAAUCAUGAUAUCGUGUUUGAUGUGAAUGAUGAUCAUUGUUCAUGCGGUCUUAUUUGCACGUCAUGCUUUGAGUUGGAAAAUGAAGUUUUGGCUUUGAAACAAAUGCACGAUGAUUUGAGCGCCAAGUUGGUUGAGCAUAAUGAGAUGAGUGCCAACCUUGAGAAAGAAAAUGAACUCUUGCAUACUACAUAUGCUAAGUGUAUUGAAAAGGAGAUGGAUAAUUUGAGAAAUGCUCCAUGUGGUACUUGUGAUCGCCUCAAAUUUGAAAAUGAGGUUUUGGCCACAAGAUGCAAGAGUCUUAGUGCUAAGUCUUUUGAUUCUCGCAAUUCUUGUCACUCCAAUGUUGGUGUUUCCAAAAUUGCUUCUUCUCAACCGGAGUUUGCUUCUUGUGUUGAGUGUGGGUCUUUGGAUGAUAGCACUUGUGCUAGUGCUUUGGAUAUCUCUUCUAUAGCUACUCCUAAGCUUGUUGCUUCUUCCGGUAUUGCCCAAGACAAUUCAAGUUGUAGGAUGCUUCUCGCAUUUUUGGAACUCAUAUUUCCAAACCGAAGUUUCAUUGCAUGUUUUGCAAGAAAGAUGGGCAUACCGUUGAGUUUUGCUUUCGCCGUGUCAAGCAUGAGCGACGUGUGCGUGCCAAAGCUUUUAGGAAGCCACGUAGCCUUUCCCAUUGCACGUGUGAUCCUAAAUUGGGCACCAAGGUGGAUGUUGAUGCUUUUUGCUCUAAGUCCUAAGGGACUUCUUGUAACAGCUACCAUUUGAGUCAUUAAAGUGACUUUGAUAAAUUGGAAGCAAUUCAAGAAGAAAAGAAUAAGAAAUUGGCCAAAAAUCAAAUUCGGGUCAAAUUUGGCUGAAAUUUGAAUUUUGAAUUUGAAAUUCAGAAAAAUUCGGCAAAAAUAUGAAAUAGAAGUGUAAGAGUUACUGGAACUUAAGGAUCAAAAAUUGGGAACAAGAUUUGAUCCUGAAUGCUCAAAAGAAUCAGAGAAAAGAAAUAGAAAACUGAGUUACUGUUCCUCGUCUGAAAACAGAAAUUCAGAAAAACAGCCUCAGAGUCGACUUUGGAAAUUUAAUUCUGAUGAAUUUUUCAAGUAAGUGGAUCAGGACAACUAUACCAUGUUGAAGUAUGUACUUUGGACUCUUAGAAUUGGGUGUUGUUGGCCAGGAACAUGGAAGGGAACAAUUUCGAAAUUUAGCUCAAAGUCAGCACAUUGUCACAGUUGACUGUCACUGAAAAUGCCUAAGUCUGAAAACAGCAGCAUCUGAUCAACUUUGGAUUUAAUUUCAGAGAGAUGGAGAUCAAAAGGAGUAGGUGUUCUUGGGCAAAAUGGAAACUUUGGAUGUUGUAGAACAUAAUUGGGAAGAAGUUGGACUACAGAAAGGGGAUUUGGACCACCGAAAUGGAUCACUAAGUCGGGCAAAUGAGCACCUUGAUUAACUGACGAAACUGAAUGGAAGGGUAAACGGGAUUCAGACAUUGCCCGAGGAAAAAAGUCUAAAUUUGAAGACUUUUUGAUGUUUAUCUCGAGCAAAAGUUUAUAGAUGAAUUGGAAAGCUUGAGAUUAUCUACAACUUUGGUUAAGACCCAUGUGCACCGUCGGGUUGGAAAUCUACCGUGGGAAAGCUCUGAAGAUUUCGGGCAUCAGAAGAAAGAAAGGGGAACGAUGACAGAGCAGGCAGGACGUGUCGCCGCCGCCGUCGUUGGUCGCUCGCCAGCGCAACCAGCUAGGCCACCUCUUCACCACACAAGCCUAUGAGUAGGCCACGGUGUUGCCCAUGCGCGUGGUAAACCGUUCGUAUAAUUACCGCUCCCACGCCACCGUUUCACCGCCGCUCUUUUUACCGUCGCCGCUCCUUCUGCCCAGUCGCCACCGUCGAGCAAAAAUUCCACCGCCACACCGCACCUCCCGUCGAUUCCUUCCGUCCACACCUCCGCCUACACCCCACCAGCAACCCUAGCAACUUGUUGCCCAGCUUCUUCGCCGUCACGCCUUGAACCACCACCGCUUCUGUCCGCCGUCGCCGCGCCUCCCGCUCACGGUGAGCACUACCUUGCGCCGGUUCUCUUCCUUCUUAAGUAGUCGGAGGCAAGUCCUUAGGGUACUAGGAUGGUGUAAGAGUAGUUGUUCGAGUAGUUUGUGCCGUCGUCGUGAAUAGUCGCGACCGGCCGAAGGUGUCACCGCCCGCCGCCGUGGAGGAAAUGGCUCCGGCCAUCUCCCGAGGAGCUGUUGCCGCGCGCGGGUGCGUGAAGGCAUAGGGAUGCUGUCCUGACCUAGCUUCGCCGCCGGUGGGGCGCCGGCCGGCGAGUCGCGCCGCCCCCUGUCGCGCGCGUGUUUUGGCGGGAGGAGGAAGAAGCACCUGGAUGCUCGGGCCCGCGCGGCAAAGAAAGAAAGGAGGGGAAGGGGAGAAAGAGGCCGGGGCGCGGGCGUCUAUGGGCCAGCAUGUUGGAGGCCCACGGAGCCAACGCGGUCGACCGGAAAGGAAAAAGGGCCGGAGGCUCAGAAAAGGAGGGCAGGCCGCGCCGCGAAGGAAAAGAAAAAAAAAGAAGAGGGCCGUGGGCCGGUAUCGGACCAGAGAAAAGAAAAAGAAAAAGAAAGCGGCCCACAGGGCCCGUCAGAGGGAGAAUAAGGCCGGCGGGUAGAAAGGAAUAGGAAGAGGUGGGUUCGCGCCGUGGGGCCCAAUGCGCGUGAGAGAGGGUAGCGUCGAGCUGAGUGAGAAAAGUUUUUCCGGGUGUUUUUCGGGAAAAUUAGAUUUCCUUUAAGAAAGUAAUUAGUUUAAAUCCGAAUUACACCAUUUAAAUCACAGAAAUUUCUAGGAGUGUCCAAAAUUAGUGAAACCAAUUUUGUUAGGCUUGUUUUAUUUUCCUUUAUGCAUAAAAAUUUUUACACCCUAGAAAAAUAAUAAAAAUCCGGGUAUUUAUUUAAUGCCUUCCUUUUAAGGUAAUUAAAUAAAUACUUAAUAUUUAUAAAAUGUAUAAAAUAUAAAAUAACAUUUUCUUAAUCACAAAUUAUUCUUAACUCAUAGGAAAUUAGGUUUUCAAGUUAGAAAAUAAUUAUAACUUUUUCUAAAGAUAAAAGAAAAAGCCUUAAGGAGGGUUAAGUAAGAAAAAUAAAAUUGUGGGUUAAUCUUUUUGGGUUUAUGUGUGUUGGCUUGCAACUUUAUCAUGAUAGAUUGUAUAGUCCUUGUUGGCUUGCAACUUUAUCAUGAAGGAAAGUUGUAUAGUCUUUUAUUCAAAAUUUUGCAUUCCUAACCCCUGCAUAUAUUGUGCUAUAGAUCCCGAAGCACCGGAAGGAGAAUAUUUGGAAUUUUCAGAAGGACCUUCGGAGUUCGAAGAAGUUUUUGAAUUAGUCCCCUGUGAAGCCAACCCGUCAGAGAAUACUAACUUUUUGAGCGAACAAGGCAAGCCCUGGUGCAUUUAUACCUAUCUAUUUUGGAGUCAUUAUUUCAUGUGUCCAAUUAUCGGUUAUUUGCUUUAUGGAUGCACUAAGUCUGGGAGUUGCUUGAAACCUAUUCUUGUGUAUGAUCAUGCCUUGUUUUAAGGACAUCUUUGCCACUUGUUCAAACCUUAGAAGAUACCCAAGUCUAGAAUUGCUUACUUGCUUACAUACUUGGUUUACCAACCUUAAGAAAAAACUUUUGAGUCAUACAUAUUGCUUAUGGAAAUAACUUGGAAAGUUGAAAGCGGAUAGAAGCUAGAGAUGUAGUUCUGUCUGCUAGAUUAAUUUGGUUAAGGCCCGAUUCAUUGUCUUAACCUUUGAUCAAGUGAUAAGCAUCUGAUCACUUACUGGGUAUGGGACCAGUAAAGCCCAGUAGGUUAGUAAACUCUAUGAUCGGGAAUACUUCGUACUCGCGCUUGACGUGCUGGAGAUUGGCAGGGGCGUAGCCUGAAACUCACAUGGAGAUUGGGCCAGACGUGGGGUCCCAUGUGGGGGUGCGUCCCUGGGUCCGGGUAGUCAUAUUCCUAAUCAUUGAUUUUGCUAAUCGAGAGGUUGUUAGGUACGACCUGGACAGUCGUAUAAAGCUGGUGAUCAGGGUACUCUCCUGCAGGAUGUAAAUGGGUCCGGAUCGCCGCAAUUCUCGGUUAUGAAUGCACUUGAUCACUGUUGAGCAUCGUAGUUAAAUUCAUGUAAUAUAUAUAUCUUCUGAUAAUGUUUGAUGUAUGACUUAAUAUCUAUGAUUGCUUUUACUUUCUGCUCAUCAUUUAGAAUAGUUAUGUAAUGACUUAACCCAAAUAAAAGAUAAAUCUAAGGCAUCACUUGUAGUAAGCUUUUCAGCAAAAAGUUGCAUCAGCCAAGUACACCAAAAAGCUAUCAUAUACAUUCCCAGAAAACUAUUAUAUUGGUUAGUCGGGUAAGACUUGCUGAGUACCCCGUACUCAGGGUUUUCCCUUGUGGCUAUCUUUCAGAAGCUCCACAGGAGUCUACAGAGGAGGAAACCCCAAAGCCCUAGGGUAUUGCUAUGAGUCUCACAAUACCCUUAGAGAAGAAGUUUUAAAUGCUCAUCUCCUCCUGAACUGUUUAUGUUUAAAUCUUAGAACGUUGUCUAACACUGCACUGCUAAGUUUGCUUCAAUCUAUGUUCUGAAAUAACUCGUACCUUUUAUAUGUAUGUAAAAAUGUAAUGUUUGUUGAUGUUAUCCCAUCGCGGAUACUAUCCUGAUGUAUGGCUAUGAAAUACAACGUGGAUCUUUCGAGGAGUCCUAGGGACACUCAACGGACGACCGGACUUAUACUGUUUUAAGUGCGUUUCGGAUAUUUGCUGCGUCGGCAGCAAUUAGGCGCAUUUAAACCAGUUUAAGUUGGGCGGUUCCGCCACACUUCUCACUUGGAUGAGAAUGGUGAUUCUUCCUCUUGGACCAUGCCUCCAAAAAGGGCUUUGUACCAUUGCUCUCAUUGUGAGAAAGAUGGGCAUCAAGAGAGGUUUUGUUAUCGCCGUGCAAGACAAAUGCGGCGAGCUCGUGCUUCUAGACCUUUGGUUGUUCAUAGCCCUGCUCAUGGCGUGAACACUUGUGAACCUAGUAAGAAGCCACAUUUCAUUGAUGGGUUUUAUGACUCCUUUUCUAGUGAGUUAGCUCAUGCACGUGGACAUGCUUCUAGUUCUUCCUAUGUUGGUCCAUGACAUGGUUCUUAUGGUGCUUGUGUUGGUUCUUCUCUUAAGACCUUGGGGGAUCAUUGCCUUUUUUCUAGUGGUAGCACUCGUUCUUCUUCUUGAGUUGCUCUUUUGAGGCAUGUUUCCAAGGGUGUUUCAAAACCUUAUCAUUUGAACCAGCAUUUGCAUCAUGCUAACCCACAAGAUAAGUUGAGUGCAUCUUUUACCCGUGCGACUAAGUUUUGGAUUCCCAAGUAUAUGCUUGCUAACCCUUUGGGAUCCAAGACUCGGUCUUCUUUGUCCCCUCAUGUGUAGGUACGGGAAUGUGGGUGGAGAACAUGAGCUCGAAGUGACUUGAUCUUUUUGCUUGAGGUGAUCAAGACUUGAUGGUUCUUCACACCGUGUGGAUGGCCCUCAAGAGGCCUUUGUACACUUGUAUAGUGAGUCUUUGUAUAAUCCUUUGCACCUUGUUGACAUGUUUGCUUUGCCCAAACUUUUAUUCAUAAAUAUGGAAUCAUGUUGCAAUGUUUUAAUUCCUCACAAUUGAUAUCAUCAUUGCAUUGUGUGACAUGAUUUGAGCUUCAUCUUAUUUUUGUUUGCUAGGUGUCUUUGGUUGAGGGGGAGUUCGACUUCAUUCGAGGGGGAGUUUGGAGCAAAACUUACUUUGGUUUUGGAUAUCCUCUUUUGAUCUUUAAUCUGUAUCACAUUUGAUCUCUCAAUUGGAUUCCAUCUUCUUCAAUUGGUAUCAAGUGAUGAAAAUUUUUGAUUCUUCAAUUGGUAUCCCCUCUAUGGUACUAAAUUGGGAUCAUUGGCGGUUCUUCUUUUCCCAUGGAGUUUUUCCUAUAUUGGUUUGACUGUCAUGAGCUUUCUUGUUUUUUAGCCGAGCCUCAUCUCUUUUAGCAUUACAUUGCAUCUGUAUCAUAAUGCAUUUUGUCUCAUAUUGCACUAGAUGAGCUUCUCUUAUAUGCCCUGAAUACUAUCUUAUGCUGCUUAUGAGCUAAUGCCUUGGUUGGUUAUGAUUGAUGCAAUGUGCAGUUAUGCUCUUGAUGAUAUUGUACACUGGUUGAGAUAACUAUUUUUUCAAAUCCCAUGCUAAUAUUAUACUCUAUGAACUUGCUUAUCACCCUUGAGUAGAUGCUUAGUUAUGGUUUGCCCUUGUUUGAAUGCUGGUUCCAUUUUUAGCUUAUAGUUGGUAUUCAUGUUCUUUUCAAUCGGGUCAAAGAUCUAGGUAUCAUUGCAGAUGUUUAGCCCAUGAUGCACCCCUUGGGGAAGCAUAACUUCUUUGUGCCGCAAAGGCACUUCAUGUACUUUAUCUUGUGUGAAUAAUGAAAAGAAAAAAGACAAAGAUAAUAAAUUCACAAAUUUCACCAAGUAUUCAUGCUUCAUGUUCAUAUUCUGGUUUGCUUAGUUGUUACAAGAUGUCUACCAAAGGAAGUAGGCACUUGGUUUCAACAAGCUUCACAUGACAAGUGAUGUGUUGUGGGUGUCCACAAUGAUCUUUUGUUAAGAGUAUUUGUUCCUUGUAUGAGCUUUUGAUGGCCUAGUCCUCCUUGCUUGGGUAUUUCUUGACUAGGUAUUUGCUCAUGUGGUGAUCUUUUUGAACAAUGCUAAAACUGGAUAUUUGCUUCACCUCCUUGUUGUAACAUAAAUUCAUCUUGCUAGCGAUGCUAUCGCUCCUUAUAAUCCACCAAGCUUAUCUAUCUUGUAGGCUUUGAGAGUACUUUGUGGUAUGUUUGAGAAGCUUGGUAGGUUCUGCAUCUCCUUACAUGCAUUUUGUGUUCUUAUGCUUGACUUGAUGUUUGCAUUGCCAACAAGGGGUAGAAAUUGGGAGAAAUUCAUACAAACUCAUUCUUUUGUCAAGGGGGAGAGUUUUUCAUGCAUUUGUUCAGAGGGAGCUCUGUGAGUUUUUUAUGCUCUUGUGCUCAUUUGCUCUCUUGCCGGUCGCGUUGAGCUUCUUUACCUCUUCUUGAGGAGCCGGUAUUUGAUUAGAGUAAUUGUGAGUUUGUGUAUGCUCUUGUGCUUUUGUGCCGGUCGCGUUGAGCUAUUUACCUCUUCUUGAGGAGCCAGUUUUGAUUUGAGUUUAAAUUUUCAUGUGAUUAGUAUUGAGCCCGUUUUCUGCCUCUUCUUCAGGGAUCACAUGAUUUUAUCUCAGUCAUGUAGAGUUGUUGCCCUUAUCUUAGGGGACUGAGAUUUUUCAUUUCGAGUUUCCAAUGACUUUGAUACUAGCUUUUAUGGUUCUUCUCAUGCCUAGUGACUUCAAUCCUUGCCUUUACUUGGUUUUUGAUCACUUGGAUGAGAUUUUUAGCUUUUACCUCUCAAACCUUUUCUAUGUGCUUGAAUGUUGUCAACACACACAUCAAGGGGGAGAUUGAGAAAAUGAAGUUGAUAUGAACCUUGAUUUUAUAGUGAUGAGCGUUUGACAAAUGUUGAAAUGGCUUUGACGGCAUUUUGGGAUUGAUGAAGCUCUUGUGUCUUUUGCUUGACUCUUUGGCUGUCUUGUGGGAUUUAUCAAGGGGGAGAUUGAGACAUGACUUUAAUGCAACCUAGAAUUUUUGUUUGGAGGUUGCAUAAUCCUUUCUCAUAUCAAGUUGCCUUGUGUUUGCUUUUACAUGGCUUUUAGGCACUUGAAUGAGUUUUUCUCUUGCUUUCAAAUCAUCUUUUGUCAAUGCACUUAUCAAGGGGGAGAUUGAGAGACCAAGUUGUGAAGUGUCUUGGUCUAUUUGUGAUGAGUGAUUGACUAGAUGAUUUGAGGCUUUACUGGUUGAGUCCAUAUCUCAUAUGUGCAUGAUUAUGCUAACGGCUAACCGGAUGUGUUGUGUUGAGUGCGUUGUGUUAUGGUGUUUAUGUAAACUAUAUGUUGUGUGUUGUGUCUCUUGAUGAGAUUGUGCAGGUGUAGGAUGUGAUGUGGCGAUCAACGGCAUGAGGUGAAGGUCAAGCGUGAAAGGUCCAUGCCGAUGAACUAGGGCAGUGAAGGGUGGACACGAGUAGGCUUGGACCGGGGGACCCGAGGAGUCCGGGCAGAGUCAUGGGCGAUCCACAUGGUGCACGGAAGAGCAAGAGAACAUGGACAGUGAUGGAGAUGGCAUUGGUCGAGUCAAGCAUGAUGGAGGCAAGUCAAUUAGGCGGCCCGGGAGCGGGGGCGAAAAACUUGGAGGUGUCAAAGCCUUGGCGGAGGAUGGCCACGCGUAGAUAUUGGUGAGUUACGCCUUAUAGGGCGUGUAAGAGGGUUUGACCGGUUUGACCUCAAAACUGGGGGCGAGUCCGGUGCGGCCGGAUGGCGUCAAGUCAAAGGACGCGUGGCACCAUCACGAACCUUGCGUCGAGGUGAAGCUAAGUCGUAAAGGCGCCGGGUCCAUCGGAUGAACGAAGAAAAAGCUGGACGGUUUUGCCCCUAGGGGGUUUGGAGUUGUAUGCUUCAUGUAAGGGCAACUUGGGAAUUAGCCAAGUGCCUAUAUAAUUGAGGAGAGGGCUGUUGGGGUAGCCAUCUCUUUGGGAUAGAUAGGUAGGGGUUUUCUCAUUUGCUUGUGAGAGCCUUUGAGGGAGAGAGGGAGAGAGAGAGGAGGGAUCUUUGUUUGAUCUUUUCGCCAUCCUAACUUUGAUUGUGCUAAGGAGUGGCUUGUAACCGGACAUGGUGAAGUAAUCUAAUGAUCUAUUUCAUGCCAUCUUGUCCCAUCCCGGUUGGAUUUGCGAUUCGCAUUUGUGUUCUUCGCGUUCUUUGUUUCUUCCCUCUCACCCCUUUCACAUUUUUGUUCGAUUCAUGAUUUCUGGGGUGUUUGGAGUCAAACCGAUUGUUUGGAGAUGAACUAGGAUGUGAGUUGAACCUUUGCACCAAAGGGAUUUGAUUGAAACCUCACGAGUUCAUAGAUCGGGGCGAUUCAAGUUCUAGGGUUGAAAAACUGGUAUUUCUCACAAGAUAUUUAAUUCGCUUUGAUUGGCUGAUCUUUUUGAGGUGAUCUUUUGGGAACAUGUUUGUUACAUUGUUGGGAAACUAUGGUUAAAAUUUUGUGAUUUUUGGAGGUCGUUUGAUUGACUUUUGGAUUUUUCUUCUCUCCUCACGAAGGCUGAUUUCUGUACUGUUGGAAGUUCUGACGUGUCGGAAGUUCCGACACUGUGUCGAAAGUUCCGAAGGGAAAAUUGCUGAAACGAUAGAGAACUCCUGUUGGGAGAUCCCCGGUACUGCCGAUAGGUAUCAGAACUUCUGAUAGGGGGUUAGAACUUCCGACAGGAGCAGUCUGAGUCCUGUUUUGACUCAGAUCUUUGCAGUUUGCUUUACAGAUCUUUGAAGUUUGCUUCCAGUUGUUUCUUGAGAGUCCCGCUAUGUUAUCAGUCAUCACCAUAGACACCCAGCCACCUAGUUGGCUCGUGGAUCUCUCAUUUUCCGCUCGCUUCGGCUUUGGGGUUUGAAUUUGGGACAGAAGCCUAAGAUUUGAAAAGAAAUAUUUGAGACUCCCAUUCACCCCCCCUGGUCGCCUUUUCGGUCCUUCACGAGAUGUACAUGAUUUCAUGCUAGGUACGAAAGCAUGCGAAAGCUAUCUGCAUAAUUAAGACUGAUGUGUCAUGUCCACCAUCUACCAUCUCGAUCGGGGCGUGUCAUGCAUGUUUUGCUGCAUCACCAUGUAAUGUGAGUCGUAGUCAAUAGAGUUUUUGAGUACUAGGCCUGCGGUAUGUAGUGGGACAAGACGGGACAGGAUGUGGUAAGUUAUUGCGGUAUGCAGUGGGACGGGACAGAAUGGGAUGUGGGAAGUUAUUGCGGGGCCUAUUCCAGCGGUCGCCUGCCAUUUCCGAGAAAAGUUGGCGCCUCCUGAUCUCCCCGUCUCCUCCGCUUGUUCUUCGGCAGUUCCCAAUGCACGCUUGUUCUUCGGCAGUUCCCAAUGCACCGUCCGCCUGAUCUCCGCAUCUCCUCUGCUUGUUCUUCGGUAGUUCCCAAUGCAUGGUUGUUCUUCGGCAAUUCCCAAUGCACUGGCAGCGGGGAAUAUCUAUAACUCCUCCUGUACUUGGGUAAUAUCUAUAACUCCUAUACUCGGGCUCCUCUCCGCAGUCUCCUCGCCAUAUCGCAAAAAGAGGUUUUCAAGAACUUGGCCUGUAGCCCACCAGCACCCCCUUCCACCGUUCCCCCUUAGAUUUCAUGAUCUUCCACCUCUCCACGCUCAUGGCGUCGGGAAGGCAAUGCCGAUUGCUCAUAGACCUCCCUAUGGAGAUGCUCAUUGACAUCACUGGCCAUAUUGCUGCAACCUCCUUCCAGCCCAUGGACGACCUCCACAACCUAUGGACGGUCUACAGGGUCAUGCACCGUGCUUGCGGUGACCCAUCCGUCGGACAGUGCGUGGCAUUGCUCAGGACGUACUGGGAGGAUAUGCAGUGGAACGAGCCGGACAGAUACUAUGCCCUCCUCGCUCUGCUGGUUGGUGUGGGGAACCUGGAGGCCUACACCAUCAAAGGGAUUGUAGAUUUCUUUGCCAGCCCCCAGCCAUCCCUCCAUGAGCUCUCCCGUGCUGCAGCGGGUGGGCACGAUGUGGGGACCUAUCUGCAUGCCCUGAUGAUGUACAGGAACAAUGGCGGUGCCGCGGAUGAUGACAUUGCAAAGAUGUACAUACGUCGUGUCGAAUGCGAGGAUGGUUCGGCUGUGAGCGGGAGCGUAGGCCCAAAGAAGCUGCGCUGAGAGACCAAGUUGAGAUGUGCUUUAGUCUAUUUGUGAUGAUUAUGCUAACGGCUAACCGGAUGUGUUGUGUUGUGGUGUUCGUACAAAACAUAUCUUGUGUGUUGUGUCUCUUGGCUUGUGAUGUGCAGGUGUAGGAUGCGACAUGGCGGUCGAUGGCAUGAGGUGAUGGUCAAGCGAAAGGUUCAUGCUAAUGUACUAGGGCUGUGAAGGGUGGACACGAGUAGGCUUGGAUCGAGGGACCCAAGGAGUUUGGGUGGAGUCAUGGGCGAUCCACAUGGUGCAUGGAAGAGCAAGAGUACACGAACGGGAUGGAGAUGACGUCGGUCGAGUCAAGCGGGAUGGAGGCGAGUCGAGUAGGUGGCUCGGGAGCCGGGAGCGAAAAACUUGGAUGCGUCGAAGGCUUGGUAGAGGUCGGACACGCGUCAGCAUCGGUGAGUCACGUCGUAUGCGGCGUGCAAGAGCGUUUGACCGGUUUGACCUCAAAACCAGGGGUAAGUCACACCAGGAGGGUGUGUAGAGGGUUUGACCUCAAAACCGGGGAUGAGUCACACCAGGUGGGUGUGUGCAGAGGGUUUGGGUGGUUUGGACCUCAAAACCACCACGCAGGCAG
RNAcentral lists this long non-coding RNA (89610 nucleotides) under Setaria italica (foxtail millet). Its description in RNAcentral is "long non-coding RNA (SITA_LNC002974)". The record is from RNAcentral. Lineage: Eukaryota; Viridiplantae; Streptophyta; Magnoliopsida; Poales; Poaceae.